UCCAUUUCACUUAAAUUUUUCACUGCAAAAGCACUUAGUGGUUCCAUUUUGUGUUCUGCAAUUUGAAUUAGGCCAAUCCUUGCAGUCUGCUGAUGAGGUACACACUAGCUCCAAUGGUGGAUCCCAACUGAUCUCUAUCUCAAUGCUAUUUUCCAAUGACUUCUCAGAGCCAAAAUUGUCGAUUUUGACCACUGUGCAGACAUUGGUCAUGUGAAAAGGCAGGUUUAGUGGUGGAAUUUUGUUGAUAAGACUUCGAGAACUGCAAUCUAAUUCUUUAAGUUAGAUUACAAAUGUUAAUGUCUCUAGAUUAAUGCUAGUUACCCGAUAGGUGCCACCAAGUACCUUGAACUGAACCUGGCCCGUGGUAAUGUUGCAUUCAAAAUUAAAGUACAUGGGAUCACCACACUUUGAUCCAGUGCUUAGAGGAUAAGGAAUCAUGAUUGAGCCACAAGCUUGACAAUUUCUUAUUGUUGAUUCUGCAAAUAAAAUGUAGAAUCCCUUGUUAAAGGGUAUUUCUUCCGAUUACAGUUUCUUCCUAAUGUCUAUAAAUGGAUUUAUGCUUGUGUUGAUCAAUAAACUAAAACAUGAGGUACUUCUUCUCAAGAAAAGGGGAAAAAGAAAUUGGAAAGGGACAUACCUAUAUCUGAAAUAGAUACACGAACAAAGAGAUUGUCAGCAUCAGAGUCAUACUCCUCCUGAAGACCACUAAGGUCGUCUGUCCAAAUCAAGCAUUCUGGGUUAUUGCCCCUUUAUGUUAUUUAGUUUGAGCAUAAUGUCACGGACUUAGUCGUUCACUAAGCUCUUGUGGCACUUAGGCAAGUCAAGACGCUUGAUCUUGCUAAGUCAGCCUUGCUCCCAAUGCUUAGCUUGCUAGGCUAAGACACUCACGACUCGAAAGCUUAAGAAGCUUAGUAAGCAACUCUUUAAAGGAAGCUCUUAUUAACUCAUGGAAGCCUUUACAAGUGCUUGGAAGCUCACUUGCUUGGUACCUUGGCCAAAUGAGGCCUUCACCUAUUUAUAGGCACCAAUGGAACUCUCUGGAACCUUGGAGGGUUCCUUACAACUUAAGUAUAUUCUAGAAUGUCCUACAUCAUUCUAGGUACAAGCCUAUGUACAAGGAUAUACAAGAGACUUCUGGAAUUCUCUAGAAAGCCCUGGACUCCUCUCAUGCCUUCCACCAUAGUGUAGAAUUGUGUGGAUUCCUCCAGGCUUCUCCACAACCUUCCACACUCUUCCCACUCUAGGAGUCUCCAGAAGCUUCCUGGCUCUAUAUAAGCCCAUGGGGAGGCUCAUUUGAAUCAGCUUGUGACACUCUCCUCCACCUAAGCCGCAGACGUUCUUGUCGCGCCUUCUGCCCGGAAUUGCUCAAUUUGCUCCUAUAACUGCCAUAGUGCAUCUGUUGGCUCCCAGCUAGCCUCACUUUUUGGUAGUCCUUUCCAUUUCACUAAGUAUUCCGUACCAGGAGGUACACCUCGUCUCCUGAUGACCCGAUCUACGAGAAAGUGUUCUAUCUCCUUAUCAUAGGAGAUCACGACCGUUGUAGGUGCCCUCUUAGACAACCCUCGGCUUGGAUCAUCUUUGUCUUCGUGAUAGGGUUUCAAGUAGUUUACGUGGAAGACAUGAUGAAUCUUCAACCUUGGCGGUAGCUUAACUCUAUAGGACACCUUGUCGACAUUCCCAAGUACGGGGAAGGGUCCUUCAUACCUCCUCAUAAGGCCCUUAUGCACUAACCUUAGGGAUUUGAAUUGUUGAGAAAUGAGCUUGAAAGCACCAUGUCUCCGACUUUGUACUCCGUGUGUCGUCGCUUCUUGUCAGCCCACUUCUUCAUUUUCUUAGCGGCCUUGUCCAAGUAUGAGCGUGAUAUGUCAGCUUGCUCGUGCCACCCUUUCGCGAACUUGAAAGCUGCUGGACUUCUCCCCGUAUAGCCUAUCGUUAGAGUGUGAGGAGUUAACGGUUGCUGCCUUGUGGCCAACUCGAAUGGGCUCUUAUUGGUUGCCUCACUCCUUUGCAGGUUAUACGAGAAUUGGGCUAUGUCUAGCAACUUAGCCCAAUCCUUCUGGUUGGCACUCAUGAAGUGCCUUAAGUAUAGCUCCAAUAAAGCGUUCACCCUCUCAGUCUGCCCAUCCGUCUGUGGGUGAAAGCUUGUGGAGAAGUGAAGCUCCGAACCCAUAAGCUUGAAGAGCUUCAUCCAAAACUUCCUAGUAAAACGCGGAUUGCAAUCACUUUAGGCAACCCCCAAUACUUGACUACGUGCUUUAGGAAUAGCCUCGUCGUCUCUUCCGCAGUGCGGUCAGUCGGGGCUGCUAUGAAGGUUGCAUAGUUAGAGAACCUGUCCACUACCACUAUGAUAGAACCGUUGUCCUCCGACUUGGGUAGCCCGAUGAUGAAGUCCAUGGUGACGUUGUCACAUGGGCGCUCUGCUAUAGGUAGUGGCUUCAACAGGCCUCUAGGUUGUUAUUGUUCCACCUUGUCUUGUUGGCACACAAGACAAGUCCUCACAUAGGCCUCUACCUCAUCCCGUAUUUGAGUCCAAUAAUAAGCCGACUCGAGUAGUGCCCUCGUGCGUCGUUGCCCAGGGUACCCAGCCCACUUGGUGUCAUGGCACUCAUUUAUCAGAUUCCGUCUUAUGUUCCCCCAUUUAGGCACAUAGAGUCGUCUCCCCUUAGUGUAGAGUAGGUCGUUCUCCACCCAGAACCGCUUAGUCUUCCCUUCAUGAGCUAGGACGAUGAGGCUCUUAGCCACUGGAUCAUGUUGCAGUCCCUCCCUUAGAAGAUCCAUUAUGUCUCCUUGGGGCUGACUCGUCAUGGAUGCUAGCUCCGUUUUACUGCUUAGGGCGUCAGCCACAUGAUUAGCACUCCCUGGCUUAUACUCCAACGUAUAGUCGAACUCAGCCAGGAAGUCUUGCCACCUAGCUUGCUUAGGACUCAACUUCUUCUGUGUUUGGAAGUAGCUAGUGGCAACGUUAUCGAUCUUCACUAUGAAGUGAGACCCUAGAAGAUAGUGCCUCCAGGUGCGCAAGCAGUGGACGAUGGCGGUCAUCUCUUUUUCUUGCACCGUAUAGCGCAUCUCUGUGUCGUUUAGCUUGCGACUCUCAAAUGCGAUCGGGUGUCUUUCUUGCAUAAGGACUCCCCCAAUAGUGAAGUGUGAGGCAUCUGUGUGUAUCUCAAAAACCUUGGUGUGGUCGGGUAGUGCUAACACCGACUCCUCAGUCACAGCCUUCUUAAGAUCUUUAAAGGCUUGUUGGCACCUUUCGUCCCAUUCUCAUGCCUUAUUCUUCUUAAGGAGAUCAGUGAGAGGAGCGGCCCUUGCUAAAUAACCUUUGAUGAAUCGCCGAUAGUAAUUAACUAAACCAAGGAAAUAUCUGAGCUAAGGUACCUUGGUUGGUGGAUCCCAUUCCUGGAUGGCUUUCACCUUGCUAUCAUCCAUCUUCAGCUUGCCAUCCUUGAUGCGAUGCCCUAGGAAGCUCACUUCUUUUUUAACAAAGGAGCAUUUUUCCUUCUUCACGUAUAGCUCGUUCUGCCUUAAGAUCUUAAAGACCUUCCUCAAGUGCUUUACGUGCUUCUUUAGGGUGUUACUGUAGAUGACUAUGUCAUCCAAGUAUACCACCACGAACUUGUUGAUUACUACUCAAAAAGUGCUAUUUGAUAGCUUAUAAUUAAUCCUUUUAAACACUUUUGAGUAGUAAUUUUGGCAUUUUAACUCAAUUGGCAUGUUAAGGACCCUUGAAAGCAAUUUUAAUCAUUUUGUGUAAGUUUUGGUGUUUUUUGUUAGUAAUUUGAUCACCAAAGCAAUUCAAGAUUGAGGAGAUUUAUGAGGAAUCUUGGGCAAAGCUUGGAAGUCAUUUGCCAAGAGUAAAUCAGGAAUGCAAGGAGAAAAAGUUAAGAGAAUCUGCCAUGAAGCAUAUUCUUGAUGAUAGUAGUAGCAGCCACUUUUGGAGCACUUUUUGAAGUCCAAUUGAUGCAUGCUAUAUACCAUUUCAAAGCUCAGGAAGUCAACAAUCCAAUGCUUCAAACGGUACGCAAUUCGGAGUUGAAACGAAGAAGUUGCAGCCAUUGCAAGCCAAUCACUCCAAGCUGAAGGAAGCAUUUUCCAAAGUGUUGCGAAAUCACCCUUUUGUUGCGAAGUGAUUUCGCAGCCUUUUUGUACAGUAGGGUGUAUUUCCUUCUGAAGUUGCCCGAUAUAUGCCGCAAACUGGAAGCUGAGAACAUCAAGGUGGAAGCCAACUUCGCAGCCCUGCGAGAAUAGCUUUUUGCUGCGAAGUGAUUUCGCAGCCCUUCUUGAGUGUUUGCGAAAUCUCGCAGACACCAUUUUCUCUUGCGAAAUGGUCCCUGGAGCAUCCCGAUAUUUGCUACCGACAUUGGGAGAUAUUUUACAUCAGAUUUUUGUUGUCUAAAUCCCAAAAUACUUCUUGUAAGCCACCAAUUACAAGAUUCCUUAGCUUUUAAGUUAGUAAAAAGAGAAAAUAUCCAUGUAAUAAUUAGUUUUAUAUUAUGUUCAUAUAAAUACUUCUCGGGAGCCUGUUCUCAAAAAGGGACCCUUUUGUAAAGUUUUGGGAAAGCAAGUAAAGUUCAGGUCCUUUGUUUUGUCUUACCUUCUCACUUUGUAUUAUUUAUUUCUUACUAAGUUAUGCACUCUCUGAGGAAUUUUCCCCAGAGAAUGAGUAACUAAACCUCUAGUUCCUUGGAGCUAAGGUUGCCGGGGAAGGUUCCAAAUGCAAGAAUGCAAAGCUUUGUGGUUUCAGCCAUCAAUUAAGAGGAAGUAAAGUCUUUUAGUGAUUUCUAUGUUUUUAGUUAACUUAAAACACCUUAGAGUCACCUGGGCCAACACUUGGUAAGGCAAGUGAUCUCCAUCCAUGGAGAUGCACUAGUUUACCCCUUGCGAGCCUCUGGGAGGUGACUUUAAGGUAGGAUUUUCUGGAAUUGCCAACACUUGGUAAGCUUUUGGACUCCAAGGAGACAUCCAUUAGUUAUCUCUUGCGAGCUAGAGAAGGGAAGUCUAAGGUUAAAGAUCACCUUGAAUGGUUAAGGCUUAGUGAGAGGCUUAAACCAUUGCAAGUUGCAUCAAUGAGAGAAUUAAAGUUGAAAUCUAAUUAAAGGAUGUAUCUGUACAACACCGGUUAGAGAAUUGACUAUAUGUUGAAUCUCUAAUGCGAGGAAAUGAACCAUCUGACCGGAGCUAUGUCUUUUGCAUGAGGAACCACCCCAGUGAACCUAACUCUCCAAGGAAUGUUUUUCUUCCUAAGUUAUUCUCACUACUUAUUCUGUUAGUUAGUUUAAAUCUAAAUCUUUACCAAUCAAAAGGUUGUGUUUUAUUUUUUUAGCUAACCUUGAAAUGAAACAAGACCAAUUCACUUUGAAUUGGUAUCAUUGAUAGCUUGCUAAUCCUUCCCAGUGAACGAUCCUAAAGCCGCUAUAUUAUAGUAGUUUUUUCUUUGCUACCCUAGUAUAUGGUGUAAUAGGUUAUAAAUUUUGUUGAUUACUCCCCCAAUCAAGGAGCACCAGCUGGACACGAAUCAGCUGAGACACCAAUUGGGCACGAAUCACUUGUCUAAGCAUGGGUGGAAGAUCUUGUUCAUGAGGGUGCAGAACGUUGCUGGGGCAUUGGUGAGUCCGAAAGGCAUCACUAAGAAUUCGUAUGAGCCAUACCUGAUCACACAUGUGGUCUUUGGCUCGUCCCCCUCCGCAAUCCUUACUUGGUAGUAGCCCGACCUUAGGUCUAGCUUCGUGAAGUACCUUACCCUUCCAAGUUGAUCGAAUAAGUCAGCAAUGAGCGGGAUAGGAUACUUGUUCUUUACCGUCACCUUGUUGAGUGCCCGAUAGUCUAUGCACAUUCGUAGGGACCCAUCAUGCUUCUUCUGAAAUAGAACCGGCGCGCCAUAGGAAGCCUUGGAUGGUUGGAUGAACCCCGCAUCUAGUAACUCCUUAAGUUGUCUCCUUAGUUCCUCCAACUCCGGUGGUGUCAUUCUAUAUGUACCAUAGUAGGGGGCUUAGCUCCCGACUCCAACUCAAUCCUGUGAUCUUCCUCUCUCCUAUGAGGAAGUCUCUUAGGCAACUCGGGCGACAUCACGUCCUUGAACUCAUCAAGGACCCCCUCGAUUUCCUUAGGCAUGGGUUCUCCCGACCCAUCGUCUCUUUCUUCCUUCAGGGUGGCGAGGUAGGUCACCUCUUUCCUCUUUAACCCCUUCCUAACUUGCAUAGCUGAUAGCAUAGGGGUCUUAAGCGUACCUUCAGUGACCGUAGGGACCAUGCAUGGCUUCUCCUCCUCUAAGAUAGCCAUUGAGCAUAGGAAAGGUAGUGGCACGACCUUGACCUUCUGUAGGAAGUCCAUUCCUAGCACCAUCUUGAAGUUAUCCAUGGGUGCCACUAUGAAAUCGACCCUUCCUUCCCAUGAGCCGAUGUGCAUAGCCACCCUGCAAGCUACUCCAUGUGACGGGCUUGGCAGCUGAAUUAACUGCCUUGAGUCAUCCUCCUUCCUUGGAUGCUUGGAGCUUUAGUCUCUUUGCCUCAUCCUCCGAGACAAAGUUAUGAGUGGCACCAGUGUUCACCAAGGCCUUGGUGGCCUUCCCAUUCACAAGGGCCUCUACAUACAUUAGCCCUUUGCUUUGAGGCGUCUUAGGCAUCGGCUUGGCCUUAAGGGCAUUUAGGAGUUGCAACGAUCCCACUUUAGCAUCGCCUUCCUGCUCAUUUUCCUCAAUCAUAGCAUUUAGAGCUUUCCUUUUAGGGCAGUCUCGUGCCCAGUGUGUACCAUCGCACAGGAAGCAAUUGGUCCUGGGCAUGAACUCCUUCCACUUAUCUUUGCCUUUACCAUCCUUGCCACUAGGGUCUUUGCUUGAUCCUUCCUUAGAAGUGUGGCAUUGUGAUCCAUUGUUUCCCCCACCUUUGGCCUGGUUACCCUUGGAUGGUGGUUUUGGCUUGGAGGAGUCUCCCCUUCUAUAAUCUACCAAGGACUCUGCUACCGCCAUGGUCAUGGCUAGGUCUUAGACACCAUGUCUCCUCAACUCUUGCUCGGCCCAACUUUGCAAGUUGUCCAUAAAGUUAAAUAGUAGCUCCUCCUCAGCCAUGUUAGGUAUCUCAAGCAUAAACGUAAAGAACUCCUUGACAUACUCACGGAUCGAGCCUGUGUGCUUGAGACGCUUCAUACUCUUCCUUGCUAGGUAAGCCACAUCUUCGGGAUAGAAUUGCCUUUUGAUUUCUCUCUUAAAGGCAUCCCAUGUGUCUAUGGUGCACGUCUCUUUCUCUAUGUCGGAAAACUGUCGACGCCACCAUAGAGUAGCAUUAUCGGUGAGGUAAAGGGUCGUGGUGCAUACCUUAGUGGCUUCAUCCGUCAAUGCAAUGGCCUCAAAGUAACGCUCCAUGUGCCACAAGAAGUUAUCUAGCUCCUUAGCAUCCCUCUUUCCAUUGAACGAGUGUGGCUUGGGCACCUCCACCCUUGGUGCCUCAUGAGUGGCCAUGACUCAUGUUGAUAUCGCAGUCUUGUAGAUGGCUAGCUCUUGAUGAAUCUCUUGGUCUCGGGUCUCCAUGAGCGCAGCCAAGGCCUCCAUCCUUGAUUCCACACUAGCGAACAUGAUCAUGACCUUGUCUUGGAAGGACAUGAACUCCUUGUGUGACACAGUUGAACUUGUGAGCCUAGCACCCCCUCGCGAAGGUCUUGGAUCUGCUCCCUUAGAUCCUCUAAGCCUUUCUCCAUGCCUUGCUCGAUCAAGUCCACCCCUUCCCGGGUGUCCGUCAUGGCUAGCUCCACCUUAGCUAGCCUUGCCUCCAUGUUGGCUAAGGCAUCACGAGACUUAUCCUUCCUGCCUCGGCCCCGUGCAGUAUGCUCCAUCUCCCUUCCACGGGUUUGCUCGCUAGUCUCCUCCACGUUAGAGCCCGACAUGCUUCCUUUGCUAUGCCCACUUCGUAACCGCGCUCUAAUACCACUUGUCACAGACUUAGUCGUUCACUAAGCUCGUGCAGCACUUAGGCAAGUCAAGACGCUUGAUCUUGCUAAGUCAACCUUGCUCCCAAUGCUUAGCUUGCUAGGCUAAGAUGUUCACGACUCGAAAGCUUAAAAAGCUUAGUAGGCAACUCUUUAAAGAAUGGAAGCUCUUAUUAACUCAUGGAAGCCUUUACAAAUGCUUGGAAGCUCACUUGCUUGGUGCCUUGGCCAAAUGAGGCCCUCACCUAUUUAUAGGCACCAAUGGAACUCUCUGCAACCUUAGAGGGUUCCUUACAACUCAAGUAUAUUCUAGAAAGUCCUACAUCAUUCUAGGUACAAGCCUAUGUACAACGAUAUACAAGAGACUUCUGGAAUUCUCUAGAAAGCCUUGGACUCCUCUCAUGCCUUCCACCAUAGUGUAGAAUUGUGUGGAUUCCUCCAAGCUUCUCCACAACCUUCCACACUCUUCCCACUCUAGGAGUCUCCAUAAGCUUCCUAGCUCUAUGUAAGCCCAUGGGGAGGCUCAUUUGAAUCAGCUUGUGACAAUAAGCUUGACAUUGGCAGUCACUAAGGCAAGCCUUUUUGCAAUAUUGAUUAUCAUUCGUAUCUACUAAAAUAGAAGACUACGGUUUUUUGGCUUUCAUCAUUUUUAAGCGCAAGAACAUGUCUUCAAUGGAAUUCUUCUUGUAUUUGGGUGACUUUCUGGUACACCCACUUGAGAACUCUCCAAUUUUCCAACUAUUCGGCGAGAUUGGUUUGAACCCAGGCAAACAUUUUCACAUCAAAGCAUUCUUAGUGCUACAACUUCCAAAUUUCCCACAAGCAAUUGACACACUGCAUCGGUCUUUCGGUGCCCACCAGACUGGAGACGAUGUAUUCCAAUUCGCAUAGUAUUGAAUUUCCCCUAAAGAACUCAUUACCAACUGUUUUUCAACUGAUGAGUUGGGGAUAGAGCUAUGCCCUUUAUACACGUUCCUCUAGGAGAUUUUGGACAACAAGCUGCGUGUUGCUUCAGGCAUCUCAUCAAACGUUCCAUCCCAGUCCUCACUGUACCAAUGUACAUAUAAAAUUUGAGAUAUGAUAUACUGGUACUCUUUUUCUUGAUCUAGCUUGAAGGUAUAGUUUCCAAGUGUGGCGUCAACGGGGCUUAACCAUGAGGUCAAUAUUAAGCUUUCAUUCAUCUUCAUACCAGGAAGAAAAAUAUCGGUGGGAUUACGGAAGCUCUCUCAAAUAAUCUCUUCGGAUCUAUUGCCACUCAAAACAAGGUUCCCAUAGUCCAUAAGCUUCACUAUCCUGUCUUUAGAUGAAGGUGUUUCAAUAUCAAUAGACCAGUGAACUGCUUCAUUAAUUUCGGCCAACACCUUCAGCUUACCAUCUUUUUUAAUGGCAAAAACUCCAAUGGAGGUACCAGAAAAGGGGUUCUCUCGGUUGGCUACCCACACAACUCUUGGUGGUUUAGACAUGUGAUGCCAUAUGCCCAUGAAUCUUCUAUUCUUGGAGCUUCCAUUUGGAUGAAAGAAGCCUAGUUCAAAAGUUUCACCGGAAGAGACAAGAGUUUCUCCAUUAGUAAGCCAAGUGUCUAGUGUGAUGGUGUGUCACGCCCCAAGACCCACUCCAAGGGCGUGACGGUCAUUUCACACCUCAAACCCGAAGGCUUAAAGUAUAAUCUGACCCAAACAGUCAUAUUGUAACUGGAUGUUACCAAUUACCAAAUACCUGCUCAGAGUAGCGGAAACAAAGUCUAAAAUCCUCAAAAUUCAAUUUCCAAAUAACUUCCAAAUACCAAAUGAUCCAAAAUAACAUAACUAAUAGUUAAACAAAAUCCAACAUAAAAUCCUAAGUCAAAUCCUAAUGAUGACCAUUCCUCAGCCUAGCCAUCACUCCUCACCCGAACUAAGAGUACCUGAAAAAUUUUCAACGAUUGGGAAUGAGCUCACAGCCCAAUAAGGAAUAUUAAUGCAGUUCAUGGAUCAAAUAUUUUCAUUUCAAAUAGGAGAUAUCAAUUUUUUUUUUUUUCAUCAAAUAUCAGAGUUUCAAAAAUGCCAAUAUAUUCAAAAUUCAACCAACCAAUUUCAUAUCAAAUUCAAACACUUUCCCAUCAGACUUAAUCAAAUCCAUUCAAUUUUUCAUUACUCUGGUUAUCAAAUAUCAAAUGCCCAGUUAGGUGGGACUUUUCAAAUGGGUGGCUAGCCUCAAAUUGUUCCUGGUGGACGGAACCAAACACUACUAGUACUAGUAACCUCUAAACAAACCCCUAGAGGUUGGGGUCCAAAUCAAUUACAUUCCCACCAUGAAAUGUAAAGGUCAACUAUUAUAUCCCAUUGACAGGGCCGAAUAGUCAACUAUUAUAUCCCGUUGACAAGGGCCAAAUAAACCAGAGUGAUGUUUUUUGUUCAAGUAUUCAAAUUUACACAACAUAAUAUCUCCAUAUUUUGUGUCAUAAAUAAAACAAAAUAUUCCAACAUAACAUUUAGUGCAAAACAAUUUGAUCCAUGCAUGGUAACAAAAUAUCAUUUUAUUUUCCACAAUUCAAAAUAACAUAUAAAAUAAUUUUAUUUUAUAAAUAUUACAUUAACUUCCCUUACCUCAAAAGAAGUCCUUGAAAGCUUGGGAGAAGAAUGAUUCUGAAAAAAAAUAUAAUCUACUCUUCACCUAAUAUAACAUAAGAGAAACAAUUAUUACUAUUUAUUUAUAAUUUAACUAAUCUAUUCCUUAUUUAAAUAAAACUAAUAAAUUCUCAAUUUGUUUCUAAUAACACAUUACUAAUUUAAUUAAAUUACAAUUUUAUGUCAUUAUAAAAUUCUCUAUAUAUAUAUAUAUAUAUAUUUUGCUAAAUCUAUUAUUACUAUUAUCUUAUUCAUUAAUCUAAAACUAAAUAUUAUUAUUUUAAUUAACCAAUUCAAAAGCCACUAGAUGUCUCGAGUACACCAAACCACCAAACCAAAAAGCAAGUUUUUUUUUUUUUUUUUCCAUUGCAUCAUCAUUCAUUAUAUAUAUAUAUAUAUAUAUAUAUAUAUAAAAGGCUUCCUUCCAUUUGGCACAUGCCUAUUUUUUUUUUUUUCCUCCUUGCUUCCAGUAGCACAGUACACGUACACCCCCCAUAUAUUUUUUUUUUUCUUCCUUCCUUCCUUCCAGUGCUGUGCACACGCGUUCUCCCUCUUUUUUUUUCUUUUUUUUUUUUAAUUAACCCUAACCUAAAAUCGAAAUAUUCCAAGGAAUUUUUUUUUUCUAAUAAAACUUAAGAUCUCCCAAAUUCCAAUGCUAAAAUCAAAAUAUUAAAUUUUCACUAUUUGAUAUUAAAACGAAUUAAAAAAUAAUCUAACCCUAAUCUAGAUUUGGGGUUUUCCAAAAAAAUAUAUCUAAUGUGUUUGAAAUUAAUCAAUGAAUCUAAAAUAUUAAACUAGGGGUUAGAAUCUUACCUAUAGAGAUCUGUUCUUCAACCCUGAAAUCUGACUCCAACCUUACGUUCUCUGGAAUUCUGCGAACAGGAACUCUAUUCAGAAAAGAAGGGAAAGAAUAAAAUUUCUAAUUUAUACCUAGGGUAUUUAUUCGUAAAAUUACUCUUUUACCCCUCUUCUUUUUUUUAUUAAAUUAAUUAAUUAACUAAUUUAAUUAUUAAUAACAAUUUCCUAAAUUACCCUUAAAAGAAAAUGCUUGGGCGUUACAUGGUGUCUCUAGUAGAGCAACACAGAAAAUAACACAAUAAGAAAAAAAUGGUAGAUAACAUUGUGAAUUGCAGAGACUGAAACCCUGAAUUUUCUUGUCUUUUUCCUACUAUUUUUGUUAAUCCGAGAAUCUCUUUAGUUUUGGUGCCACAAAUUCACUGUGGGAUAGCGUGCUACUUCUCUAGGUUGACCUUCUAUAUGUGGCGCCUAAAACAUUGGCCCCUUAGAUUAACUUUUUAAUUGUCUAAAACCAUUUUUACCGCAGGUCCAUACUCCGGGACAAGCCCCCACACCCCCAUCGGAUCAGUGGUGAUAGGCCCAAUCCCCCUGUUAGACCCUAAAAAAAAUCUCAUAGUUUUUUUUUCACCAUAUAUAUUGUAUUGCGAAAUUUUCAAGUCUGACAAAAUAAAAUUCGAGUCACGAAUCUUUAAUAGUUAUCAUCAAGAAAUGAGAUGGAAAUGUUUCAGCUAGUGAAAAUCUACAUCAAGAGGCUUUUUGGGAAGACAAAUAUAAAAAUACAUCUAAACAUCAUUAAACUUCAUGAUUCUAAUACACAUCAUGGGAUGAAUUCUCAAUCAUAUAUAGGUGAGUAUCACAUAUAUAUAUAUAUAUAUAGGUUUAACACACAAUGCUACAUAAUGUGGUGGAUAAAUAUGCAUGUCAAAUUGAUCAUAGUUGUAAAAUUGUUAGCUAGAAACUAAAAAUUUCUAAUCUGAUUCCUAAGUGCUUCUUUUUUUUUCUUUUUCUUUUUUUAAAAAAAAAACAAAAAAUGAUAAUAAUUUCUACAUAAAAUGUAAAAAUUAUCGUAAAAAAUUAAUAACAUUCAAUUUAGAAAAUUUUAAGAUAUUAUAUAAAACAAAUUCACCAUCUUAACAUUUAAAAGUAAUUUUUAAAGAUAUAAGAUAAGUUCAUAUUAUUUAUAUAAAAACUAUUUUAUAAUUUACAUAGAAAUUAUAUAUAUAUAUAUAUAUAUAUUGAAUUGGGUUAUUUCACAAUAUUGGAGCAUAGUUUACCUUAGGUGAUUAAAGAUGUGAUACAGUAUAGUUUUUAGGAUAGAUGUGAUAAUUUAUAAUUGAAGUUUUGAUAUGGGUUAAUUAGUAAUAUUAAACAAAGGAUAAUGCUUUUUCAUAUUCUUAGAUUUAAUUUUUGGUGAAAAUAAUUAAGAGUAAGUAUUUGAUAGUGAUUUUAAGAAAUGUUUUUAGUCUUUUUAAUACUUGAAAAAGAAAAUUUUUCAAGUGUUAGAAAAACCAAAAAUACCUUUUAGAAACAGUACUAAACAUAUUCUAAAUAUGUACUCAAUAAUCGAUUUAAUAAAUUCACGGGUGUCAAAAUAAAUAUGACAUCAAGAUAUGUUAAUAAAUUUUUUUUUUUUUUUUGAAAAAUAAUUCAACAUAUUUAUUGAAUUCACAUUCAAGACAAGGUCGCCUGUAACAUAGGUGCAUGGCUGUCCAUUUAUUCCCAAUUGCCUUAGACAAACAUCCCCUUACUCUUAAGUCAUUUUGUUUUUUUUUUUUGUGAUUGCAUGUUGAAAAUUUGAUUUUAACAUGAGUCCACUAGGAGUUCAGGACAUCUAUUAAUUAAUGGGGGCAGUUCUCGACCUCCAUGGCCUGCCUACUAAUUUUGGUGGGUUGCUCACAGGUGACGUCUGACUUAAAAUACGUCCAUCGCCCAACUUACUAUUCAUGGACAAACAAAAUAUUAGUAAUGUACCAAUCAUCUUGUAUAUGUAGUAACAUUUUCAAAUUUUUAAUCUAAACCUUGGUGUAAAUAAUUAAAUUUAAAUAAAUUAAUUAAAAUGUAUAUUUAAUUUUUUUUCACCCGCAAUUGAAGGCCGGUGGAGUGGUGAAAUCUUGGAAAUGGAAGCCAACCAUGCAGCAAAUAAAGUGACCCAAAGUCCAAGACCACGUUUAGAGCAUUUGUCCAUUUUUACUUGUUUUCAACGGCUUCUAGUCUUGAAGUUGAAAUCUGCGGUUUCAUAAACGGUAUUCUGAAUUUUCUCUCUUGCGUUCUGUUUUUCACAUUUUCCAGGAAAUGGGACCUAUUUGUUUGGCUAUCAGCAAUGAGUUUCUUGUCAGAAUCUGUAAAAGAACUAGAACUUGCAGAGAAAAAAUAAAUAAUUUGAGAGUUACGAAUUGAAGGAAGGCACACAUCUAUUUCACAAAUGAGAAUGCCUAUUUAUAGGCUUACAACCAAACGAAAAUUGCAAAAAAAAUCUUAGCUACUUUCAAAUUUUAUUGGCAUUACUUCUAUUAACUGAAAAUAGAAAAUUAUGGAGUAAGAAUCUGAUAUGAAACAAUAACAAAGACUAAGUCUAACUAAGACUUUUUCAAACUUCAGAGGCAAACUCUCAUGAGUUCUAACACUCCUCCUUGAGAUUUGCCUUGGACAUGCCAAGCUUCAACCUUAGAAACUCCAGCCUUGAUUUAGGAAGUGCCUUAGUCAUUAUGUCAGCAAGUUGCACAUCAGUUGAGCAAUAAUGCAACUUGACAAGUGAAUUCUUUUUAGCUUCCCUUAUAGAAUGAAAUUUUACAUUUAUGUGUUUGGUCUUGCCAUAUUAGACAGAAUUUUGAGCAAUGGCAAUGGCUGACUUGCUGUCACAGUAAAGCUCUGUUGGUGAGCUUUAUUCCUAGCCUAGAUCAGCAAGCAAUUUCCUUAACCAUAUCCCUUGAUUUGCAACAGCUGCUAAGGAGAUAUACUCAGCUUCUGCAGUUGAUUGUGCCACUACUUCUUGUUUUCUUGAAUUCCAGCAAAUGACACCUGAACCGAUUGUAAAUACAUAACCUGAAACGUUCUUCAUGUCAUCAACACUUCCUGCCCAAUCACUAUCAGCAUAGCCAUCUAGCUUAACUCCUCCUGUCUUUAAAUACCAAAUGCCAAGAUUUGUUGUACCUCUAACAUACUUCAGCACCCUUUUUGCAACUCCCAUGUGAACAUUGCUAGGUGAACUCAUGAAUCUUGAAAGUAAACCAGCUAGAAACAUCAAGUCAGGUCUGGUUGCUGUCAAGUAUAGUAGGUUGCCUACCAAGCUUCUAUAUGCAGAGGGUUCCUUAAGUUUCUCACCAUCAUUCUUUGAAAUUUUCUCAUUUUGUGCCAUUCCAAGGAAGUAGUUCAUGAUGCCAAGGUCAGACAUCUCAAAUACAUCUUGCAUUUCCAUUUUGAACUCAGCCAGCAAUCGUACAUUACUUCCAGUCACUAGCAUGGCAUCAACAUAAAGUGACACUACCAAUUGCAAACCAUUCUCAUUUUGUUUCAAAUACAAAGUAGCUUCAUUUUCACUCCUCCUAAAUCUAAGUUGGAUCAGGUGAGAGUCAAUUCUGCUAUACCAGGCCCUUGGUGCUUGUUCCAAACCAUAAAGAGCCUUUUGCAACUUGUACACUUUGUGUUCAUGCCUAGUAACCUCAAAGCCUUCUGGUUGUUGAACAUAAAUUUCUUCAAGAAGUAUGUCAUUUAGAAAAGCUGACUUGACAUCUAAAUGGUACACUUUUCAUCCCAUUUGACCAGCAAGUGCAAGUAACAGCCUUAUAGUGUCAUGUCUGGCUAUUGGUGCAAAUGUAUCACCAUAGUCCACUCCAGCAACUUGAGCAAAACCCUUCACAACCAAUCUAGCCUUGUGCUUGAAGAUUAAACCAUCUGAAUUCAAUUUGGUUCUGAAAACCCAUUUUACACCAAUUGUCUUCUUAGCUUCAAGUAAUUCUGUCAACUUCCAAGUUCCAUUUCUUUCAAUAACAUCAAUUUCAGCUUUCAUAACCUCAAUCCAUUCUAGAAAUCUUGCAACUUCUAUGUAACAUGUAUGCUCAACAUGUACAAGAUUGCACCUCUCAUACACAUUAGAUAAUGGCCUUACCUUAAGCACUGGUAUGUCUAAAGUUGCUUCAACAUCAAGUGGAUCUUCUGCUGGUUCAAGAAUAGAUGGAGUGGUUUGAUCACAUUUAUGGACUUUCUUCAAGUCCCAAUUCUAGUAGGAAUUUUCAUCAAAGUGCACAUCUCUACUUAUCACAAUUUUCAUUCUACUCAAGCUAUAAAUUCUGUAACCUUUUGAUUCUGCUGCAUACCCAACAAAAACACCCUUCUCAGCUCUUUCAUCAAGCUUACCUCUCUUGAUAGAUGGCACAUGAAGGUAACACAAUGAACUAAACACUUUUAGGUGCUUGACAGAUGGUUUUACACUAGACCAUGCCUAUAUUGGUGUUUUGCUCUUAACAGACUUAGUCGGUAGUCUGUUAAGCAAAUAUACUGAGGUGCUAACUACUUCAGCCCAUAGAAGCUUUGGUAGCUUCUUCUCGAGUAGCAUGCACCUCGCCAUCUCCAUUACCGUUCUGUUCUUCCUCUCAGAGACUCCAUUCUACUGCGGUGAGUAUGGAGCUGUCAGUUGGUGUACAAUUCCAACUUCUAGACAAAAAACAUUGAACUCUUUUGAGGUAUAUUCACCUCCAUUAUCAGUUCUGAGCACCUUAACCUUUUGGCCACUUUGAGUUUCAACCAUUUUCUUGAAGCUUUUGAACACAGAGAGCACUUGUGAUUUGGUUUUUAGAAAAUAAACCCAAGUCAUUCUAUUGAAAUCAUCAAUAAAUAGUGCAAAAUAAACAUUGUUGCUCAAUGAGGCUAUGCUCAUUGGUCCACAAAUAUCUGAAUGAACUAAUUCCAUCUUGUGAGUAGCUCUCUUGGACAUAUUUUGAGGAAAUGAUUUGCGAUGCUGCUUCCCUAGCUCACAACUUUCACAAGUUUGAUCAUUAACUGUGAUUUCAGGCAUGUCUUCAACCAUACUUCUUGCAUGAACUUCAAUGACUUCAAGUUGAAAUGACCAUAUCUUUUGUGCCAAACAACACUCUCAUCAAUCUUGGCACUAAAGACAUGACCUUCAACUAAAUCAAGCUUCAAAUAAAAGUUAUUUCCAUUCAUUUUAAUUUUUCCUAUCUCUGUUCCAUGUACAUCAGUGAUAAAACAAAAAUUUUCUUUAAAAGAGACUGCAUAUCCAUUUCUUAGCAUUUGUGUAACACUAAGAAGAUUUUGAUCUAGUUUUGGAAUGUAAAGAACAUUAGUGACAAUUUUUGUACCUCUCUUGGUGUUGAUAGCAAUUGUCCAUUUUCCUUUGGCCUGCACAACUUCACCAUUUCCCAACUUGACCGUUGCUUGAAUUGAUUUAUCAAUGGAGGUAAAAAUUGAUAGAUGUUUGGUCAUGUGACUGGUGCAGCCAUUGUCAAUGAGCCAAGUAUUCAGUUCAUGAGAACUGAGUACUUGUGAUGCCAUAAAUAAAUGCUUAUCAUCUUUUUUGUCUUCUUCAAUCACAUUUGCAUGUUGUUGUGUUUGCUGUUGAGAUUGUUUUUUCUUGGCUCUACAAUACUUCUCACUGUGGCCACAUUUAUUACAGAAAUUACAAUUAAAAAGGGAUUUACCUUUGUACCAACAAUCUUUCUCAACAUGGUUGGUUCUGCUGCAAUGAGAGCAAGGCGAAAAGUUUCAUUUUCUUGAAGAUCCUUCAGCUUUCCCUUUGUUGUUCUUGAAGAACUUCUUUCCUUUUAGGUUUCCAGAACUCUUUCCCUUAUGAUUUGCUCAAAAAGCACCUUCAGUAGCUUCAACACCUUUCAUUAAGACCCUUUGCUCCUGCGCAUGAAGCUUGCUGGUUAAUUCUGCAAUUGUGAGACUUUGCAAGUCACAAGACUCUUCAAUUGUAGAGAUCUUGGCUUCAAACUUUUAAGGCACUGAAACCAUGAUCUUUUCUACCACCUUUUGAUCUGUAAAUGCCUCACCAAGAAGCCUCAUUUGGUUUACAACAUCCAUUAACUUGCUAGAAUAAUCUUUCACAGAUUCAUUGUCUUUCAUCUUCAUCAAUUCAAACUCUCUCUUCAAUGUGAGGAGCCUGACAUUUUUUACUGUCACUACCAUCAAAUUCACCUUGGAGUUUGUCUCAUACCAGUUUAGGUGUUUCCAAGUCCAUGAUUUUGGUGAAGAUGUGGUCUACAAGUCCUGAAUGUAGGCAGGUGAUGGCUUUGUCUUUCUUAAGUUUUUCCUCCUCAUAUGCUUUCAUCUGAGCAACUGUAGGAUUUGCUCCCAAUGGUGGUGGAUCAGCUUCAAACAUCACAACAUUCCACAAACCUUGAGACCUUAAGCAAAACCUCAUCUUGACAACCCAAAUGUGAUAGUGUUCACCAUUAAACACUGGAAUAACAGAGGAAGUACUGCUGGAAGUAGACAUGUUUGCACCACAACUGCCUGAAAAAAAUAAAUCACUCAACCUCACUGUGUUUAGCACUCAAAACACUCAAAGAAACUUUGCCUCACAACUCGUAGGAACAAGGCUCUGAUACCACUGUCAGAAUCUGUAAAAUAACUAGAAUUUGCAGAGAAAAAAUAAAUAAUUUGAGAGUUAAGAAUUGAAGGAAGGCACACAUCUAUUUCACAAAUGAGAAUGCCUAUUUAUAGGCUUACAACCAGACAGAAAUUGCAAAAAAAUCUCAGCUACUUUCACAUUUUAUUGGCACUACUUCUACUAACUGAAAACAGAAAAUUAUGGAGCAAGAAUUUGAAACAAUAACAAACUUUAGAGGCAAAUUCUCAUGAGUUCUAACAUGGCAUAUGGGUUUUGGGUUUUUCAAUUGAGGGAAGCCUAUCAUAGCAUUUAAAAAUGGAUCCCCAUAGUGGCCAACACCAUAGGAUGAUAAUUCAUCAUGGUUCUUAAUCAUGAUCUUUAUUAAAUAGAUCAAACCCAAGUACGAUACAGAUAAUAAUCGUAUUAGAAAAACAUAAAUUCAUCUAAUUAUUUAAUAAACAAUAAGUCGUAUAAUUCAUUUAAUUAAUCUAAUAAUCAUACAGAAUUAGGUCUUAUACAAAUCUACACGAUUAAUUUCUUAAUCUAAUAUGUUUAUAAUUCAAUUAAUUUAUUUAUUUAAAAUCAAUUUUUAAAUAAAUCAAAUAUAAGUUAAAUGAGUUAGGGUUAAUCAUAUUAAUCAGUAUGAUUAUCAAGUUGGUCAAUUAGGAUCAAAAUUGUGUUUGACUAAUUUAUUUAAAAAUAACUUAUUUAUUAAAUGAGUUAUACAUAUUAACAUAAAUUUAAUCCUUAAACCCACAAAAAAUAAAUUGAAUUUGAGUCAUGUUAACGAAAUAUAUUACACUUUUGACACUCGUAGUCUACGUAAAGAAAAGAUGUUGCAUCUUGCCAUUAGCUAAGCUUAGAGCAUCCAACAACUGACUAUAAGGGUCCAUAUCUUAGGCUAAAUUGAAUGAAAGCAUUAUAUUAUACAAAACCCCCUAUGCUGAUGAUGGUGCAAACACCAAAUUUGAUUUCCCAAAGUUGUAUAAUAAUGUAUUAGUUGUGUCUGUUGUGCGGAAGUUAGGUACAACUUAGUGACAAGUGUGUAUGGGGCUUGGAAUCUAGUGAGAAUCCAUUGGAUAGGAGUACAAAAUGUCGGCCAUGAGCAUGAUCUAGCCAUCCACAUUUCUCUGUGUCAGAGGGGUCAGGACCAUGGAAGAAAAUAUCAAAAUAUAUUACUGAUAUAGUAUUGGAGGUUAUAAAAACGAUAUUUGAUGAAAAAAAUAUUAUUCUGACAAAAUUAUUUUAAGGAGUAUCGAUAUAUUUGUGAUUACUGAUAUUUUUAUCUUUGGUCAAAUUAGUUUUUGAAUUCACCCAUGCAUGACAUUUGAGAUUCAGCUUAAAAGUUGGAUCAACCCACCUGAUCACCUAAGCUUAUAGAAUAGUUACAAUGAAAAAAAUAUAGUUAUAUGACAUGGAAACACUUGAGUCUUCAUUGAUUUCCUUUUCAGAUUGAAAACUAUUAGAAAAAUUGAUUCAAUUGUCAUGAAAUUGGUAUCCACAAAACCAAAGAAACACCCUAAAACUAGUCCAAAAUCUUAUCUAACCCACAUAAAUUACAGAAAAUUAUCUUAACAGCAACCAAAUUCCUAAGUCUUUGCACAAAAUCCUAUCCAAGAGAGAUCUUUUAGAUUUCUUAUCCACUCUGGAUUGACUGGUAGAGACUUUUAAACCAGGGUUGUGCCACAAGCUCAUGAACAAAUAAAAUUGGACAAAGAAUUGAAUGAGUGGAUAAACAUCAUUGUCAAUGUUUCUACUUGAGCGAGAAAUACGUUAGAUUUCUACACUUCUAAAUAGUUGCCUUGAGUGAUUCCUUGGUCCCACAGUAUUUGCUUCCCCCUUUCCUCGUGGUUUGGGAAAAGGACAUCCACACGGUUUGGUGUAGGAACCACCCUUUCCUUUGCUAUCCAUGAUUAUUUUUCUUUCCAAUAAUAAGGAAAACAUUCAUCAAGGCCCCAUGUGAAAACUAUUAUUGGUGACUGUAGGAAUAGAGCUAUUCAAUUUUUCCAAUAUACAGGACAUUGGAUGGAUACUGAUAACAAAAAAGAAUUACAUUAAAAUGUAUAAGCGAUGUAUUAUAAUUCAUUUUCUCAUCUAUUUUCAUGUUUUGAUUAUUUUAACGAGAUGGGAUGAAAUUAAAUAUGAUUUUAACAGAAGUGAAACUUGUCUCGUAAAUAGGAUUCCAUGUUGAUUUCAACAGAAGUAUGUGGAAGGAUAUCGUGGUUAAUUUAUUUAUUUUUUCAUUUUCAUUUCUAUUAUUUUUAAAUAUUGAAAUAACAACAAAUACUCAUUUCAAAUUUAUAUUGCUAGAUGCAUACAAAUAUAAGAACUGAAGCACCAAAUUCACUCCUAUUCUAAGAGGAAUAAGAACAUUGAUUUUCAUUCCCUACAGUCAAGUACCGAACAUGGCCUAAAACGUAAGGGUUCAUGGGAGAUCCUUCUCGCCUAUCGACCUUCUUCUAUGGUGGCUAGGAACUCACUAUUCAAGGAUGCUUCUGGUUUGCUUGAAGAAGAAGCUGAGCUGGAAAGGUCUCUCCUUACGACAAAAGCUGGUUGUUUAGGAACUGGGAGUGUGGCAGUGUCACUGCUGAGCAUUACAACUGCAACUGCCAUGGUGGGACGGUCACUUGGGUCUUCUUGCACACACAACAGCCCAACAUUCACGCACCUCAGAAAUUCAUUUGUUUUACAUGUUUCACUUAGUGUCUGGUCCAUCAACUCCAACACCCUGUCUUCCUUCCACAGCUUCCAUGCCUGGGAAAGUUUGGACGUACAAGGGUUUCAUGGCAUAUAUAUAGAAUGUCCAAAGGAUCAAUGCAAAUGAGAAAUUCAAAGCACUUACAUGGGCUAGAAGGCUCAGAUUCCGGUCAGACUGAUAAGAUCUGGUGUUCCUCUUCCCGCUGAUGAUCUCAAGUACCACAACACCAAAGCUAAAGACAUCAGACUUUUCUGAGAAAAACCCAUCCAAUGCAUACUCUGGAGACAUAUAGCCACUGCAUUGAACCAGUUAAAAACACUACUCAGUUAAUUGGGGAUGCAAUCAUGCAACUACUUGCAUUUUACCAUACACAAUAUGCAGUACUUACUAAGUUCCAACUACUCUGUUUGUGCUUGCUUCUACUUGCUUACUCUCAAAAAUCCUUGCCAAGCCAAAGUCUGAAAUUUUGGGAUUCAUCUCGUCAUCAAGUAGAAUGUUGCUUGUUUUCAAGUCUCUAUGGAUAAUCUUCAAUCUUGAAUCUUGGUGAAGAUAAAGUAGCCCUCGAGCAAUUCCCAAAAUGAUAUCAAAUCGCUUCUCCCAGUUCAGUAACAGGCAUAGAGUUUGAUCUUGCAAUGUUCCCAUUGGAAAGCACGACUUCAGCAUGUACACGUUGUAAUAUGGGAGAAAAAAAAAGGAACUUUUAGGCAGGUUAGAGGCAAACCAAAUAUGAAGGAGUCUAAGCUUUUGUUGGGCAUGUAUUCAUAGAGUAAAAUCUUCUCAUCUCCUUCAAUACAAUAGCCCAAAAGUCUAACCAAAUUUCGAUGCUGAAGUUUGGCAAUUAACACAACCUCGUUCUUAAAUUCCUGUAAGCCUUGUCCCGAAGCUCUUGAGAGUCUCUUUACUGCAAUUUCUCGCCCUUCAGGAAACUUUCCCUAGAUGCCAUAGCGCAUGGUAUUAGACAGACAAACCAGAAACCUUGAAAUGAGACUAAUGUGGAAAUUAAGGACUAUUACUUUGUAAACUGGCCCAAAGCCCCCCUGUCCAAGCUUAUUUGCAUCUGAAAAGUGAUCUGUAGCAGCCAGUAUGUCUUCUAAGUCGAAAAAUGGUACGUCAAUGCCUUUCUUAUCAUCUUCUUUGAAUUGCUCAGAGUCUAUUAAGUCUUUCACACGGCUCUCGCUAUGAUACAAGUGAAGCCCUGGAUUUGUUCUGUUUUCUGAAUUCAGAAACAAGACUACAUUAUGAAGAAGUCCCCUAAAAAUAUUAUCAAUUCUGCCAAUCAACACGAAACAAAAAAAGACCAGAACUUAAACGGUGGCGCAAAUAGCACAAAGAUUACCUUGCCCUUUGGAGAUGGUUCUUUUUCGAAAAUAAGCAAUACAACCAAUGAUGCAUAGAAGUCCAACUACUACAACAGCAGUUACUAUGCCUACCACAACUACCAGAGCCGAGGAUGAUGAUGAUGACUUCUGGUUUGCAGGUGUUGGAGCCUCCGCAAGAUUGCCACCAUCUGAAACAAAGAAAGACCACUCUCAUUCAUGGAGAAGGCAGCGCAUCUGCCAUUACUAAUCACUGUGUCUUUCAAUGCAAUUUAGCAAUAUGCUUGCUGAAAAGCAUCCUCACCUUGUGUACAAUUUAAACUGGAGCUGUUCCAUUUGAAGUUUUGAUUACAAAAACACCUUCUCGUUCUAUUUUGCGUUCUGCAACUCGAAUUUGGCCAGUCCUUGCAGUCUGUUGCUGAGUUACAAACCGGCUCUGGUGGUGGAUCCCAACUUAUUUCAAUUUCAUACUGACCUUUCAUAGGCAUGCUGGAGCUAGAAUUUCCUGUGUCAGCAUUGCACCAGCUAGUUAUCCUGAAAGGUGGAUUGAGCUGCAGUAUCUUCGUGUCUUGUGAAUUUCGUGCUUCGCAGUUAUCAAUAUCAUUCACUUGGAUGAGAAACUUCGAUCUCUCUGGAGUGAUGCUGGUUACUCGGUAGCUGCCAUUAGGUAAGGCGAACCAGACUUGGUCUGUGGCCUUGUCACAUCUGAAACUGAAGUACAUGGGAUCACCACAGUUUGGUCCAGUGCUUAGUGGAUAGGGGAUCAAGUUUGUGCCACAAGUUUCACAAUUUCUUACUGUUGAUUCUGCAGAAUUAGAAUGAAUUUCAAGAUUUUCCUCAUUAACAAUCAAUUAAAUUCAGAAGUAGAAGGGGGCAAGCAGAGAGGAUACCUAUAUCUGAUUUGGCGACACGGAGAGAAAGAUUAUAGCCAUCUGUGUUAUACUCCUGAAGACUACCGAGAUCUUCAGACCAAACCAGCACUUGGGAGGGGUGCUAGCACGGCCCCUUCGUAUCGUUCCAACUCCAGCAUAAGCUUGACAGCGACAGGUCUUAAGGCACUCUCUUCUGCAUUCACUUUCAUCCUUAUCCGAAAACUCAAUGUCAUACUUUCUUACUUUAAUCAUCUUCAAGAUCAAGAAUGUGUCCCCACAGAGGGUUGUCUUUUUAGAACACCCACCUGAAAAAUCUCCAUUAGUCCAUCUCUCCAGCGAGUUAGGCUCGAAUCCAGGCAAACAUUUGCACAUAAAUGCAUUGUUAACAUUGCAAGAACCGAAAUUCCCACAAGCAUUCAACACACUGCAUCGGUCUUGCGGCGCCCACCAGAAUGCAGACCACUCCUCCGUAUAAUUAUCCCAAACUAGAUAUCUUAUUUCCCCGGUGAAAUUCAUCACCAACCGUGUAUAAGAACUGCGGACAAAUUCAGACCCAGUUGGUUUUCGGGUCUUGCUAAAAUUGGAUAAGAGCUCGGCUGCUGCAGAACUCAUUCCUUCUGAUUCCUCACUUCUCCAAUAUUUAACAAUUGAAUCUUCAAAUAUGAUAUACUGAUCUUUAUCAUCAUCUUGCUUGAAAGUAUAGCUUCCAGGUGCAGGGUCAACGGGGCUUACCCAUGAAGUCAAUGUUAAGUUUCCCUCCAUAAUCAUCCCAGGAAGAAAAGUAUCAGUUGGGUUCUUGAAACUCUCCCAAAGAAUCUUCCCAGAUCUGUUGUCCCUUAAAACAAAGUUCCCAGAAUCCAUGACCUUGGCCACCCUACCCAUGGAAGAUGAGCUUCCAAGAUUAGUAAACCAGUAAGCUGCUCCACUUUCAUUCACUAGCUUGAGGUUACCGUCAUCUGCAAUGGCAAGAGCUCCAACACUGUCGUCAGGAAGGGGGUUGUCUCUAUUGGCUACCCAUACAACUGUUCUCUCCUUCAACCCGUAGUACCAUAUGCCAAUGUAUUUUCCAUUGUUGAACCCUCCCUUGGGAAUAAAGAAGCCCAAUUCAAAAGUUUGAUUGGCUGAAACAAGAGUUCCUCUACCAUCAUCAAUAAGCAAAUUGUCUGGUGUGAUGGUAUCUCUAGCAGAGCAGCACAGGAUAGAACACAAGAAGAAAAAGAUUGCAUGUCGCAUUGAAUUGCAGAGACUGAAACCAUUAAUUUUCAUCUAGUCCUUUGCAGGAUAGAACCCAAGAAGAAAAAGAUUGCAGACAGCAUAUGAGUUGCAGAGACUGAAACCAUUAAUUUUCAUCUAGUCCUGUUGCCCACCAUUUUUUUUAAUGGUAAGAGUAUGAAAAGUUUGGUGGCAGAGUUGAGUGUGGGGUUGCUGCUGCUGUAACGCACUCUCAAUAUUAUCAUAAAUAAAUAAAUAAAGAUUAUUAAAAAAAAAAAAAAAACCUCCAUUGUAUCUAGGUUGACAUCUUAUUAUGGGAAAAGAAAGAAAGGAAAAAAAAGCAAUGCAGAAUUAAAUUAAAAAAAAAUCCAAAAAAUUAAAAGUGAAAUGGAAAUUCUGCCCUCCCUAAAAAUAUAAAUUUAGUUUUAAUUCUUUUUUUAAUUAAAAAAACAAUAAUGAUAAUUAAACAUUAUUAAUAAAAAAUAAUACUUACCUUUGAGUAUUAAUGAUAUAUUAAGAUUUAAUUAAAAUUUAAAAAUAUAUUUUAUGUUAAUACCUAUUUCUUCCCUUUUUAUCCUAUCUUUAUCUUUUUUUUAGUGGAACCAUUGUUCCAAUUUAUUUUGCAUUAAUUCAAAUUAUAUGAGCUUUUUUGUUUUAUAAUAAACCCUUCAAUGAAAUUGACUUUUUAAAAUUUUGUAUUUGAUGGUUUAUAAGCUUUAAUUUAAUGGUGGGUUAUCUAUAGUUUUAAUCUUAAUAUUUAAAAAAAAAUAUUUUUAAAAUUUGUGACAUUUAAUUAAAUAAUAAAUUUUGCUUUCUUUAGUUUUUGAUGAUUUACUCUUAUUGAAUUGUUUAUAUGAAGUGAUAGCUUAUGUUUUAUUUUAAUUAUAAAGCUGAUGCACCUUAAUAAAAUAUUUUGACUAUAAAUAAUAUCGGUAAAGAUCUCUACACAUAUUGUGUAAUAUAUUUGAUGAAGACCUCUACAUAUAUUGUCUACUUUUGAGUCCAUUAGCUUUUAUAUUCCUACUUAUAACAUUGUUUACAUAUUCCAAAUAGCUAAUGGGUGGUCAUCCUCAUGUUUUCAAUUAGGAAUUAGUUUUAAUAUCACUUAACCCAACUCAUGUAACCUUAUUUUCUUUAAACCCAUUAAUCCUCGCAACUUUAAACCCUAACAACAAAUGGGCCACCCUUAAAGUACUAAAAAUUUCUUAUUCAAAUGAUAUGAAAUAUUAUAUUCGAUCAUUUAUAUAGACACAUUGUUCUCAUCAUGACCCAUAGGGUUUAUGGAUAGUCAAAACUCUACAUAUUUUUUAUUAGGGAUUAGCACAACCUACUAGACUUCUUGAUUUUACGUAUACUAAAUGCAUCACUCUUCUAAGUAUUACGAAUUCUCAUAUGAGAAUUUGAAAAAGGGAAAAGUGGGUUUUUCCUCACUAAUUUAAAGAUAUAUAGAAAAAAAAACCUCAAAUUUUAUAAAUAAGUUUUAUCUUUAUCAAUUUAAAAAUAUUUUAAAAUACAUACACUUUUACAUAAAUCAGAUAAUUAUUUUUUGAAAUAGCACUUUACUUGAUAAUAUAAAAUAAAAUUAUCAAAAAAUAUUUAUCAUUUUAAGUUAAUAAAAGUACAUUGCAAACAAAUAUAUUAUAAAUUUUUAUUAUAUAAUAUAAGGUACAAAUCAUUAUGGAAAAAUUCAGUAUAUUCCUCAAGUGAUAAAUAAUUUUUUUGCUAAUUCUCUAGCUAAUAAUGAUUUUAUAUUUUAUAUUAUAUAAAUCCCUUCAUCUUCUUACCUUUUUUUAAAAAAAAUAAAAUUGAAUAAAAUUUUUGUUGAUUUACAUCAACAAUAAAAUAAGAAACUUAAAAAAAAAAACCUAAAAGUUAAAAUAUAAAAAUAAAAUAUUGACUUUCAAUUGGCGUACACUAGUUAAAAAUCUAGAUAUAAUGGAAGGCAAUAUUUUCUUUUAUUUUAUUUUAUUUUAAAUUUUUAAGUAUUUUAGUUUUAAUUGUAUUUUUAAAAUUUUAAAUUUCUUAUUUUAUUGUUCCUAAGGAUGUUUGUUUCUAGAGAGAGAAAAAAAAUCUUAAAUCAAGUCUCACAAUUAACAGAACUAAAAGAAAAAUUAGUUUUUUACAAUUAAAUAUUUAUGUAUCUACUUGUUAAUUGGUAUUAUUAACAUAGUAAGUGCAAGUAAAAUGUUAUUUCAGAAAAUAAUUAUCUGACUUAAAAAAAUAUAUGUAUUUUAAAAUAUUUUUAAAUGGAAGAAGAUAAAAUUGAUUUAUAAAAUUUGGGGGUUUUCUUUUCUAUAUUUUUUUUUCAAACUAGUGACUUAUAAUCCACUUUUCCCAAAUCAACACAUUUACACCGAUUAAAAUAAUGAUAUAAAUAACAUUUUUUUUCUUAACUUUCAUGUUUUAUUAAGAUAUCAUGUUUUGUACCUAAAAAGAAAAGAAUGACAAAGAAAAUAAUUUUCUCACAUGUAAUAGAAAAAGAAAAAUAGUAAGGAAAUGAUGAGAGAAAAUUUAAAAGAUUUUCUUUUCCAUUUUCAUUAGAUAAAAGCAUGAAAAAUUUAGGAAAAAAAAUAUAUACUACUCAAUAAUUCAAUUUUCUAGAAACCAAAUAUAGUCUAAUAUUGCUCUACGUUCAAAGUCAAUUUUCAACAAUGAAUUCUCCUCUUACAGUACUUCUUCUUAACUCGAUUGUGACAAGUGUUGUCAUAUGAAUUUUCUUCCCUCAAUCUACCUACUGUGAAAUGUAAUGUAAAAAAAAAGAAAAAGUACUCCUAAUCGAAUAAUGAGUAAUCACUAGAGACUUUGGAGUGUAGCAUGCAUCCUAUUCUUUAAUUAUUGUCUCUCAAACCAGUCUUAACAUUUUUAUUCAUUGAAUUAAAUUAUUAAAUAUACAAAUUAUUGACUGGUGUCUAAGUUUUUUCUUUCUUCAAUUUCUAGCUUUAAGUUCCCAAAUGAAAAAAAAAAAUUGUCAAGAUCUUGAUUAGAAAAACCUAUUGUUUAAUUGGAAAUAAAGUGGACUCAGUCUCCUUUCUUGUUGAUACAUUGCUUUCAUCUCUUUUCCUUCUGGCUGGCUACUAUGCUUCCCGCUCUCUUCCCAAGCCUAAAAGAAGGAUAACAUUUUGUUUGUUCCUCCGCCCCCCCUAUGAAUACAUGUCACUGGCUAUGAUCAUGAUGAUGUUCAUUUUUUAAAACAAAGAAAAAUGAAAAAUAUGAGCAUCAACCAAUAAAUUUUAGUACCCUUUCUCCAACUUGGAGGAGUUCCAAAUGGGUAAUUUUUUUAUAUUUUUGUUAUAAUUUUUAUGUUUUUUAUUUUAAAUAAACAAGACAAUCCAUUUUUCUUCUGAACAUUUUUUCUUUUCCCCUUUAGCCCUAAUGGCAGUCCACUUCAAAUAUUUUUGUGCCCAAAGGGUCAAAACUAAGGAAAGAUUCAAGAAAAAAUUAGGAGAAUUAAAAAUCAAAGCCCAAAAAGGGUUCCAGCAAGUGGAUGAUUUUUCUCAGUCAACUACUGCAAUUUGGGUCUUCCUUCCUCUACUUCCUAUUUUAUUUCCCAUAGGUAGGUUAGGCACAUUGACAUCUUUUUAUCCAUUUCUGUUUGCUUUUGUGCUUUUUUGGGAAAUCAUAAUCUGAUGUAGAUCCUGAUGGAACAGGUUUCUAUAGAAAAAUCAACAAGGGCUUUUUUUUUUUUACUUUUAGUUAGAUUCUGUUAUCUCAUGGGUAUGGCAUGGAAGAAUUGAUCCUUCACUCAAAAUUGAGAGGAAAAAAAAUAGAUGUUUAUUUAUUUUUGUAUUAUAGCUCCUUUACACAUGUCACAAUCCCAUUUGCCUUAAUUCGUAGGCAUGACAUCCAAAAGUACUUUUCAGUACCAUAAUUUGAUGGAAAAAGUGGGUUUUGACUCGUUAAGGAAAAUUCUAUAUUACCUCAUGGGUAUGGCAUGGAUGAAUUGACCAUUCAAUGAAAAUUAAGGGGAAAAAAUAGAUGUUUAUUUAUUUUUGUGUUAUAGCUCCUUUACAUAUGUCACAAUCUCAUUUAUAUUAAUUUGUUGGCAUGGCAUCCGAAAAUAAUUUUCGAUACCAUAAUUUAAUGAGAAAAUAAGUUUUGAUUCACUAAUAUGAAAUAUAUAGAUAAAAAAAAAUCUUAAUUUUUCAAAAUCAAUAUUAUCUUCAUUUAUUUAAAAAUCAACAAGGGGUUUUUUUUAUUUAAUUUAUAGGAAUAUUCUAUGUUACCUCAUUGGUAUGGCAUGGAAGAAUUGACCAUUCAUUGAAAAUUAAGGGAAAAAAUAGAUAUUUAUUUAUUUUUGUAUUAUAGCUCCUUCACACAUGUCACAAACCUAUCUAUGUUAGUAGUACAUGUGAUGCUUGCAAAUAAACACAAAUAGGAGAAGGUGCAGAGUUAGCAUCACAUGUUCAUGUAUUACAAUAUGAUUGGUUCUUUCUCUUUCCUCCAUAAAAUUCUCUUAUAUAGUUGACUGGUUCUUUCUCAUAUAUGGUUGUAGAUAUGAUUUGAUCAAACCGCAUUAAAACCCGGGUAACUUAGUUUGCUUUAUUUAUGUUAUUCUGUUCAAUCUGGCAUUAUAGUUUUUUAUCUUGCAAGGAUUCCAUUGAAAAACAUAACUGAAAGGGCUUUUAAGAUUUGGAGUAUAAAUAUAGUUUCCAAUAUCUUCCAAUAUAUGUUGUGGGCUCAGAAAGAAGUCCUCCCAAUUGUACUGAAAAAUCAGUGCAUUUAUGCUGCAAUUUGUUAAUAUAGUUCAGUCAGAAACAGAGCAGAUAAACAGAUAUAACAACAAAAUCCUGGGAGUUGGACAAUUUAUUAGCAGCCUUCACCAUGUACAGGAUCCCAUAGAGACGUCCAAAACAGAGCAUCAAAUGGGAACUCCUCCUGGACUAUCAACCUUCUUCUAUGGUAGCUAGGAUUUCACUGUUCCAGGAUGCUUCAGGUUUGCUAGAAGAAGAAGCUGUCCUAGAAAGGUCUCUUUUUAUGACAAAUGCCGGUUGUUUAGGAACCGGCAUUGUUGCAAUGUCACUACUGAGCAUUACAACUGCAACUGCUAUGGUGGGUCGGUCACUUGGGUCUUCUUGCACACACAACAACCCAACAUUCACACACCUCAAAAAUUCUUUUGUGUUGCAUGUUUCGCUUAGUGUCUGGUCCAUCAGCUCCAACACCUUGUCUUCUUUCAAUAGCUUCCAUGCCUGGGACAGUUUGAGAAUAGAAAGUUAAGUAUGGUAUGGUAUAUCGUUGAGAACGACUAAAAGAUCAAUGCAAAUGAGAGAUUCAAAGCCCUCACUUGACCCAGAAGGCUCAGUGUUUGGUCAGACUGAUAAAAGCGAGUGUUCCUCUUCCCACUGAUGAUCUCAAGCACCAUAACACCAAAGCUAAAGACAUCAGACUUCUCUGAGAAAAACCCAUCCAAUGCAUACUCUGGAGACAUAUAGCCACUGCAUUGAACCAGUUAAAAGCACUACUCUGUUAAUUGGGGAUGCGAUCAUGCAACUGCUUGCUUUUUUCAGUACACAAUAUGCAAUACUUACUAAGUUCCAACUACUCUGUUUGUGCUUGCCUCUACUUGCUUACUGUAAAAAAUCCUCGCCAAGCCAAAGUCUGAAAUUUUGGGAUUCAUCUCAUCAUCAAGUAGAAUGUUGCUUGUUUUCAAGUCCCUAUGAAUAAUCUUCAGUCUUGAAUCUUGGUGAAGAUACAGCAGCCCUCGAGCAAUUCCCAUAAUGAUGUCAAACCGCUUCUCCCAGUUCAGUAACUUGCAUAGGGUUCGAUCUUGCAAGGUUCCCAUUGGAAAGCAUUACUUCAGAUAUGUAUACAAGAAUGUAUAUGUUACAUGAAAAAUAAAAGGGCUUUAAGGCAGGUUUAGAGACAAACCAAAUAUGAAGGAAUCUAAGCUUUUGUUGGGCAUAUAUUCAUAGAGUAAAAUCUUCUCAUCACCUUCAACACAAUAGCCCAAAAGUCUAACCAGAUUCCGAUGCUGAAGUUUGGCAAUUAACACAACCUCAUUCUUAAAUUCCUGUAGGCCUUGUCCUGAAGCUCUAGAGAGUCUCUUAACCGCAAUUUCUCGCCCCUCUGGAAACUUGCCCUGGAAGCCACAGUGCAUAUGCAUUGGGCAUAUGUUAGAACUUGGUGACUUGAAUUCUAUUUGGUUCGAUUCCAGAAGCUCGCGAUGCGACAUAGGUAGUAAAGCUAAAAUUAUGAAUUUUUUUUUUGGUCUAUGGUAGUAACAGAGGGAUCGGACCUAUUACUCUUUCAUGUAUAUAUAUAUAUAUAUAUAUAUACAUGCGGUGAUAUAUAGUUUUCAAUGUUAUGAUGAUUAUGUUUUUGCUAUAGUCGUCCGUAUCUCUUUCCUCUUGUACUAAUUUUUGACAUAGUAAAAUUUCUUCUCUUUGUGGUCUUUCUUAUCUAGGGUUUUCCACACAAAUCUAUGUGUUCUUAUCCUGUUUUAUUCCUUAUUGCAUAUUCUCAUUAUUUUGUAACAGCAUUGAUGAUGAGAAAUCAGUUGAAAAUGAGAGGAACAUGGAAGUUAAGAACAAUUACCUUGUAAACUGGACCAAAACCCCCUUGUCCAAGCUUAUUUGCAUCUGAAAAGUUAUCUGUAGCAGCCAGUAUGUCUUCUAAGUCGAAAAACGGUACAUCAAUGCCUUUCUUAUCCUCUUCUUUGAAUUGCUCUGAGUCUAUUAAGUGUUUCACAUGACUCUCACUAUCAUAUAAGUGAAGCACUUGAUUUGCUCUGUUCUCUGAACUCAAAAAAAAAACAGAAAAUAUUGUAUAGAAGACCCUGAAAUAUUCUCAAUUCAGCCAAGCACAAGUCGAAAAGAAAAGACCAGAAGUUAUAGGCUAGUGCAUAUGGCACAAAGAUUACCUUUCCUUUUGGUGAUGGUUCUUUUGCGCAAACAAGCAAUAUAACCAAUGAUGCCUAAAACCGCAACUAGAACGACAGCAAUUGUUAUGCCUACCACAACCACUGGAGAUGACGACGAUGACUUCUGAUCAGCAGGCUUUGUACCCUCUGCAGGAUUGACACCUGAAACAAAGAAGGAACUGAAUUGAACUUCUCUCACCUACCCAGAAGGCAAAUUUAGUAAGAUACUUGGUGAACAGAAUCCUCACCUUGUGUACAAUUUAAACUUGAGCUAUUCCAUUUGAAGUUUUCAUUGCAAAAGCACCUUCUCGUUCCAUCUCGCGUUCCGCAGGUUGAAUUUGGCCAGUCCUUGCAAUCUGCUGAUGAGGUACACACCGGCUCCAAUGGUGGAUCCCAACUGAUCUCUACUUCAAUACUAUUUUUCAAUGACAUCUCAGAGCCAAAAUUGUCAGUUCCAACCUCUUUGCACACAUCAGUCAAGUGAAAAGGCGGGUUUAGUGGCGGAAUCAGACUUCGUGAACUGCAAUCCGCUUCUUUCAGUUGGAUUACAAAUGUUAAUGUCUCUGGGUUAAUGCUAGUUACUCGGUAGGGACCACCAGGUACCUUGAACUGAACCUGGGCUGUGAUAUUGUUACAUUCAAAAUUGAAGUACGUUGAAUCACCACACUUUGAUCCAGUGCUUAGAGGAUAAGGAAUCAUGUUUGAGCCACAAGUUUCACAAUUCCUUAAUGUUGUUUCUGCAAAGACAGUAGAAUACCAUGUGGGCAUUUCAGUUACAAAUGGAUUAAUGCUUGUUUUUUCAAAGAAAAAAUAAAAUAAAAAUUGAAAGGGACAUACUUAUAUCUGAAAUGGCCACACGAACGGAGAGGUUGUAGGCAUCAGAGGCAUACUCCUCCUGAAGAUCAGUAAGGUCAUCCGUCCAAAUCAAGCAAUAUUCUAGGGCAUCAGUGACACCUCUUUGUCGUUUGAUAUAAGUUUCAGCAUAAGCUUGACAUCGGCAUUCUUUAAGGCAAGCCUUUCUGCAAUAAUCACUAUCAUUCGUAUCUGGUAUAAUCACACGGUCUGGCUUUCUCACUUUCAUCAUCUUUAAGCUCAGGAACACGUCUUCACUGGAACUCUUCUCGCAUAUGGGAGACUUUCUGGUACACCCACUUGAAAACUCUUCAGUUUUCCAAAUAUCCGGCGAGGCGGGUUUGAACCCAGGUAAACAUUUGCACAUCAAAGCAUUGUUAGUGUUACAACUACCGAAUUUCCCACAAGCUUUUGGCACACUGCAUCGAUCUUGCGGUGCCCACCAGUCUGGAGAUGAUCUACUCGGAUUCAGAUAGUACCUGAUUUCCCCUGAAGAACUCAUCACCAACCGACUGGUAUUCUUAUACCUGGAGGACACUAUUUCAAGGGUUCUAUUGUAGAAUUUUCCAGGGCUGGUUGACUUGCCGGUCUUGCUGAAGUUGGAUAACAAGCUGAGUAUUGCAUAUGGCAUUUCUUUCGAGUCCUCACUGCUCCAAUAUGAGACAAAUGAAUCCUGUAUGUUAUACUGAUCCUCAUUGUCUUGAUCUAGCUUGAAAGUAAAGUUUCCAGGUGCCGGGUCAACAGAACUCAGCCAUGAAGUCAAUAUUAAGUUUUCAUCCAUCUUCAUCCCAGGAAGAAAAGUAUCUGUAGGAUGAUCGAAGCUCUCCCAAAGAAUUAUCCCUGAUCUGUUGUCACUCAAAACAAGGUUCCCAGAGUCCAUGAGCUUCACCACCCUCCCUGUUGAUGAAUAUGUUGCAAUAUCAGAAGACCAGUGAACUGUCCCAUUUGCAUCCAAUACCUUGAGCUCACCAUCUUCUUUAAUGGCAAAAACUCCAGAGGGGGUAUCAGAAAGGGGAAGGGGUUUCUUUCGGUUGGCCACCCAUACAACGCUUCGUGGUUUCGACUUGUAAUACCAUAUGCCCACGAAUCUUCCAAUCUUGGAGCUUCCAUUUGGAUUAAAGAAGCCAAGUUCAAAGGUUUUGCCUGCAGAAACAACAGUUUCUCCAUCAUCACUAAGCCAGUCCUCCGGUGUGAUGGUAUCUCUAGCAGAGCAAUACAGGACAGAACACAAGACGAAAAAGAUGGUAGAUAGCAUGUGAGUUGCAGAGACAGGAACCAUGAAUUUUCUUCUUAUCAUUUUGCCUCUUUUUAGAGCUGUGUCCUCAAAUCUAUAGUUUUUAGUGGAGACUUUUCCUCUUGACCCUGAGUGGAGCAAAGUCACGUACUGUUCUUAGUCUUCCUCCCGCAAACCAAAUAAGGGUUGUCCUUUUGUACCCACUAUUUAUUUUGGACCUACCUACCCUCGUUUCAGGACUUUUCUUAAUAGUACGGUAAUUUAAAAAAAUUAUGCUUAAAUUAUUGUAGUAGAAAAAGUUAUUACAAAUAUAUGGUAGUUUUUGCCACCUAGGAGAGAGGAGAUAGGAGAGAAAAGAGAGGGUGAACAGAUAAUUUUUUUUUUAAACCAAAAUCAUCUUUUCAAAUUUCAAAAGACGAAAUCGUCUUUUCAAAAGACGAUUUUAAAAAAAUUUCAAAAGGGAAAUCGUCUCUUUAAGAGACGAGUUCCCAUGAAAAAAAAUAUAUAUUUUUUUUUUAAAAAUUCCCAAAUUAUAAAAAAAAUAAAAAAAUAAAAAAUUCCUCAAGGGAACUCGUCUCUUCAAGAGACGAAUUCCCAUGAAAAAAAAAAAAUCCUCAAGGGAACUCGUUUCUUCAAAAAUAUAUAUAUAUAUAUAUAUAUAUAUAUAUAUAUAUAUAUAUUUAUAUAUAUAUAUAUAUAUAUAUUUAAAAAAUUCCCAAAUUAUAUUUAAAAAAAAAAAAAAAAAACAAUUCAUCAAGGAAACUUGUCUCUUGAAGAAAUUAAAAAAAAAAAAAGAAUUCCCAAAUUNNNNNNNNNNNNNNNNNNNNNNNNNNNNNNNNNNNNNNNNNNNNNNNNNNNNNNNNNNNNNNNNNNNNNNNNNNNNNNNNNNNNNNNNNNNNNNNNNNNNNNNNNNNNNNNNNNNNNNNNNNNNNNNNNNNNNNNNNNNNNNNNNNNNNNNNNNNNNNNNNNNNNNNNNNNNNNNNNNNNNNNNNNNNNNNNNNNNNNNNNNNNNNNNNNNNNNNNNNNNNNNNNNNNNNNNNNNNNNNNNNNNNNNNNNNNNNNNNNNNNNNNNNNNNNNNNNNNNNNNNNNNNNNNNNNNNNNNNNNNNNNNNNNNNNNNNNNNNNNNNNNNNNNNNNNNNNNNNNNNNNNNNNNNNNNNNNNNNNNNNNNNNNNNNNNNNNNNNNNNNNNNNNNNNNNNNNNNNNNNNNNNNNNNNNNNNNNNNNNNNNNNNNNNNNNNNNNNNNNNNNNNNNNNNNNNNNNNNNNNNNNNNNNNNNNNNNNNNNNNNNNNNNNNNNNNNNNNNNNNNNNNNNNNNNNNNNNNNNNNNNNNNNNNNNNNNNNNNNNNNNNNNNNNNNNNNNNNNNNNNNNNNNNNNNNNNNNNNNNNNNNNNNNNNNNNNNNNNNNNNNNNNNNNNNNNNNNNNNNNNNNNNNNNNNNNNNNNNNNNNNNNNNNNNNNNNNNNNNNNNNNNNNNNNNNNNNNNNNNNNNNNNNNNNNNNNNNNNNNNNNNNNNNNNNNNNNNNNNNNNNNNNNNNNNNNNNNNNNNNNNNNNNNNNNNNNNNNNNNNNNNNNNNNNNNNNNNNNNNNNNNNNNNNNNNNNNNNNNNNNNNNNNNNNNNNNNNNNNNNNNNNNNNNNNNNNNNNNNNNNNNNNNNNNNNNNNNNNNNNNNNNNNNNNNNNNNNNNNNNNNNNNNNNNNNNNNNNNNNNNNNNNNNNNNNNNNNNNNNNNNNNNNNNNNNNNNNNNNNNNNNNNNNNNNNNNNNNNNNNNNNNNNNNNNNNNNNNNNNNNNNNNNNNNNNNNNNNNNNNNNNNNNNNNNNNNNNNNNNNNNNNNNNNNNNNNNNNNNNNNNNNNNNNNNNNNNNNNNNNNNNNNNNNNNNNNNNNNNNNNNNNNNNNNNNNNNNNNNNNNNNNNNNNNNNNNNNNNNNNNNNNNNNNNNNNNNNNNNNNNNNNNNNNNNNNNNNNNNNNNNNNNNNNNNNNNNNNNNNNNNNNNNNNNNNNNNNNNNNNNNNNNNNNNNNNNNNNNNNNNNNNNNNNNNNNNNNNNNNNNNNNNNNNNNNNNNNNNNNNNNNNNNNNNNNNNNNNNNNNNNNNNNNNNNNNNNNNNNNNNNNNNNNNNNNNNNNNNNNNNNNNNNNNNNNNNNNNNNNNNNNNNNNNNNNNNNNNNNNNNNNNNNNNNNNNNNNNNNNNNNNNNNNNNNNNNNNNNNNNNNNNNNNNNNNNNNNNNNNNNNNNNNNNNNNNNNNNNNNNNNNNNNNNNNNNNNNNNNNNNNNNNNNNNNNNNNNNNNNNNNNNNNNNNNNNNNNNNNNNNNNNNNNNNNNNNNNNNNNNNNNNNNNNNNNNNNNNNNNNNNNNNNNNNNNNNNNNNNNNNNNNNNNNNNNNNNNNNNNNNNNNNNNNNNNNNNNNNNNNNNNNNNNNNNNNNNNNNNNNNNNNNNNNNNNNNNNNNNNNNNNNNNNNNNNNNNNNNNNNNNNNNNNNNNNNNNNNNNNNNNNNNNNNNNNNNNNNNNNNNNNNNNNNNNNNNNNNNNNNNNNNNNNNNNNNNNNNNNNNNNNNNNNNNNNNNNNNNNNNNNNNNNNNNNNNNNNNNNNNNNNNNNNNNNNNNNNNNNNNNNNNNNNNNNNNNNNNNNNNNNNNNNNNNNNNNNNNNNNNNNNNNNNNNNNNNNNNNNNNNNNNNNNNNNNNNNNNNNNNNNNNNNNNNNNNNNNNNNNNNNNNNNNNNNNNNNNNNNNNNNNNNNNNNNNNNNNNNNNNNNNNNNNNNNNNNNNNNNNNNNNNNNNNNNNNNNNNNNNNNNNNNNNNNNNNNNNNNNNNNNNNNNNNNNNNNNNNNNNNNNNNNNNNNNNNNNNNNNNNNNNNNNNNNNNNNNNNNNNNNNNNNNNNNNNNNNNNNNNNNNNNNNNNNNNNNNNNNNNNNNNNNNNNNNNNNNNNNNNNNNNNNNNNNNNNNNNNNNNNNNNUCAUGUCUUAGCUGCUACACGUAUAUCAGAAUUUCGGGGCUGUUCAGACUUGGGCAAUAUAUGGCCAGUUUAUUCAUCCAACCUACCAGUACUUUCUGGUUAUGGAGCAUCACGAUCAGAUGUUAAUUGUAAGAGCUUUGCGUCCAUUUGACGAGAUUGGACAUGUAAUCAGCAGGAGGGAGAAUUCCGUUAAAAGUGUAAGGAAGUCCAUGAUACAUUGGGAAGGCCUGUAUUACUCAAUCUCCUUAGAUACGGAAUGGUAAAAUAGAAGAGAACAUCUUGUUUAAUAAGAAGAUGGACAGAGAAAGGUAUGAAAGGGUUCUUGAUGCAUAUUCCUUGAAAAAGAACCUGGAGGUUCUCUCAUUUGGUGAUCAGACAGUUAUAGUGCUGUGGAUGCUCGCGCAGGAACCAAUUUCUUUAAAGAAUAUUUGUUGUGUCUCUUAGGUUCGAAAGUAGUGAUUUAUGUUACGCAUCAAGUAGAGUUCUUACCUGUUGCUGAUUUCAUAUUGGUCAUAAAAGAUGUAAUCUUUCUUUCAGAGCAAGAACCCAUGUUAUCCUUUGCUUCAGAAUUACUAGAUCAUGUGGGCUUUCAAGAGAACGAAAUUGUGACAGAGGCUUUCAUAUAGGCACUUACAAGCAAGAAGAUUCUGAAUCUGUAUACUUGGAAGCUUCAGUUUUUAAGGCUCUGUUUCAUUUCAUAUAUUGAGAUCCAUUACCUAGCAUAGAAGAGUUCUUCUACUUUAAGAGGCUUAGUAUCUGCUCAACAGAUUGGUACAGUCCAGGUAGGUCCAGGCAGCUAUGCGAGUCUAAUCUCCGUGAAGAUGCUGCUGUAAAUAUUGUAGCAACUACCUUAGCUUGUGAUCAGAAUAGCACCUCUGUUUCCAGCUAAAAGCUGGAUGUCACAAAUUUGUUGAAAUCUUUGAAAAAUCUGAGAACCGUAGGCCUUUUGUCUGAUUCUCUUUCCAGUAACCCAAUCAGAAAAGGUAUUGGAGCAUGUCAUGGAGUGCAUUGUGCCAGUCUCUGGUUUAUCCAUGGUAGAAAGGCAACAAACUUGAUAAGUGGUUCACGUAUGCAAUGUUUAUAUGCAAUAAACAGAGUGCUAACAGUCUUUGUUACUACUUCUAAACUGGUCCAUUAUGUGAAAUAACCAGCUUAGAUCCAAGAUUUAUAAUCGGUUUGAUUUGGUCAGGAAAGACAAAGUGCUAUGCUCACUAGCUUGGUCGAUUGGCAUUAAUGUUGGCGAAUUUUGGAGCAUUCAUAUAAGCUUUAUAGAGUUUAUGAAACAGCAGUAGCGGCUGGGGAUCUGGAGUCAGUUCUCCAUGUACGAAACGAAAAUGGCAAUUUUUUUUUUGCACACCAGUGGAGAAGGCAAAUUCAAACUGCUCUUCUAAAAAGGAAUUUGUACGAAUCCCAGAAUUCUUUCUUAUGCUGUGCUUAAUAGGUAACAGAAGUGGUUGUGGAACUUGACACUGCAGUAUCAAGAGAAUAAGAGCAUGGAAGAAUGGCUUCAGUUGGUUCUGUCUUGUUAUCUAAGAGUCCAGUGAGUAUCAAAAAGCAAUAAAUUUUGAGAAGUCUUCAUCAGCAGAAUCAGGUCGUCAAUCUUCUUCCUCGACAUAGCUGGAUAUGACAUAGAAGAAAAGAAAGAUGAAAGAGCUGGCACUUGAAUUUUCACAGAGCCCCAUUAUUUAGGACAGCAACAUGUGGACCACCUUCAACUACCUUGACUCCAAUUGAUGGUUCAGAUGAAUAUGAAUUUGUUUCUAAACCCUCUGAGGCAGAAUCCCUCACGUGCCAGACAUACCAUGAGCUUAUUGCUUUAAUUUAUGACUCAAUUGAAGUUGUUAAUUAAGCCUAAACCAUAGUAGCAAUAUGAGGAAACUCUCUGCUAAUGUUCAUGAUUCAUUUCCUGAUUUGAGCAGUCGCACAUCUUUUGCAAAUAAAUUUGCAGAAACUGGUGUACCUAUGGGUAAUAAUGAUAAGUUACAUCACUUCGGUCUGUUAAUAUCUGAGUACAGAGGCUCCCAUAUGAGGUCUAGUCAGUCAUCAAAUCUAUCUACAAAUAUAGGCGAUCAAAGUCACUUCAUAUGUACCUUACAUGAGAGAGAUGCUUUAUUGCCCAGACAGAGUUCGAUAGGUGCUGCGUCCGAUCAAUCUCUUAUUGCAAAGACAUAAUCUGAUGAUUGUUGAAGAAAUAUAUGAUCUAAAUCCCGUGUUCAUCAAAAUGCCAUAGAUGCCCGGCAUUUAUCUCGCAUGGAGCAAGAAUUCAAUAGCUAUGACUUGACAGCAGCAACAAGUUCGCAAUCAGUUUCGAAUCCUACGGAUGCUCAAGCUGUCUUUGGAACCCUGACAAGAAGGAGUAGCUAUUCAGACUGUCUCCAACAAUACACCCAGCGCUGAUAGUUUCUGAUGGAUAACAGAGAUCAGUGCAAGGAAAUGGGAGGGUGCUGCUGCUGUUCUUCUAAGGGAAUUGAACUGAAUGGCAUACCAGCAUACUAUUCUUGCCCAAGAGCAUCAGAAGAACAUGAACUCUUAUCAUCUCGUCAUGGAACAGCCUCCACGCUCUCUACAGGACUCUUAGUUGAUACAGAUCUGGGAACAUCACCUUCUGACGCUUAUAGACCACCUCCUGCACCAAUUCCAUACGAUGUGGAUUGAGGACAUCCUCAAACUUCACCAGUUGCUGAAGAUAGCUAAUGUGGUCUUAUAAUGAGAACUCCCUGCUCCGUAUAAGAGGAAAGUCUUGAUUCAAGGUAGAAGGACGCAUGGUUCAAUCAGUGACUAAGAGAUACUUGGUUUUCGAAACGGCUAGGUCCAGAUUUUGCAGCUGUCGAUAGGGAUGUUCUGGCCAGAAUUGCAUAUUCUAAAUUAUUUGAUUGGGUUGUGGGCAAGACAAUUUGUUCUCCUUAUGACAGAUAGAUUGCAUUCGAAGAUGGAUGAUCUUUUAUAGACUGUGGAUUCUGCCAUUGACCUCCAUAACAAGAUGAUUAAAAAUGUGUACCUGAUAUUAAAACAGAAAUGAACUGGACAGUCCCAGAGAUCAAAGGUAACUUAGCUGAGCAAAUUGAAGAUGCUGGAAACUGCACCCUAGGAGGGAGGCUGCAAGACAAGCUCAGGUAAAAGCUGAUGAAAUUGCAAAGCUGAUGAAAGAAAAUGAGCAGCUAAAAAUUGUAAAUGAGGAUUUUGAAGAGAAAAUCCAAUGCAGCAGAAACUGAGUCUCUACGAGAAAAGCAAGCUGCUCCAGAAUUUCAGAUUGAGAAGUCAAGGGCACAGAUUAGAGAGUUUGAAGAAGAGAAGAAAUGACUGACAACCAAACUACAGGUGGAAGAGAAUAAGGUGGAGAGUAUUAAAAAGAGCAAGUGACAAGCAACACAAAUCGAAGCUUGCCACUGCCAGUGACUCUAAUGACGCUGCUGAUUCUAAAUUCAGGUUAAAAGAUUUAAAUUUGAGAGUAAAUAUAAUGUUUCUCAAUUCAAUAGAACCCACCAGUGGGCUUGCUUAGUUUGACAGAACACAUCAGCAAGUUAGCAUCUGACCAGCAUGAAUAAGAAUCAGUGGGCUCACUUUACCUUGAUUGUCCUCUUGUUGAUGAUCUCCAAGUGAAUCAGAGGUAGCAAGUCCAGGUAUCAGAAGGGUUGGGGUAACUUAACGAUGAGAGCAAGUGAAGAACCUACAGAUUGCCUAAUUGUUUCCAAGAUUACUCACAGUUAUGUUCCAGAUUUUGAAGAAUUCCAUAAGCACUGUGGAGUAGGAAAAGUUGUUUCUGGUUAUGUUUUAAAUGUCAAUAAGGAGCUUUAAGACAUGCCAAUAAACCGCCAAGGCGCCUAAUGAAGGUUGUGACCUAUAUCUAGAUGAUUUUGGGAUGCCCAGUUGCGGCUUCUGAACACAGGGACCUUUUCGAAGAGAAAAUAACAACAAAUUUCCGCAACAACCUCAUCAAUUUCAACAGCAGUUCGUUCCAAGUCAACAUCAACAGAAGCCAUCGGAAUCAAUUCCAGCAGAUCUCCUCUAAAGACCGUUCUAGAGCCCAAUACCAUUUUCCUCUUGCACCCUCCUGUUCUCCUCGUGCUUUUACGUGUUUUGAAUUGUGUUUUCAAAAUCGUUUUCAUCCAAAUAACCCUAACUUUAGGGAAUUACCCCCAAACUCUUUCUAGGUAUAAAAUCCCAGUUUUAACAUGCUAUUUGCUGCCACUUUCCUUCGGGUAUGCACUUUCAACGUUUUAUUUGAUCUUUAACUAUUUUUUGUGUUUUUCUUGAUUUUCAAUAAGCAUGAACAAACUCCAUAAUUCCAAGUCAUGGAAUUUAUGGAAUCAACUCGUGCGAAAUUAAUUAGGGCUUUGAUGGGGGCCCAACAUUCAUGAUAUCCUCUUCAAUAGUUUUUGUUUGACAUUUGAUUAAUUGUGUUUUCUCUUUGAGAUACGUGAGAUUAUUAUGCACCUAUUAUUAAGCAAUCUUGUUUCCCAUAGUGGCGUUUUAGCUUGCUAUCCAGGUACACUCCUUCACACUUAUUUUUGAGAAUUCCAUGGACAUAUGUGUUAUUGAUGACUAUAUCCAUACAUGAUGUGAUUUUUGGAUGUCUUGAUAUAUGCCUGAUUUGCUUGAAUAAAACAAAUGUUGUGUGCUACAUUUCUACACUAACUUUUAUGUUUUAUGAUAGCGCUUGAAGAGUGGUUCAGGUACGCACCUUAACUCUCCUUUAUCGCAAUUUGAUUGUGUUUGGCAUGCCACUCUCUAAAAUCACCUAGCCUUUAUAGGUAUCUAUAAUUAAUGGAUUAAUUGCCACACUUCCCUUAACUUUGUCAGUAGAGACCUUUUUAGGGCUUAGAGGGGUGCUACCUCCUAGAGGUACCUUCCCAAUAAGUAACCUGAUCCCCGGACCUAGACUCGGGUUUCUCAAAGACAUGUUUUUUCCAAAACUAUGGAGUCACUUUUUAGGGUUUUUCUUUCUUGUUUUAUUUUCCGUUUAAAAUAAAAAUAAAAUAGGUGGCGACUCCAACUUUUUUUUAAAAUUGAUUUUUCACAAAUAAAAAGCGAGUCUCGCCGAUCGAGUGGGGACGCACGUGAAAAAUGCGAGUCCACAAAUUGGCGACUCCGCUAGGGAUUUUGAGGAUCAAGCUUGAACAAUAGUUGAGGAAAAUGUGGCGUUUAAUUGGUCGAUUAGUGGGUACCUUUUUUUUUAGGCAAGGUGAUUUGAUUUGCUUGCUUGUUUGGUUUGUUAUCUUAACAUGUUUGAUUGCCUUGGAUGAUCACUUGAUUGUUUUGCUCACUUAGCAUGAUUCACUCUCACAUAUGUUAGAUAGGACUUUGUUUGUUUGAUAUUUAUUUGAUUCGCAUGACUGUUUGAUGUGAUCACUUAACUGUUUAUUCACUUUAGCAUGAUUCACUCUCACAUAUGCUAGAUAGGACUUUGAUUGUUUGAUAUUUAUCUGCUUCGCAUGGCUGCUUGUUGCAUGACAAUCCUUUCUCUUGGAUGUUCGUAUGAUUGCUUGUCUUCGUUCACUAUUUCACUUUAGAUCUUAGGUUUUUCGGAUGCACCCACAUCCUUUAUUAUGCACUUUAGAUUAUCCCUGAGUGUUGAGAGAUGGGAGAGCCUUCACCUUUAAGAAACCCCCUGGGAACGCGAGGAAGUGCAUGUGUGGAGGUGAUGACCACCUUGCAUGGAAGCACCCCGUCUCCUUGGAGGCGUGCAGAGGGUUGCGUACCGUCGGAGGGUACGAUCGCUUCUGCUAGGGAUCCUUUGACCCACCCAUUUUAUCCUAUAGAGCCGCCUCAACCUUGUAGGCUAACCUAGACCCAAUUAAGAAUUCACUCCUACACGUGGGUGCAUCUGUGGACCUUCACAGCUGCCUUGGUCACAAUUGGGUUCAGUUAUCCUCUUCAUGGUCUCCUUUUGGUGUGCUCAGAGAUUGGUACAUGUUUGAGUCUCAAUUGGGCCACCUUUCUGCAUUGUGAUUAGUGUGUUUCCACCUCUUCUGAGCUUCCUUCAUGUCAUUUCUCUUUCCGCGUCUUUGUACCUUAUAGGAAUGUUACUCACUUCAGUUUGGAUUCGACUUUUUAUAUUAGAGUUGGAGAUAGAUUGGUCAAGGUUUCAAAGCAAUCAGGUAUGGAUCCUCAGCAUGAUACAGUUGAUCGACCUACAGUCACCAUGACUCUAUUUAGGAUGCAUUAGCAGGUUUGAGCUAGAUGAUUGAUGGACAGUGAGAUAGAUGGCAUCCAGUUCAAGAUGAGAUGUCGUAUGAUUCAUUACCACCCACCCCCACCACCCAGUUAACCAGUGACAUUGUUGAGGGUGACUUCGUACAUAUGAUGAGUUUAGUGGAUUAUGAGUCAAAGUUUAUCAGAUGAGAGUUCUUAUAGAGGACGUUAGUUUUUCUCAGAUGGGAGAUUUGAUUAACAUGGUUUUUCUUCAUGAUGAGCCUGAGGUAGACGUAUUGGAUGAUAGUUGGAUGUUUGGCACAGAUUAGCCCGAGAUAGUUCACUCUCUUGAUAUGCUUGAGAUCUUCAUUGUUGAGAGUUCAGAAAAGAUUCAGUUUAUUUAUGUUGGGGCAUCCCGCUUAUGUUGAUGAUAUGUUUGAGGACGAUAUUAGCCCGGUUAUGGUCAUGGAGAUUCAUCUAUUCCAGGAGACCCUAGGGACUUACUUGGAAUACACCACUUGUCAUUAGAGAGUUGACCCUAGAGAGGAAAUAUGAUUGACAUAUCUGGAUAGAGACCAGUUCUCAAACCCCACCAAUGUGGAUUAGUUGAAGAAGUAUUACAUUUGAGACCAUGGUCACAGGAUGGGUGGCCAUCAUUUCGGUUAGCCUUACACCUUAUCACCUUAUUGAUAUAUUAAACCAUUGCUAGCCCAUUGAGCCUCACGUGGUAUGUUAUAGCCUUAUUUCUUUCUUAUAGCUUUGAUUACCAUUUCUAUACCCGGGUUGGGGCCCUUUGAUGUAUAUGCAUGCUUUGCUAGGAAAGUCUCAUGAGCUUUAGACUUAUAGGUCUAUCUUCUCAUUUUGUUACCAUCCUCUUAUCACCUUAUUUGUUCUAUUUUAUUAUCACCACAUGUUCAUUCUCUUUCUUGACUCUAUCAUUAUUUGCUUCAUCUUAUCUAUUCUCUUCCUUGGGUUGAUGAUUCUUCACGUCUUAGUGCAAAAAGGGCAGUCAUAUCACUCUAUUUAUUCCAUCAUUUGACAUUGAUUCGGAGAUCUUAGUUUGAGAGGUUGUCUCAUGGGUUGGGGUUCAUGUAUUCAUCAGUGAUUUGAGAGAGUUUAUUCAUUUCUUGUAUCUUUCCCAUUGGAGUUUGACUUAUUGAUGAUCAGAGCAUGCGCCAAAAAAAAAAAAAAAACAAAAAACAAAAAAAAAACAAAAAAAAAACAACAAAACAAAACAGAAAAAAAGAAAAAAAGAAAAAAAGAAGAAAAAAGAGAAAAAAAAAAAAAAAAAGCGCAAUGACAUGUUUAUGUAUGGUAUCUUGCUCCAUUGGGCACUUAUAUCACCUUUUGAGGUCUGUUUACUGGGUAUAUUUGUCAUUGUGGGUUCUUGUGAGAUUUUUAUAUGAGUUUUCACUCCUUGAGCCACUCUUGUUAUGCAUUUGGAGUGUUGAGGGUUCAUGUGAGAGUUUUAUGGUAUCCUAUGCUUCUUGGGCCAUGGUUGAUACGUAUUAGGUAUGAGAGAUGAGUGACCUUUUACUAGGGUCUCCGAAUCAUUGUCUUAUACCCACCAUUCCAUCAUUGGUGAUAUGACUCUCCUUUAUUGUACUAACAUGGGUUGAUCAUCACUCAUUCCACUUUCUCAUUGCUUUCUUUUGUAUCCCAUUACCUCUUUCCAGAUCUUUGUUCCAUCUUUUAUUCAUUCCCUACAUAUUGAUACCCAUUACUGAUUUGAUACCUUCUUCACAUCAUUCACAUAUUUCAUUGAUGGUUUGACCAUUCAUCCUUUCUCUCAUUUCGUUAUCGACAUUCCCUUUGGUUACUUCUAAGUCCAUGACUCAUGAGAUUUUUCUAUGCAUUACAUCUUAUACACGAGGGUAUGGGUUUGAUCAUUGGGUAUUUGAGCCUAGUUUCCCUUCAUUUCUUUCACCCUAUCACCCUAGCCUACGUUACGUCCCGUGUCUUAAGACCACCCUGAGGCCAUGAGAUCAGAUGUUAUCUUUGACAGCCUCUACUUAGGUUGGUGUUUGGGAUUUGGUUGAUAUAUAGAUGUUGUCAUGUUUCUUCUUUUGGGAGAUGCUUCUUUGAUGCUUGGAGGUGAUUUGGUGAUGGAUGUGGAUGAUUGUUUCAUCUUACGGAUGAUAUUUGAUGUUGUCUAGCUUCUACUGUACAUCAGAUAUCCACACUGGGGCAUUUUCCCCUUUCAUUUGGAUGAGAUGAGCUCCUAGUGGAGCACUUUCUUUGAGCAUGGACAUUUUCAUUGAUUCGAGAUCCCUAGUGGAGUAUGUUGAGAUGGUAUUAGUUUUAGUGGAGCAUUGUUGAGUUCAUUGACGACUUUCAUGACCCUAGUGUUUCCAUUUGCGGAGUAUUUCUGAGAUAGACUAGUGGAUUAUUACUGAGUUGGAGGCAGUUUUCAGUGCAGUGUAUAGAUCUGGCAUACUGGGACAUAUUUCCCCAUUUUGAGGUUACCAGAUUCAUGUUGGAUAUAGUCAGGGAUUCAUCAGAGACAUGUUUCUACUUUUGAGAUUACCACAUUCCUCAUCAUUUUGGCUAUUCAUUUGAGAUUAGAUUUAGAGUGUCUCCUUUGAGGCAUUGGUCGAUACAUUAUUCUGACUUCCUAGCAGAUUAUUGUUGAGCUGAGGACAGUUGAUUGAUGAUGUUGGAUUCACCCUUUGGUUGUGCAUUAGAUUAUUCACACUGGGGCAUAUUCCCCUCUCCAUUACGAGAUUUAUUUGGGCAGUGAUAUAAGGAUGGAUGAUUGGUGUCGGUUGUUUAGCUUAUGACUUUGACGUCAGAUCUUAUACUGGGGCAUAUUUCCCCCAUUUUCUUUGAGUAUCCUUGAGAUUGAGACAGUGGCCAGCUUGGUUUUAGAUUGAGUACUAGCCCAGAGCUUCCGACGAUCGACUGUAUCAGGGCCUCCCUACAUGGAUUUGUUGAGAUAGAGAUGGAUCGCAUCAGGUUUCAGCCGAGGAGCGUGGGUGGAUCCUUUAGGCAGAUGUUCAUGAGACAGAUUUGUUUUCAUCAUUGUUACCUUGCAGAUUGGAUUAUCCAGAUAAGCAUCAUUUUAUGCACUUUGAGAUUUGCUUUUAGAUGAGCCACGAUAUACACGCUUUGAGAUUCACCUUUUGAGAUUCGUCGACAGAGCAGUUUUUUUUCAGACACAGAGGCCUCUUUCAGUUUUGACUUUUCAGAGGUUUGUCAUGAUGUAUUGGUUCUUGACCCAUUGCUUCUAGCAGAUGAUUGGUUUACUGGUUGUUUCAGCAGUGUGAGCACCCUGGAUACUGGGGCAUAUUUCCCUUCUUGGUUUCAGUAGUCCGACCCUUGACAUUUUGAGUAUAUGGCUUUGAGCCAAUUUAUUUCAUGUCCACUUUCUAGUUGGUCUUCUCUAUUAUUCCCUUCUAGGCCCUGAGCCUCGUAGCUUUGAGUUAUUCAUUCCUUCUAGACCCCGAGUUUUAUAGCCCUGAGCAUUCUUCUUCCCUUAGGCCCUGAGCCCACUAGCCCUGAGCUAUUUUUUUUUUUUAAGCCCUGAGCCUCGUAGCUGUGAGCUAUCCAUUCCUUCUAGACCCUGAGUCUUAUAGCCCUGAGCUAUCAUUUUUUCCUUAGGCCCUGAGCCCGCUAGCCCUGAGCUAUCAUUUCCUAUAGACCUAGAGUCUUUCCAGCUCUUAGCUGAGCUUUCAUCAUUUGGUCGCCCAUGAGUGGUUUGACCUAGAGUUUGCGUAUCGCAUUCUCCUUCUAGCCGAUCAGUCAUAGAGCCCGGAGCUCAUAGCCCUGAGCUAUUCGUCGACCCAGAGUCAUUUUUCAUCUUGACCCAGAGUCAUUCAUAGCACCCCGAGCCCUGAGCUCACGACCCGGAGUCAUUUGCAUCAUUCACAUCCUUGAGAUGUUUCGUUUUCAUCAUUCUAGCCACUUGUGAGUGGCCUCGACCCGACACCUUGAGUCGGAAAGUAUCCUGAUCGGCUAUCUAUUUAGAGCCCGGAGCUCUCGACCCAGAGUCAUUUUCCAUUUUGACCCAGAGUCAUUCCUUUCCAUUUAGAGCCCAGAGCUCUCGACCCAGAGUCACUUUCCAUUUCGACCCAGAGUCAUUCCUUUCCAUUUAGAGCCCGGAGCUCUCGACCUAGAGUCACUUUCCAUUUCGACCCAGAGUCAUUCUUUCCUAUUUUAGAGCCUGGAGCUCUCGACCCAGAGUCAUUUUCCACUUCGACCCAGAGUCAUUCCUUUCCAUUUAGAGCCCGGAGCUCUCGACCCAGAGUCACUUUCCAUUUUGACCCAGAGUCAUUCUUUCCUAUUUUAGAGCUUGGAGCUCUCGACCCAGAGUCACUUUCCAUUUUGACCCAGAGUCAUUUUCCAUUAUGGUCCAGAGUCAUUUCUUUUCCAUUUAGAGCCCGGAGCUCUCGACCCAGAGUCACUUUCCAUUUUGACUCAGAGUCAUUCUUUCCUAUUUUAGAGCUUGGAGCUCUCGACCCAGAGUCACUUUCCAUUUCGACCCAGAGUCAUUCUUUCCUAUUUAGAGCCCAGAGCUCUCGACCCAGAGUCACUUUCCAUUUUGACCCAGAGUCAUUCUUUUCUAUUUAGAGCCUGGAGCUCUCGACCCAGAGUCAUUUUCCAUUUUGACCCAGAGUCAUUCUUUUUAGAGCUUAAAGCUCUCGACCUAGAGUCGAUUUUCCAUUUCGAGCCCAGAGCUCUCGACCCAGAGUUGGUUUUCCAUUUAGAGCCCAGAGCUCUCGACCCAGAGUCGAUUUUCCAUUUCGAGCCCAGAGCUCUCGACCUAGAGUCGAUUUUCUAUUUCGAGCCCAGAGCUCUUGACCUAGAGUCGAUUUUCCAUUUAGAGCCCAGAGUCGAUUUUCCAUUUCGAGCCCAGAGCUCUCGACCCAGAGUUGGUUUUCCAUUUAGAGCCCAGAGCUCUCGACCCAGAGUCGAUUUUCCAUUUCGAGCCCAGAGCUCUCGACCUAGAGUCGAUUUUCCAUUUCGAGCCCAGAGCUCUUGACCCAGAGUCGAUUUUCCAUUUAGAGCCCAGAGCUCUCGACCUAGAGUCGGUUUUCCAUUUAGAUCCCAGAGCUCUCGACCCAGAGUCGAUUUUCCAUUUAGAGCUCAGAGUCGAUUUUCCAUUUAGAGCCCAGAGCUCUCGACCCAGAGUCGGUUUUCCAUUUAGAGCCCAGAGCUCUCGACCCAGAGUCGAUUCUCCAUUUAGAGCCCAGAGCUCUCGACCCAGAGUCGAUUUUCCAUUUAGAGCCCAGAGCUCUCGACCCAGAGUCGGUUUUCCAUUUAGAGCCCAGAGCUCUCGACCCAGAGUCGGUUUUCCAUUUCGAGCCCAGAGCUCUCGACCCAUAGUCGAUUUUCCAUUUCGAGCCCAGAGCUCUUGACCUAGUGUCGAUUUUUCACUUAUGACCCAGAAUCAUUCUUUCUGUGCAAAGCUUUAAGCUCACGACCUGAAGUUAUUCCCUUUUUGUGAUUGCGUCCCCAUGUUUAGAUCUUACCUCUUCAUGUACUAGGACAAAAUCUCUGGUCCUUCUUUAAUUCUUCGGUAUAGUUCACUUCAUUCUGCUCAUUACUCGUAUUUCUACUCACAUUCUCUACACUCGUGAUCUAUACCGAAGAGGGGCAUAUUUGUAGACCCUCAAUUUUGUCCCUUUAACACAUGUCUUUAAGUUCGUUUCCAGUGCUCCACGGUAGUUCCUUGGUGGCCCAUUACUACUCGUACCACUUACCUUUUUUCUGAGUCACCUCGGAGACUUUGGUUGAGGGAUUAUCUGACCCCUUAUUGUGACCCCUUGGCAGCCCUAAUUUAGACUUAGGCUUUUCUUGUUUUUUUAGGAUAGCCUUUAGAUACACUUGGCCCAUUAGGCACCACCCUAGGCCCGCUUAGUCUCAUCAUAGGCCCGUUUAGGCACACUUGGCCCAUUUGGACAUUUUUAGCGUGACUUGUAUGACUUGCAUGGUUACAUGGCUUUUAGGCUCGGCUUUUGUUUAUUGGUUUAUUUUUUAUUUUUUUUUAUUUUUUUAUUUUAUUUUAUUUUUUUAUUAUUUUUAUUUAAUUUUGUUUUAUUUUAUUUUAUUUUUACCGUUUCCUAAUUUAUUUACUUGCUUAUCUGUUCACUCAAUUAUUUAACUUAGAAAAUUUUCAUGUUUUUGCAAGGAAACUUACUAUUGGAGUUUAAGGAAGGUGGGACUCUCCUUGGAAGGUUUUGGAGGGGAAUUUGAAAUUGGGAAGAUUGCUUUGAUUGGAAGAUUUAAAAAAAGGAAGAGAAGAAGAAAGGAAAUAGGGGAAUUUUCCUUUUGGGAAAAAUUUAGGUCUUGAGGGAAGAUAUAUAUGUGAGAAAAAGGAUUUUUCUGGGGGCGCAGCACUUAUUGGAGUCUAGAGAGGGAGGAGGAGGAAGAAAGAACAAGCAAAAAAGAGGAUUUUUAUCUGGGAAUUAUCCUAGGAGGAAGAAAAAAGAUAGCCAGAAGCCGAGCCAUUGCAACCAAAGCUGUCCAGGUAUGCACCUCGUUGCUUUCGGAAUUCUUACCUAUAUUUGAUUUUUUUUUCCGUGAGUUCGAUUCCUGAAUAUAUAAUUGUUUUGUUGAUUUUUGUGUGGACGAAAAGGGCCACAAUUUGCUUUGUUGAGAUUGGUUACUUGCCUGUUUGCCUUGUUUUGAUUUUGGAUGUCAUUAAUGUCUUCGGAAGCAUAUAUCUCUGUGCCUAUUCCCACUAACCAGAGCCUAUUGAAAAGUCAUGAGAUGUGGUUUUAUUUUCUUUUAAUCUCCCAUGCCUGUUUUCCCAUCGUUUCCGCUAUUCUCUACCAUACUCGUUUUUGCUUUUCUUCCUAUCCGUCCUAUGGCCAUCAAUUCUUCAUAUGGGGGUGAUUCCAAAGCUUGGGCAUGCAAUCAUGAGAUUCAACAAAGAGAACAAACGUUUCAGAAUUCUAGCUUGUCGGCUGUUUAUUCACUUGUUAAGGAUAUGCAGAUUAAGGACAGAUUGAGAAGCAUGGUUCUGGAAAUAGAGGAUCUUUCCGCUGGUUAUUUGGUCUCUGAUAACUACACUUUCACCUUCUGGGUCCGUACCUCCGCUCAGCUAUUGAUGCAUGGGAUCAAUUCGUUUGUACAGGGUGCCGUUCUGAAAAGUGGGUUCAAGUAUGACUCAUAUGUUCAAAGUGGUUAGUUUACAUGUAUACAGGGAUUGGGUGGUUUGGCUGAUUGCUAAUGGAUGUUUUCAUCAAUUUGUGAGCCAAAUUUGGUGUAUCAGAUUGUAAUGGUCAAUGCAUGUGCCAAGAUGGGAGAUCUUUACCUUUGCUCGGAAGUUGUUUGAUAAAAUGCCCCAUAAGAACCUUAUUACACGGAAUGUAGUGAUUUCGGGAUAUGUGCAAUGUGGGUAACCAUGGAGCGAGAAUCACCAUUGGAAAGAAGAGUAUCGACCACUUAAAAGAGAGAAGCACCAGAAUUUCAGAGAGAGGAUGAAGAUACCUCAUGAAAAUAUACAGUGGUUUGGAUGAGCCUGAUGGUCUAUCUGGCCUAGCAUGUUUACACACAUCAUUAAGUUUGCAAGACCAGCUUUCUAAUCAACAAGAAAGCAGGAAACUGGGCAGAAGUUUUAACUUCUUCUGAGUAGGCUUUGCAGAUGGAGCCCACCUCAGUGCAGAGGCAUUCAGAUGUUCUUAAUUGUUUACUGACAUGUGCCACUUCCAGACUAUGGUCCAUUGUUGUUACCUUUCUAAAGGUUCACUCCUAAAGAAGAAAUUUCUCUUGACAUUACUGUACUAGAAGCCCCUCCUAACAUCAUUAUCCCUUCGGAUGUCCCAAAUAUCCUGCUGGUAAAUCCUAUCCUAGUGUAAACUAUGGUGUCUGCUAGAUCUGUUUCUCAUGUCUUAGCUGCUACACGUAUAUCAGAAUUUCGGGGUUGUUCAGACUUGGGCAAUAUAUGGCCAGUUUAUUCAUCCAACCUACCAGUACUUUCUGGUUAUGGAGCAUCACGAUCAGAUGUUAAUUGUAAGAGCUUUGCAUCCAUUUGACGAGAUUGGACAUGUAAUCAGCAGGAGGGAGAAUUCCGUUAAAAGUGUAAGGAAGUCCAUGAUACAUUGGGAAGGCCUGUAUUACUCAAUCUCCUUAGAUACGGAAUGGUAAAAUAGAGAGAAGAUGUUUUAUCUUUUGAUUUUCUAUGAAAUUUCCUUUAAUUGGACUGUUUGUUUAUUUUCUAAGAAUAUUAUAGUAUGUUGUGAUGAAGAUAUUGGUUGGUCAUAUUUGGAAAAUAAUUUUUGAGAAAAUUAUUCUCAAUAUUGUCAUCUCUCGCAAAAGGAUUAUUUUUGCUUUCUUUUCUUAUUGUUUUUAUAUGCAUUGACCAAACUUUGGAGCAAUUUGAAAUUGAUGAUGAAAUUUUCCUUUCAAGGUUAGGAAAUUUCUAUAAAAUCCUUUUAUUACAAAUUUUUUUCCAAUUCUUUCCAUAAAACUCUUCAUUUUCUUCAUUUUUCUUUUUUCUGAAAAAGAUGUUUGAUAAUUUAUUGAUCUAAAGAAUAUUAAAAGUAAAAAAAAUAAAAAUAUUGAAUAUAUUUUCCUUUGAUGUUUUUAAUUUUUUAUUAUUUGAACACAAUUUCAUAUCCAAUUUUUUUAUUAAUUAUUUUAAUUAGAAAAAAGAAAUAUCAAUUGGAGUUUUGACUGAAAAAUCAAUAAUUUUUAUGAAAAACUCUUUAAUUCUUUCUCAUACUAUUUUUUCUCUUAAUAUUUUUUAAUAAUGAAUUAGGUUUUUUGUCUUAUAUACACAAUUUUCAUGCUUGUUAUAAUAUCAUGUCCUAUCAUAUUAGUAGUUGAAAACAUUUUGAUAUUUUGUUACUAAAAUUUUAUUUUAUGUAAUUGAGAUGAAAUUUAAUGGACAUUGUUAUUUCAUAAAAUGAACAUUAAAAAAAUAUUGAAAUUAAGAAAAUCCUUCCAAGAAAUAUAUAUAUAUAUAUAUAUAUAUAAUGUUAAAAAUGAUUUUUAAAAACAUAAUGAAUUAUAAAAAAUAAAUUUAAAAAGUGCAUAUUUUAAGUGGAAGAUUAGUAUUUUCUAAAUUUUAGAUUUAUAUUUUGAUUUGGUAGUUUUGAUUUAUUUUUUAUUUUCUUGAAUUGUUUUUAUUUGAAUUCAAAUGUGACUACUUUGUUAUGAGAUUCAUUAAAGAGAUAAUUGUUGAUUCUAUAGUUAUUGCAUUAAAGGUUUUACUCAUUUAAAUAAUUGCACAUAGUUUCAUACUUCCAAUUAUUGUGAUAUUAAUGUUAUUAUCAUUUGAUUUUAGUUUGAUGAUAAAAAAAAAACAUAUUCUUAAGUAGAAUGUGAUGAAAUUAGAGGAGAAUUGACUACUUUUAUAUUAUAACUAAUCAAGAAUCAUGUUGAUGUAUCGUGAUCAUGCAUGGUGAGUCCCUUAGUUGUUAUAUGAAUUUUCCAUUGGUAUUGUAUAACAUUACUUAUUCUUUACAAAUUAUUUUUAUAUCAAAAUGGAAAAAAGAAAAAAGAAAACAUUAGUAGUUAGAUUUGUUUAUUUUUUAUAACAUUAAUUAAUUUUUAUUUUUAAUAAAAACUCUAAAACUCAUUAAACUAUGAAAUGCAAGUAUACACUCUUGGAAGGACAGUAUGAAGAAUAAAAAGAAAGGAGAAAGAGACAACAAGAUUUUGGGUUUUUAGAUGUAACUUUUAUGCCAUAUAUUAUAGGACAUAAACGUUACUUUAUUUGGUAUCGAGAAUUUUGGGUUUUUGGAUGCAACACUUGUGUCAUUUUAUGGUUAGCCAGUUUUAUGCAUAUGAAUUGUAGGUAUACAUGAAUGUUGGGAUGCUUAACAUUUCUAUGUCAUGUUUUAAUGUGCAUUCACUUUUCCUUUUUAGUUUUGGUGGGUUUGAUGUACUAUCAUUUUGUGAACAUUUGAUAUACAAAUAUUAUUGGAUGAUUUAAUGUAUUACAGGUUGAUCUUAUUUAUUAAUAAGCAUUACAAAAAUCUAUAGGCUAAUCAAUAAAAAACAACCAUAUAUUCCAUAAUCAUUUACAAUGAUGUGACACCAUAACUCAAAGGUGAUGCAUUUAACGUGGCACCAUAACUCAAAGGUGAUGCAUUUAAUAUGACACCUUAUAUAUCUCACACAACUCUAUAUCAAAUUAAGCAUUACUAAAAAUAUAUGGUGCCGCUUCUGAAUGUGUCACCAUUUAUCUACAUUGGUGUCGCUUCCAAAUACAUCACCAAUUGGUACCCUCUAUGGUGUCAGUGGAUAAGGUGACGCUAUGUUGUAGUGACACCUUAUGUUUAUAGUGACUCAUUAUAAAUGUCACCAUAUAUCUUUUUCCUUGUAGUGUAUUCACCCCCUCCCCCUCUAGGUGUAGUCCAUUAUUGAGAUUCACCUUUUCAUCAUCCAUCCACAUGCCAGGAAGAAAAGUAUCAGUAAGAUUAUGGAAGCUCUCCCAAAGAAUCUCCCCUGAUCUGUUGUCACUUAAAACAAGGUUCCCGGAGUCCAUGAGCUUCAUCACCAUGCCUGUAGAUAAAGAUGUCUCAGUAUUAGAAGACCAAUGAACUUUCCCAUUUUCAUCCAAUAAUUUGAGCUUACCAUCGUCUUUAAUGGCAAAAACUCCAGAGGGGGGAUCAGAAAGGGGAAGGGGGCUGUCUUGGUUGGCCACCCAUACAACUCUUUGUGGUUUCAACAAGUAAUACCAUAUGCCAAUGUAUUUUCCAUUGUUGAACCUUCCAUCCGAAUUAAAGAAGCCAAGUUCAAAAGUUUUGCCUACAGAAACAAGAGUUCCUCCAUCAUUUCUAAGCCAAUCCUCUGGUGUGAUGGUAUCUCUAGCAGAGCAAUAUAGGACAGAACAUAAGAAAAAGAUGGUUGAUAGCAUGUGAGUUGUAGAGACAGGAACCAUGAAUUUUCUUCUUAUCAUUUUGCCCUCUAUUGUUGUUAGUCAAAGAACCAUGAAGAGUUGCAGAAACAUGAACCACGAAUUUUCUUCUUAUCAUUUUGCCCUCUAUUGUUGUCAGUCAAAGAACCAUGAAGGGUUUGCUACUGUUGUAUUGCACUCUCAUUUUUAAUGGAGACUUUUCCUUUUGACUCUUGAGUGGAGAAAAUUCAUAUCAGUAUUCUUAUCUUGAUUUUCCUUUUUGAUGCAUAGCUUUCAUCUCUGGACUUUUGUGGCAACUUGAGUCUUUAAGAUGGCAACUUUAAUAUGCUUCCUAGUGUCUUCCAAGUAUUGACGUUUUGUAUGCAUCACCCUCCUCCUUCUACACCAAUUUGUUUCUUUGUAUGUAUAGUUUUAUCUCUUCUAAGCAAUAAAGCAUAUGGCAUCAACCAAUAAAUUUUUCUGUACUUUCUCCAAUUUGGAGGAGCUUCGUAAUGGGACAAACAAGAAAAAUUAGAAGUUUAUUUGGCAAUGCUUGUAGAAACAGUUUUUCAUAACAAUGCUAAGAAACAGUUCUCAAAUGUUUCGACUAACUCAAAUAUAAGAACUAGUUUUCUUUGUUUAUUCUCGUACGUACAAAGCGAAAGUUUAAAAAAUAUUCUUUAUUUUAUGAAUUUUUAUCCAAUGAACUCCAUAAAAAUGAAAAAAAUUACAAACACCUCAAAAUGAUUCUAAAAUAUAAUUCAUCUGCAUAACAAAUUUGGCAAAAAAAAAAAAUCAUUUUUCAUCAAAUGUCUAUCAAACGUGUUUUCUAAUUUACAAAACAAUUUUCUGUUUAAAUAAAAAAAUCUAAAAUAACUACUAAACAUACCCUGAUUUUUGUUUUAAGCUUUUUUCCUUCUCAUGUCUUCUAAUUGCCAUGCAAUGAAUUAUCCACUUCAAACAUUUUUGUGCCAAAGGUAAAGCAAAGGAGAGAAUUACUAAAACAAACCCAGGAAAAUUAAGAAUCAAAGGACAAAAGGGGUUCAAGGAAGUGAUAAAUUUUCUCAAUGAAUUAACUUCACUAAUUGCUCAAAGGCAAGUUGUCAAUUGUUACAGAAUAGUGAAUAUAGGAAAUAAGAAAAACAAAAUAUGAACAUAUAGAUUUGUGUGAAAAAUCCUAAACGAGAAAAACCACGGACAGAUGAGAAGAAGAUCCACUAUAUCAAAAAUUGGUAUAAGAGGAGAGAGUUACGAGCGUCUAUAGCAUAACCCUAAAAAUACAUCAUCACAUAUACACACACAUAUGUAUAUAUAUAUAAAGCAGGUUCAUACUUUUGAAUUCAUUUAAUCUUUAUAUAAUGAAGGAAAGUAAAAUAAAUUAGAAAAAACAUAUGAAAUAAUUUAUUAACUUCGAAUUUAUUUUUUUAUUUUCUUUUGUUUUUUCCUUUCUUCUAUUUUUCCUCUCUAUUUUUUUUUUUCCAUAUUUUGCCUUAUAUUUUUUGAGAACCAAAUCUAGUCUUGAAGUUUCUUGGAAACUUUGGACUUUAGAAAAAACUUAACCUUUUUUUCUUGGGAAUAAUUUUCUAGAUUUGAGGUACAUUAUCUUAGGGGGGUACUAAGCAUGUCAAAAUACUUUCAAAAUCUAACUCCUAUUUUUUGGAAAGUUAUGAAUUAAUAUUUCUAUUUUUUUUUUUUUUUUUACUCUUUCCAAAUCUAAUUUUACUAGGAACCAAAUUUGUGAAUUUUUGCACAAAAUCCUAUCCAAGAGAGGAUCUUUUAGAAAUCUCAUCCAUUCUAUAUUUGAUUGGUAGAGAAUUAAAACCACGGUUGUGCAAAAAGCAUAUGAACAAAUAAAAUUAGACCAAGAUAUAUAUCUAUAUAUCUAUAUAUAUAUAUAUAUAUCAAUGAUUCAACUUAGAAGAAUAAUGCAUUAGAUUUCUACACUUUGAGUAGUUGCCUUGAUUAAGUCCAAUUACUAGAAGCCAAGGUCAAGGUCAUCGAAGUUUGUCCAUUCUCUUUCAUAAUUUCUUUUUUCCUCACUAAAGGAGAGAAUAUCUCUUUUACAAAUCUUGUCUAUUCUUGAUUGAUUUGGUAGAGAAUUUAAAAAAGGGUUGUGCCAAAAGCAUGUCAACAAUUUAAAAUGGACCGAGAGACGAAGCUUCUCAAUGAGUGGAUGUAUAUCUUUGUCAAUCCUUCAACUUUGAAGAAUAAUGCAUUAGACUUCUAUGCUUUAAGUAGUUUCCUUGAUUGAGUCCAAUUAUUAGAAGCCAAAGUCAAAGUCAUCGAAGUUUGUACAUUCUCUCUUGUGGUCCCAUGGUAUUUGCUCUUUUUUACCUCAUUAGAGGAAAAAACAUUAACACAGCUUCAUGUGGGAACCAAGCUUUCUUUUAGCAUCCAUGAUAGUUUUUCUUCCCAAUAAUUAGAAAAAGAUUCAUGAGGACCCCAUAUGAGAACUAUUAUUGGUGAUUGUAUAUAGAAAUAAAGAGAAUUCAUUUAUCCUAUAAAAAACAACCCCUUCCUAACGAUUAUAUAAUUUAUUGGUAACAAUGUGAUAGAAAAUUUUGAGACACAUAUUAUAGAUGAAUCUUGGUUAUGGAUUAUAGUUAGAGGGGGUAAAUAGUUAUUUNNNNNNNNNNNNNNNNNNNNNNNNNNNNNNNNNNNNNNNNNNNNNNNNNNNNNNNNNNNNNNNNNNNNNNNNNNNNNNNNNNNNNNNNNNNNNNNNNNNNNNNNNNNNNNNNNNNNNNNNNNNNNNNNNNNNNNNNNNNNNNNNNNNNNNNNNNNNNNNNNNNNNNNNNNNNNNNNNNNNNNNNNNNNNNNNNNNNNNNNNNNNNNNNNUUUAAGUGACUUGAAAAGCUUGAAGAAGGGCCUUGUGAUUCCAUAAAAGCUUAGUAAUGAUCCUCAAAGUUCAAAUGCAAGCUUAUGUCUAUUUAAUAUGUCUUAAAGAAUUAGUACCACAUAAAAUGAAGUGAUGUCUAGUGUCUAUGUGUUUUGUCCUAGAGUGAAGAACAAGGGAAUUGAAGUUGCUACUUGCACUACUAUUAUCAUCCAGUACAAUCAUGAUUCCUUGAUCUAUUUCAUAAUCACUUUACAAUUGCUUGAUUCAAAGAAGUUAGGCACAAGAACUACCAAUUACAUAUUCCACUUCAUCUAUGGAUAGUCAAACAUCAUUUUGUUUCUUACUCAUCUAAAUCAAGAUGUGAAAUAAAAAAAUGUAUACUUCAAUUGCAAAUAAAGUGGACAAUGUUCCCUUGCUUUUUAAUUAUGAGAGCUAGCCUCACAUGAGCAUUUGGUUUAGAACUAGGUAAUCAUUGAGUCAUCUCCACUAUCUAAUUAAGCCCUUGAAGUCCAAAUACAAGCGAUGAGGUUUGACAAUUUUAUGCUAUGCAAUUAAUGAUAAUGUAGAGAGGACCAAAAAAACAGAAGAGCUUCCUAUUGACACUCAUUAGGAAAAAAAAUUACAUUGAAGCAUAAGAAUAAAUACUCCAUAAAAUUCAAUUUUAAUGAAAUUAUAUAAUACAAAUGAAAAUGAUGUUGUUAAAGAGCAUGGUAUAUAUUGUGAACUCAAAUUCUACAAGUUAACCUUUUAGAAAAAUUGGUAAUUGAGUAGAGCUUGGUUUGACGGGAGGUCAUGUGUUCAAGAGUCGCUUCUCCCCAAUUUGCAUAUUUAUUUCCUCCUAGGCUACCAAUGAUCUCAUUCUUGGAGCAUGUGUUUCUGGUUUGGUAGAAGAAGCAGCAGCCCUACUAUAGAACAAUGGAAGAAGCAUUGGAAUCUUUGUCCCUUCUUCAAGGUCUUUAGAUUUUUUCAAUUUGUUUUCUUUUCAAUUCUCAUGCAUACAUCUAAUUUUCCACUUCCAUAAUAUUUCAACCUCUGGAUGUGAAAUAGUAUUUGUAGAUCAAUCAAAAGUAUUCCAACGUAAUAUGUCACUAUAUAAUAAUCCAAUAUUUCAACCUCUAUAUCUGAAAUAGUAUAUGUAGAUCAAUCAAAAGCAUCCCACCAUGUAUAUUCAGCUAAUGUAAUCGCUACCACCAACAAAACUAAUUAUUGGUUUCAUUUUAAGAUGUUAUAGCUAAUAAAUCCCUACUUUCCUUACCAUCAAUUACUCAAUAGAUAUCAUGCUUCAAUUUAUUCCUAAUUCCAACGGUAAAUCACUGGUAAUAGAAGGCAUGAUAUACAUAUAUAGGGUCAUUUCUUUGAGUGACUUUACUCAAAAGGAUGGUCUUGAUUACAACUAGCAAAUUCUGUUUAUAAGAAGACCCUAUACAAAACUCACAUGGCUAUGAUCAUUACUUGAGUCACUAUCACACAGAAUUCAUACCAGUUUUGCUUACAAAUUGUUCUUAGGAAGAACAUAUUCCAACUGGGGGCUAAUACAAGUAGAGGUUCCAAGCUACAGACCAAGAAGGUAUGUACCAACAGAUACCUAGCUAGGAUUGCUUCUUCUAGUAACGGUUGGUUAUUAGCACAUAAAAAUGUGAGCAGGCAACUAAGUUGGAACCUUAUAGACACCGUUAGUCUCCCUAGCUUAUGAUAAAGAAUCUUUAAGGCCAUUAAGUCAACAGUUCACACUUACUAACUAGGUUUUUCUCUUUGUCGUGACUUUUUUUUUUCUUAUGCUUUUGGUAGAGCCUUGGUUAACACAUAUGCAAUUUGAUCCUCAAUCUUGCAAUAAAGCAGUUUAACUUCACCAUCCUUUUGUUCUUCUCUUAAGUGAUACAACUUGAUCUUGAAAUGCUUAGUCUUGCCAUGAAAAACAUAAUCAUUUGAAAUUGCAAUUGCAGCUUGGUUAUCUACAUGAAUCUGUGUUGGCUCAUUUUGCUUCAUGUGUAGAUCUGCAAGUAUUUUUCUGAUCCAAAUUGCUUGAUUUACAGUAGCAUUGGCUGCUAUAUAUUCUGCAUCUGCUAUACUUUGAGCUAUCACAUCUUGCUUCUUUAAGGACCAUGAAAAAAUUCCAAAUCCAAAGCUGAAACAAAAUCCUGUUGUACUUCUCAUGUCAUCAAUAGAACCUGCCCAAUCACUAUCAGAAUAACCAUGAAGUUUAAAAUUCUGAUAGUAAGAAUAUUUAAUGCCAUAAUUUGUUGUGCCCUUGAUAUAUCUUACAAUCCUUUUGGUAGCUUGAAAAUGCACUUCACUAGCACAAUGCAUGAAUCUUGAAAGCAAGCUUAAUGAAAACAUUAUGUCUGGUUUGGUGGCUGUAAAAUACAUCAAGCAACCAAUCAGGCUCCUGUAUUGGCUUUCAUCCACUUUUUCUGCUCCAUCAUCUUUGCUAAAUUUCUCCUUCUGAUUCAUUGGUGUGCUGGUCCUUUUGCAAUCUUCCAUGUGAAAUUUGUUAAGUAUUUCCUUUGCAUACUUCUUUUGGCUUAUGAAGACUCCAUCAUGAUCUUGCUUCACCUCCAUACCUAGAAAGUAGGACAUCAAGCCAAGGUCUGUCAUCUCAAAUACUUUGAGCAUUUCAGCUUUAAACUCUUUUACCAGUUUCUCAUUGCUACCUGUUACAAACAGAUCAUCAACAUAAACAGAAACUACAAUUAAGUUAGCAUCUGUUCCUUUUAUAUAUAAUGUAGCUUCACUUGGACUUUUAACAAAUCCAAGACUUUGAAGAUGUUCAUCAAUCCUGCUGUACCAGGCCCUAGGAGCCUGUUUAAGACCAUAUAAGGCCUUUUUCAACAAGUAGACCUUCUCCUCUUGUCCCUUGACUUGGAAUCCCUCGGGCUGCUCUACAUAAAUUUCCUCUUGAAAAUAACCAUUUAAAAAAGCAGAUUUUACAUCCAACUGGUAAGUCAUCCAUCCAUUUUGUGCUGUCAAAGCAAGCAACAUUCUGAUUGUAUCCAAGCGUGCUACUGGAGCAAAAGUUUAUGAGAAAUCCACUCCAAACACUUGACUAUACCCCUUCAUAACUAAUCUAGCUUUGUAUUUAUUUAUAGAACCAUCUGUAUUAAGUUUGGUUCUAUAAACCCAUUUGACUCCAAUGACCUUUCUGUGUUGAGGUAUGUCCACCAACUCCCAGGUGUCAUUCUUUUCAAUCAUUCUAAGCUCCUCUUUCAUUGCUUCAGUCCACUUGUCAUCCUUCUCUGCCUCUUCAAAUUCUGCAGGCUCAAAAACAACAACAUUACUUCUUUCAUAAACAUCAGAUAAGGACCUUGUACCUCUAACUAGGGCAUCAUCUAUGUUUUCAUCAAAGUAUUGCGGAACCUCUGGUAGUUGCAUCUUUAUUGACUCCUCCCAAUUCCAUUGUCUAUCCUCUAUGAACUUGACAUCUCUACUUACAAGAAUUUUUCCAUUUUGUGGUUGGAAAAUUCUGUAAGCCUUGGAAGAGUUGCUAUAUCUAAUGAAAACUCCUGGUUCUGCCUUCUUAUCAAGUUUGUCUCUUUUCACCUGUGGCACAUAAGAAAAACAAAGACAACCAAAAGUUCUUGGAUUCUGCAAAUCUGGUUUAUAACCAAACCAGGCUUCAAAUGGAGUUUUUUUUUUUGCAAAACUCUAGUUGGCAGCCUAUUCAGCAAAAAACUGCAGUGUUUGCAGCCUCUGCCCACAAUUUCUUUGGCAACUCCUUCUCAUGUAGCAUACACCUUGUCAUCUCCAUAAUACUUCGAUUUUUUCUCUCACUUACUCCAUUUUGUUGUGGAGUGUAAAGUGUUGUGAGUUGGUGCUCAAUACCGGCUUCUUCAUAGAACUUAUCAAAAAUUUCAUUUGUGUAUUCUUUCCCAUUAUCUGACCUUAUCUUCUGCAUCCUGCAACUGCUUUGAUUCUCCACCCAUGCUUUAUAUUUCCAAAAUACAUUAGGAACCCCAUAUUUGGAUUUGAGGAAAUAAAUCCAACAAAAUCUGGUAUAAUAAUCAAUAAAUGCAAUGUAGUACUUAUUACCAUUUAAAGAUGGUGUUUUCUGAGGUCCUCCAACAUCUGUAUGUACCAGUUGCAGCUUGUGCAUUGCUCUCCAUGUUGUUUGAGGGAAGGGUUUUCUAGUUUGCUUUCCAUAUUGACAAGCCACACAAUCAGCUAGCUUGUCUUGCAGCAAUGGCACACCUUUCACCAAAUUAUGUUUCUGCAUAUAUAGAAGUCCAACAUGGUGGAAAUGCCCGAGCCUUCUGUGCCAUAAUUUUGCAUUGCGUUCAAUGCUUGAAAAUGCUAUUUGCUCAUCCUCCAUUAGAUUUAGAGCAAAGCUUUUUGCUCUCAUUUUCACUUUGAAUACAUCUCUACCUUUCGCGUCUUUGAUCAAGCACCAUUUGUCUUCAAAUAUGACUUUGAAACCUUUUUCAGUUAGCUAUCCAACACUAAGCAGGUUUUGAUCAAUGUCAGGCACAUAUAAAACAUUAGUAAUAUACUUCAAACCUAUUAAGCUUUCUAUAGCCACAGUUCCUUCCUUUACCCUUAACUGAAAUAAAUUCACCAUUUCCAAUUUUUACCUUGGAGAUAAUAGUUUUAUCAAGCUCCUUAAAGAGCUCUUGGUCAUUGGUCAUGUGGUUUGUGCAGCCACUAUCAAUCAACCAAGAAUUGCUAGAGUUGUUACUUGUUGUGAAGCAUGUUGCAACAAAAAGUUUCUCUUCUUGAUGUUGCUUAGUAGAAGCUGUAGGGACUCCUCCCUCCGAGAACACGUGGCACACAUCUUACAGUGACACGUGGCACGCAUCUUACAGUGACACGUGGCACGCAUCUUACAGUGACACAUGGCACGCAUUGUCAUCCGAGUCAUCCUCAUCCGGAUCUUCCUAUAAAGCACACAUGGCGCACUUUUUAUCCGGACUGCCUCAAGGAAGGGCAAACGACGCUUACAAAGCAUAGACAUCCGGACGACUUCCAUUAAUGCGUCCGCUCCACAAUACAUCCGGAUAACCAACAUGGACUAUCCGGAUAUGAUUGUCCGGAUCAUUAACUAAAGUAAAGCGAGUCUUACACUGAUUCGAUGCCCAGUCGGGUCUUUUAAUCAAAAACAUUUAUAAAACCUAUGACCUUAUACUGGCGUAGCAAAGCUACUAUAGUAUAGUAGUUCUAGGGUCGAACUCAGGGAUGAGUUUUCACUCUAUCAGUGACAGACUCUAAAUUAGAAAUUGAUUCUGAUGAUUUCCUUUAGCACAAACUUGAAAUUUAAAAGAAAAUAAAAUUGUUUUGAAAGUGGUGAUUUAAACUAAACUCACAUAGAACUAAGUAAAAAGUGUAAGAAAGAAAGUCUCCCGGAGCUGAAGGUUGCUAGGUUCAAGUGCCAGAUGCAAAGUGGAAAAUUCCGGAUUUUUCUCCUCGCAUUGGGGAUUUAACCUAUAGUUAUUUCCCGAACCGGUAUAGGUUUGACAAUGAAGUUUUAAUCCAUAAAAAGUCACUAGAGAUGGUAGUCAAGGUCCAUUAAUGGCUUAAGACACUAUGGGCUAUCACCUUGAAUCACUUUCCAAUGGCUCGUACAUGAUAACUAAUGGACUGAUAUGGAUCUAGCAAUAAGCAUCCNNNNNNNNNNNNNNNNNNNNNNNNNNNNNNNNNNNNNNNNNNNNNNNNUUCCAAUGGCUCGUACAUGAUAACUAAUGGACUGAUAUGGAUCUAGCAAUAAGCAUCCACAGAGACCUUAAACUUACCAUGUAUUGGCCAGUCAAAGUGAUUCAAAGGAAUUUAAGGCAAAACCUUGGCUUUAUAAACCAUUUAUGGACUCCAACUACCUGAAUUUAAUGCACGAAAACUUUCCAUGUUUUAAUCUGGACUUUUCACCUAGCUUCCUUUACUCCAAGAAACUAAAUGUUUAGCCUCUCAUCCUCUGGGAAAACAUCCUCAGAGGGUGUUUGGCUUACAAGAAAAUAGAAAAUAGAAGAGAGAAAAAGAAAACAAAAGAGAUCUCUGUAUUUCACUAAGUAUCAAAUUUACAUUAGUUGGUCUCCUGGAGAAAGCUCCGAAGCCGAUUUUCAGUGAUUACAAGAGAAUUUAUAUAGGAAGGUAAUUUUACCCUUCCUUGGAUACUUCCUAGCUAAGGAAUUACAUGAGUGGUUGAAUACAAGGAGAAAAUGGAAAUUUAGACACAAAAAUAUCAGAAGAAAAAGAGUCGGCAAAAAUAUCCAAUUUUCGCACGCUGGAGUUCCAAUUUCGCACCUUGGUUUGAGGUGUGCGAAAUUCUCGCACAGUGGACUGAGGAAUUCGCACCUUGCACAGUGGUGUGCGAAAUUGUCCCUCAGCUUGAUGCAGUUGUCUUCCAAAGGCCAUAUCUUUCUCAUUUCAGCUCCAAAUCAUACAUGGUUUGAACCGUUGGAUUCUUGACUUUUGGAGCUUUGAAAUGGUAUAUAGAAUGUAAAAAAUGGACUUCGGAAAGUGCUCCAAAAGUGCGAUGAAAGACUGAAGCUGUGUCCCCUAUUUUCAUCCCCUGUUUUCCUCUUCUCCAUUGUUUCUUCCUUGUAUACUUUGAACGAAUAAGGCAAAGGAUUAUGAGGCUCCAUAGCUUGAUUUCUUCAUAAAUUUAAGCUUUCAAAAGCUUUGCCAUGAACUAUAAAUAGCUCUCCCUCAUUCUUAAAUUGCUUUGGUGAGCAUAAAGCUAUCAAAAAGAACCAAAACUUAACACAAUUGUUAGAAACGAUUGCAAGGGUCCUUAACAUGUUAAUUGGGUUAAAAGGUAAUAAUUACUACUCAAGGGUGUUUAAAAGAGCUAAUUACAAGCUACAAAAUAGCAUGUUUUGAGUAGUAAUCAUACACGCUAUCACAACAACCAACCAUGGCCCACGUCCCAUCACCUGCAGAGUGAAAGGACGGGUUGAGGUGACAACAAGUCACUUCCCACGAUCGUUCUACAUGAUCACUUCCUACGAUCUCUGAUAGCCGCAUCACCUACCACGGUUUCUGACAGCCGCCCGUAGGGUGGUGAUGACCCUGCUGCCAUCUAAAUAUCAUCAUGACAACAUGAAAUAUCUCCCCACCAUUAAUGAGAGGAACAAUACUCCUGACACUAUAUAUAAACCUUCACACGAAGAGGAAGGUAAUCGCCUGAUACCUAGAAAAAGGCCAACUGAUUUAUAUCUCCCUCUCUAACCAUGGCUAACAAAACCAUCGGAGGGUGCGUCCGGACACCCUGUCCGGAUGCCUUUUGCAGGUAUAACGAUUGAAUCAAGAACCUAUUUUGGUUGAGGUCGCGCAUCCAUCCAUUUGGCAACUACGUGGAACACCAGGAGCGCGAGGUAUCAACAUAAGCUUUUGCCUCUUCAUGUUGUCGUGACUUGCAAAUCCACUCCAUGUGUCCAAUCUAACCAUAUUUCUUGCACUUGACAUCAGGCCUCCACCAACACUUCCUUUGUGGGUGAUUUGUCUUUUUGCAGUGUAGGCAAGGUGGAUAGGUUCCAUCCUUGUUUUUGUUGUUGUUGUCAGUCUUGUUGAUCUUCUUCUUAUUGUUGUUUUCUUGUUUUUGCCUCAUCUUGAAUUUUAUGCCUUUGCUUGNNNNNNNNNNNNNNNNNNNNNNNNNNNNNNNNNNNNNNNNNNNNNNNNNNNNNNNNNNNNNNNNNNNNNNNNNNNNNNNNNNNNNNNNNNNNNNNNNNNNNNNNNNNNNNNNNNNNNNNNNNNNNNNNNNNNNNNNNNNNNNNNNNNNNNNNNNNNNNNNNNNNNNNNNNNNNNNNNNNNNNNNNNNNNNNNNNNNNNNNNNNNNNNNNNNNNNNNNNNNNNNNNNNNNNNNNNNNNNNNNNNNNNNNNNNNNNNNNNNNNNNNNNNNNNNNNNNNNNNNNNNNNNNNNNNNNNNNNNNNNNNNNNNNNNNNNNNNNNNNNNNNNNNNNNNNNNNNNNNNNNNNNNNNNNNNNNNNNNNNNNNNNNNNNNNNNNNNNNNNNNNNNNNNNNNNNNNNNNNNNNNNNNNNNNNNNNNNNNNNNNNNNNNNNNNNNNNNNNNNNNNNNNNNNNNNNNNNNNNNNNNNNNNNNNNNNNNNNNNNNNNNNNNNNNNNNNNNNNNNNNNNNNNNNNNNNNNNNNNNNNNNNNNNNNNNNNNNNNNAUUAACAAAUAAGAAGAAUAAGAAAUAUAGUUUCACACUUAAGUAACAACUAAUACUAUAGAGAAAUGACCACAAGCUGGAAAGUCUUGACCAAUUUGAAAAAUCAUUUGAUGUAGUUGAAAUAAUUGAAUUUUGGAUAAAAUUCAUAACUGUCUCAACAUUAUUUUUUUUCCCUUUUUAUUUUUAUUGUUUGAAUAUUCAAGAGUUAAAACCAUUCCAAUGCUCCUUUUUGCCAUGUAUAAUUAAACUGAACCAACAAUUAGGAUAAGCACGAAAAAGAAGGAACCGAGAAGAAGAUAUCAACAAUAUUAACCGGUUUUAUUAUGGGACAACUCAUGAUGUUCAUAUUGAUCUAUUAUGCGCCUUUGCAUCUAGCAUUAGCUAGACUCAUACUGUCCUAGCUCUACUAUAUCUUUUAUUUCAUUUCGAUCUUCUGAAACAAUCACAAACACUUUUCAUUAUUAUUAUUAUUAUGAAUCAAAUGGGACAUAAAUGAAAUUAACAAAUGAGAAGAGUGAAAAAGGUAAUUAACAAAAUUUCAAGCUCAUCGUUGCUAAAUAUUUUAUAAGUAAAAAUUGCCCAAGAAACGAGCCUUUAAAAGUGUACCUUUAUUUAAAAAUAAAUAAAGGUAAAUUAAAGUAUUGACUUAGUACAUAAAUAUCAACACGAUUCCAAUCCAACGCAUUUUUUUGUGGGUUUUGGUUGAAUAUAAUUCUAUUUAUAUCAAAUCCGUAUCAACUUGUGUAAUAUAUUUUACUAAUAGGUUAUUUUUAAAUCAACAUACAUAACAUGAAUUUGACUCAAGUUAACCUUUAUAUUUAAUAAUCAUACCAAUUAACCUAAUUAUAAUUCUAACCGUUUAAUUAAUAUUUGAUUCAUUUUAAAUUUAUUUUUGAACAAAUAGUUAAUUAAAUUAUAACUAUAUUAACUUGUAAGAUUAAUUAUAUAAAUUUAUACAAAACUUAACUCAAUUAAAAAUUUGAUUUAAAUGAGUUAAAUAAAUUACAAAACAUGUUAUUUGUUUAAUAAUUACAUUGUAUUUAGGUUUAUGCUUUUUACUUUAUUAAUAUCAUUAUUAUGAUUGAGUCAACCUAUUUAGUAGAAUGUUUUAGUCUUGAUAUCACACAAAUUGUCAUCCCUAUCUCUAAUCUUGUCAAACAAAUAGUUUGAACGACAUAUUUUUUUAACUAAAGAAAAUUAUUACCUUACAUAGAGUUUUAUUAAAAAAAAAAAGCCAAAUAAAAAAAUGUAAUUAAAAAUAAUUACAAAUUUAUGCAUUUUCAAAUUAUUUAAUAAAUUUAAAGAAGUGAAAUGGAUUUAAACUGACUUAUAAAAAUAAGUUAUCAACUUCAAUUUUUUUUUCUUUCUAAUUUUUUUUUUAAUUUUUUUCCCUCACAUUUUUUUCCAUAGUUAUAGGAAACCAAACAUAACCUAAUUAGGAUCCUACUAUCAUGUUUUUUUAUUCCCAAAAGUUUUUGGGUCUAACCUUUUUCUAAACUUAUUUCAAAGGGCAUCUAUAACACAAGAUAUUAAGUGUGCUUGCUCGACAUGUAGUCUUUCAUUGAUUUCCUUUUCGAUUAAAAACUUUUAGACAAGUCAGAUAUAUAGUUUUUGCUUUCUUAACAGAAAUCAAAGUCUAAGGUGGUGUUUGUUUUUUUACUUAAUUCUAAAUAGAACCUUAAUACUUAAUAGUAUUAAAUAUUAGGUUGUUUGUUUUUGUAGUAUUUUAUUUCUAUUAAGUAUUAAAAAGUAAAAAAAAUCAUUGUGUUAUUUUUUCUAUUUAGAAAAAGCCACAUAUUUUGGCUUUUUCUAUUUAGUAAAAAGUUUAUAAUAAGUCAUGAAAAAGUAAAAAAACAAACAAUCUAAAUUCUAAAACUAAAUGGUUUUCAGCAAAAAGCCAAAAAAACAAACACCAUCUAAGUCUUUGCACAAAAUCCUAAUCAAAGAGAUCUUUUAGAAAUCUUAUUGGAAGAGAAUUUAAAACCAGAGUGGUGACAAAAGCACACGAACAAAUAAAACUGGACAAAGAAAUUAAGCAUCUCGAUGAGUUGAUAAAUAUCUUUGUCAAUGCUUCUACUUGAGAGAGAAAUACAUUAGAUUUCUACACUUUUGAAUAGUUGCCUUGAGUGACUCCAAUUAUUGGAAGCCAAGGUCAAGGUCGUUGAAGUUUGUCCAUUUUUUCCCUUGGUCCCACAUUAUUUGCUUCUCCUUAAUUUCCUCUGGUUUGGGAAAAGGACAUUCACACGGUUUGGUGUAGGAACCACCCUUUCCUUUAGUAUCCAUGAUUACUUUUCUACCCAAUAAUGAGGAAAACAUUUAUGAAGGCCCCAUGUGAGGACUAUUAUUGGUGACUCUAGAAAUAGAGCUAUUCAAUUUCCCUCAUAAAUAGUGUAACAUCCAAAAUAAAUUUUAGAGACAAAAUAGUAAAUUAUUAAUUAAUUAAACUUAUUAAAAAUAAACGAGUCAUUUUACAAUUAAAAAUUGUAUCAAUUAGAUUUUCAAUUUAUCUUCUUUAUUUAGAAAACUUUAUUAACAAAAAAUCAAAUAAUUGAAGAACGUAAGGUUAAAGAUUUGGAAGUCUAUAGUUUGAAGUUCAAUUAUUUUUUUUCAAGUAAGAUUCUAACCCUAGAUUAAUAUAUUAUAUUCAUUAGUUAGUUUUGACUAUGUUAGAUAUUUUUAGAAAAUUUUAAUUUAGAUUAUAAUUAGUUUAUUUAAUUUAUUUUAAGAUAUAAAAAAUUGAAAUUAUGAAUGUUGUUUCAUUGAUGAAAAUAAAGAAAUUCAAAAUUAUUUUAGAUGAAUAAAUCUAAACAAUGAAAUUUAAAAAAAUUAAAUGAUUAAAUAAGUAUAUGAUUAUAUGUGGCUUAAGGGAUUGAAAAAUAAUAAAAAGAAGAAUAACAUGUUUUUGGAUUUUGGAUUUGAGGAAUUUUUUAAUAAUAAAAAUAAUUAAGGUUUACUAUUAAUAAGAAUAAUGAUAAUAAUGAUAUUAAUAAUAAUAAGAAGAAGAAUUGUGUGAAGAAUAAUUUCAUCUUCAACGUAGAAAUGUGAUUGUCAAGGCCUCAGUGAAGAGAACGGUAACGGACCCUGCUGUAAACGACGAUGGGUCACGAGCAAAUGGUGAAAUUGCGGAUGAACCCCACAACUGUAAAGUGCUUUUGACGCGUAAUGGGUUCCACCACUACCAUUAUUGGGGAAUCUUUCUGGUGGAUGAAAAGCCGCUUUUGGGUUCACGGUUGACUCAUUAAAUCUCCUACCUAUCUCUGAGUUUGUCAACUGAGACCACCGAGUUUUAUUUAUUUAUUUAUUUUUUUCUUUUCCUCGGUUCAAUUUUUGUUUCCAAUACGAGGAAAAGGGCUUUCAAGUCUGACACGUGGAAAGUCAGUGGGCUUCAUAAUUUUGUUACAUUUUUAGGGUUUGUUGGAGCUGCAAUAGGGACAAUAAUUUUUGUAUGGAUAAGCUACAAAUCAGAUAUCGAAUCUAAAACAAAUGUUUAAUGGUGCAACUAAAAGAUGUUUUUUCAAACAUUUUAUUUAUAUUUUUUAUGUGAAAUAUGUUUUUUUUUUUCUCCCAAAGAAUAGAAAACUAUUUUUAAAAAAAUGUUAUUAACAAAAUCUAAGUAUAAAAUCAAUUAAAAACAAUGAGAUUUUUUUUCUUAAAAUUUUCUAUGAUAAGAUAACAUUAGAAUGACACUAUUAGCAAAAUAAAAAUUUAAAGCUAAAUAUACAUUCCUACAAUGUGAAUAAUUAAAUAGCACACAAUCUAAUAUAAUUAUUUAAUUUAUUUUUAAAUUAGAUAUUAUUUAAUUAAUUACCAAAAUUUAGAAAAAAAAAAUCAAGCUCAAAAUUAAAGAGAACCUAAAUUUUUUUAAAAAAAAUUAUUUAAUAAAAUGUCAAAUACAAAAUUACCAAAAAAAAAUUAACAUUAUUAGAAAAGUUAUAAUAAAAUUAAAAUUUACAUUUAAUGCAAGAAAGAAAAAUAAAUAAAAUGUUGAAUGCAUGAAAAAAAUUAAAUUGAACUUUUAAAACUCAAAAUUAAAUUUAUGGGGUUUCUAUUUUAUUUUUUAUUAUUCGAAAACCUUAUUUAUAUCUAUGAGAUUUUUUAGGGGACUCGCCCAUCUACUGGCUUGGUCAAUGUAAUAUAAACUUCUUUUAAUCAUAUAAAUGUAUUUUAAAAUCAUGAAUAUUGAUUGUGCUCAAAGUAAAUAAUAUCGUAAAUACAUAUUCUGUUCAAAGUGGAUAAUAUCUACAUAAGAAAAAGCAAAUUAUUAUAAAUGAUAUUAAAAUCAAUCCUUGAAUAUGCGAGACUACCUAAAUGGUCUUAGAGGGAUGUUUAUGUGUUUGACCUUUGCAUGGUAUAAGUAAUGAGAUCUAUCUUAUCACCGACCAAUCAUGAAAUAUGAUAUAAUAUUCAUAUUUUAUCUUAUUUUAUACUAUAUCCGGUUAACCAAACAUGACCUAAGGUUAAUUGUUGUAACUAGUCAAGUUUUAGCCAUGACGGAUGCAUACUCAAUCAUGGUAUUAUCUCAGCCUUUUGGGCUUCCAGGACUGGUCCUUUAAAUUUGGGCUCAAACCCAACCUAAUGGAAGAGGGCCUUAACUCAGUUCAUGGGCCUGUCUAGCCUGCCGCGCUGGUUUCCAACUGGCUCGACCCAGCCUAGACUAGGGGUCGUGCCCGUCCACUAUAUUGUUAUAAUUUUUAUAGGAUCAUAGGUGAUUUAUUCUUUGAAUUUUAUAGUAAAGAGACAAAGCUUGAUAAUAAGAAUUUGGACAUUGUCUAAAAAAUUUUAAGGGUGUUUAGCAUCUAAAUUUUGAGAAUUUUUUUGGCUAUAAAAAAAUUUGAGAAAAACUACAAAGAAAAUAAAAUAAAGAAAAAAAGUAAAAAGGAAAAAAAAUGAUGAAAAAUAAUGAAUAAAUUUAAAGUUCAUGCGAUAUUUUUAUAUGUUAUUUAAAAAAAAUUAACUCUUAUAUAUAAAGGUUGAAUAAUUUGAAAAUAUAUAGAUUUCUAAUUAUAUUAAAUUUUCUUACAUAUUUUUAAUGAUAAAAUCAAAUAUGAAAUCAAACAUGAGAAUAUAAUUUUUCUUAAUAAUUUUUAUUUUUAUUUUUUUAACAUUUUUCUUUCUUUUUAUGAUACAUACUCUUAAGUCUAAUCCAAUGAGGUAGAGGUAGUUGUACAUAGAAGGUCCAACUAAUGUUGGUUGAUGUGGGACAUUGAACUUUCGUCUGUCCUAUGUAGUGAACCUANNNNNNNNNNNNNNNNNNNNNNNNNNNNNNNNNNNNNNNNNNNNNNNNNNNNNNNNNNNNNNNNNNNNNNNNNNNNNNNNNNNNNNNNNNNNNNNNNNNNNNNNNNNNNNNNNNNNNNNNNNNNNNNNNNNNNNNNNNNNNNNNNNNNNNNNNNNNNNNNNNNNNNNNNNNNNNNNNNNNNNNNNNNNNNNNNNNNNNNNNNNNNNNNNNNNNNNNNNNNNNNNNNNNNNNNNNNNNNNNNNNNNNNNNNNNNNNNNNNNNNNNNNNNNNNNNNNNNNNNNNNNNNNNNNNNNNNNNNNNNNNNNNNNNNNNNNNNNNNNNNNNNNNNNNNNNNNNNNNNNNNNNNNNNNNNNNNNNNNNNNNNNNNNNNNNNNNNNNNNNNNNNNNNNNNNNNNNNNNNNNNNNNNNNNNNNNNNNNNNNNNNNNNNNNNNNNNNNNNNNNNNNNNNNNNNNNNNNNNNNNNACCCUAUAGAGUAGUAAUCUGCUCCCUUUAGUUAUGCCUGUAACGUAGGGAUUAUACAACUCAUGUCCACACUCUCCCUCAAGUUGGUGCAUAGAUGUCGUUGAUGCCCAACUGCAUACCAUCUUAGUGAGGAUGUCUGCUAGUUGGUCUUCUGAUUUGAAAAAUGGGAAUCAGAUUAUAUUAACUUCUAAGUUUUUCUUGAUAAAAUGUCGGUCUACUUCCACAUGCUUAGUUCAAUCAUGUUGGACUAGGUUAUAAGCAAUAUCAAUGGCUGUCUUGUUAUCACAAAGCAAGUUCAUCUCGCAACAAGGAGAAUAGCCAAUUUCUAUCAAUAAUCUUCUCAGCCAGAGUAACUCACACAACCCCUUAGCCAUUCCUCGAAACUCCGCCUCUGCACUAGAUAGUGCUACUGAUUCGUGCCCGAUUGGUGUUCCAAUUGAUUCAACUCAAUUGAUGUGCUUUGAUCUCAAUCCUCAGACGGGAGUAAUCAACAAAAUUUAUAAACCUAUUUCACCAUAUACUGGGGUAGCAUUUAACUAGCAUAGUAUAGUGGCUCUAGGAUCGUCCACAGAGAUGGGUUUUCACAUCGCAAUUGAUAUUAGUUCAAAAAUUGAAUUGGUACUUUUUAUUUUCUUUGUUAGCUUUAAAAGAAGACAUAAGUUUGAAUGAAAACGGAUGGUAUUAAGCUAACCUAACAUAAAGUAAUUGAUUUUACUUACAAAGAAAAGUGUUUCUUGGAGUUUUAGAUCACUAGGCUCAGAUUCCUCAUACAAAAAGGGAGUUCCGGUCACUUGCUUCUUUUCCUCGCAUUAGAGAAUUAACAUAUAGUUAAUUCUCUAACCGGUGUGGUACAGAUGCUUCCCAUUAAUGGGUUCAAACACUAAAUUCCUCUCACUGAUGCACCUUGCAAUGGCUCAUACCUCUCACCAAACACUUUCCAUUCAAGGUGAUCUUUAACCUUGGAUUACCCGUCAAAAGCGAACAAGAGAUAACAAUUAGACCUCCAUGGAGCAAGAUUGCAAGCAAUAAGAAUCCAUGGAAUUCGAAAGCUUACCAAAUAUUGGCUAUUCUAGAAAAUCCUACCUUUAAACCACCUACCAAAAGCUCGCAAGAGAUAAACUAGUGCAUCUCUAUGGACGGAGAUCACUUGCCUUACCAAGUGUUAGCUCAGGUGAAUUGAAGGCGUUUUAAGUUAACUAAAAAGAUAAAAACCAUUAACGGGUCACACUUUCUCUUCAUUAAAAACUAAAACAACAAAACUUUCAAUUUAUGCAUGUGGAAACUUACCCGGCUUUCCUCACUCCAAGAGACGAAGAGCCUAGCCUCUCAUCCUCUGAGGAAAAAUCCUCAGAGUUUGGUUAGCUAGAAAGAAAAAGAAAAUGAAAAUGAAAGAGAAGGAAAAACAAAGCAAAGCUCUUUAUAUUCUAUAUACUUAUAUAUCUAUAUCUUUUACAAUGGAUGCAAGGGAAUAUAUAUAGAGAAGUUUUUCCAACCUUCCUAGCUAAGAAAUCUUAUGGUUGGUGGAUUACAAGGAGAAGAAUGGAAAUUUAUACAAAAAUAUCUGAAGAAAAUAUCUAAAAGAGUUGGUGCACAAAUAUCCCAGUUUGCAUGUAGAUUUCGCACGUUGCAUGGUGACUUGCGAAAAUCUCGCAAGUUGAUUUCGCAACUUGGAAUCCAUUUUCGCACGUUGAGCUCCAAGUUCGCAAGUUGCAAAAUCACUUUCGCAAGUUGGGCUUCUCUGUGACUGUGCGGCUGUAUUCCAUUUCCAUUUCGCAAGGUAGGCUUUAAUUUCGCACGUUGGAGUUCCAAAUUCGCAAGAUGCGAAUUUGUCCUUCAACUGGGUACAGUUGUCUUGUGAAAGCCAUAUCUUCCUCAUUUCAGCUCCAAUUCGUACACUGUUUGAAGCGUUGGAUUCUUGACUUCCUGAGCUUUGAAAUGGUAUAUAGCAUGUAGAAAAUGGACUUCGGGAAGUGCUCCAAAAGUGUGAAAGAAGACUGAAGCUGCUGUCCUCUAUUUUCUUCACUCUGUUUUUCCUCUCUCCGUUGUUCUUUCCUUGCAUACUUUGAACGAAUUUGGCAAAGGGCUAUGGAGCUCCAAAGCUUGGUUCUUCAUGAAUUUGAGCUUCCAAAAGCUUUGCCAUGAACUAUAUACAGCUCUCCCUCAUUCUUGGAUUGCUUUGGUGUAGCUAAAAGCUAUCAAAAACACCAAAACUUAACACAAUUUGCUUAGAAACGAUUGCAAGGGUCCUUAACAUGUCAAUUGAGUUAAAAGGUAAUAAUUACUACUCAAGAGUGUUUAAAAGAGUUAAUUACAAGUUACAAAAUAGCACUUUUUGAGUAGCAAUCAGCUACUACUUUAUGUUUUUUUACUUCGACAUGUUUUCAAGUUUCUCCAACAAAUGUGAGGUAACCUGAUGUGGAUUUCCUAUCGGAGAUAUUUCUUGCCCAAUCAACGUCGAUAUACCCUAUAAUUUCCAGGUACCCAUUCUUUGAGAACAUAAUUCUCUUCCCUAGGGUUCCCUUAAGGUAUCUUAAAAUUUGAGUCACUACAUUCAUAUGAUCUUCACUAGGGCAAUGCAUGAACUGAUUCACUACACUGACCGCAUAGACAAUAUCAGGUCGGGUAUGUGAAAGAUAAAUUAGUUUUCCAACCAAUCUCUGAUAUUUGCCUUUAUCAGUGGGGAUCUGGUCAGGGUAUUCUCCAAGCCUAUGAUUCUAUUGUAUUGGAACAUCUGUCAGUUUACAGUCUAGCAAUCCAACUUUUGAUAAUAGAUCGAGAGUAUACUUUCGUUGGGAAAGAAAGAUACCUCGUUUAGAUUGAGCCACCCGAAUUCCUAGAAAAUAUUUCAACCAAGCCAAACUCUUUAUUUCAAACUUUGCUGCCAACUGUUUUUUAAGUUUCGCAACUUCCUCGGUAUCAUUACAUGUGAUGAUCAUAUCAUCUACAUACACUAUUAGUGUUGUUACCUUGCCUUGUCGACGCUUUAGAAAUAGAGUGUGGUCAUAAUUGCUUUGUUGAAACCCAUACUUUCUCAUUGCUAGGUUGAGGCGUCCAAACCAAGCUUGUGGAGACUAUUUCAAGCCGUACAGGGUGGGCCACAGUUUACACACUGUCUUGCCAGACGUUUCAAUGUACCCAUGGGGAAUAUCCAUAUAAAUUUCUUCUUCGAGGUCACUAUGGAGGAACACAUUCUUUACAUCAAAUUGGAGUAGCGACCAAUCAAGAUUCACUACAAUAAAUAGAAGGACUCUUAUAGUGUUCAACUUGGCUACAAGUGAGAAGGUCUCCAUAUAGUCAACUCCAUAAGUCUACGUAUAUUAUUUCGCUACAAGCCUCACUUUUUAGCACUCAAUUGACCCAUCCACCUUGUAUUUGAUGGAGAAUACCCAUUUGCACCCCACUAUCUUGUGGCAUUCUAGUAAAGAGACAAGAAUCCACGUCUUGUUUUUCAACAAUGCUUCCAUUUCUUCCUUUAUUGGUUGGACCCACCUAGGGUCUUGUAGAGCCUCCUCUAUGCUUGUUUGAAUGUGAUGCGCUGAUAAUGCAUUAGAAAAGCUCUUUAAGGGUUCUGAAAGCUUCUUUGUUGAGACGUAAUUGGCAAUUGGGUACUUUGAUUUGUGUGUCUCAAUAUUUGGAGAAUAGCAUUUUGGUAGUUUGCCACGAUUGUGCUUGGAAGGUAACUAAUAACCAUCGUCAGUUAAAUGUUUUGUGGCAAGAGGAAAACUUACCUUAGGAACCUCUUCAGGAAUAUUCUCAGAAGUUGGGUCAUGAGGUACUUUAGAAUGAGGGGGUGUCUCAGGAAUUGGAGUUGGUGUCUCAGUAGUCAGCAUUGGUGGCUCUGUAGCUAUUCCAUACCCAUGGUAGUUGGUGGCUCUAUAAUCAGUGGGAUGUCUGGGAUGUCUUUGAACCAAUUCAACUCUUCAUCGUGUGUCUUCCCCUUAAGAGAAGAAUUGGAUGGAUGAUAGAACAUCUCAGACUCGAGGAAGGUGACAUCCAUAGUAACAUAGAGCCGCAUGUUUGUUGGAUCAUAGCACCAGUAACCUUUUUGAUUGGUGGCAUAGCCUAGAAAGAGACAACGACAAGCACAAGGAUCGAGUUUAGUGCGCUGGUUGCAGUGAAGAUGAACAUAGACAACGCAUCCAAAGGUUCGGGGAAGAAGCGUCGUAGUCGAAAGUACUCAUAUACUCGAGGCUAAGGCCUGUAGAGGUGUUUUGAAAUCCAGAAUUUGGAAUGUCAUUCGAUUAAUGAGAUGCACAAUAAUUGUAACCGCAUUAGGCCAGUAAGGACUAGGUACAUGUGCACUUAAUAGGAGGACACGUGUGGUCUCGAGAAUAUGGCGAUUCUUACGUUCUACUACACCGUUUUGCUCUAGAGAAUGAGGACACGAGGUUUGAUGUAUCAACCCAUGUUGGUGGAAGUACUUCUGGAAUUGUCGAUUCAUGUAUUCAGUGCCAUUAUCAAAGGAAAAAACUCCGAGUUUGGCAGAAAAUUGGGUUUGAGUCAUUGUGUGAAAAGAGCAGAAGACAGUAAAAACCUCAUCUUUGUUUGUCAGUAGGUAGAGCCACAUCAUUCAAGUGCAAUCAUCAACAAAGAGAACAAAUCAGCGAUAACCCGAUAGAGUAGAUUUUAGGGAUGGUCCCCACACAUCAGAAUGAAUUAAGCUAAAAGGUACAUCACUCUUAUUCUUAUGUAAAUGAUAAAUUAUCCGGUGACUUUUGGCCAAAAUACAAGUUUCACAUUGAAAAUCUGAGAUAGAGAAAUCAGAAAAUAAACUAGGUAGUAAAUGCUUCAAAUAUCCAAAUGACGGAUGGUUGAGUCGUCGAUGCCAAAGUCAUAUCUGUUCUAUUCUAGAAUCACCCGACUAUCCCACAUGAUGAGUUUGUCCCAUUUUUAACAGAGCCAUGUUAAAAAUCUCUUAUCUUUCUUUAUUUUCAUGUGUUUGGUUUGGUUAAUGUAGGAGAUCUCCAUCCAAUCUGCAUUUCGCUCAACCAUCCGACAUCAGAAAAUGGAUACAAACUAGAAGUACUUUGCCCUUCCCUACUAUGCAGUCGCUUGUCACCAAAAAUGGUAAGUCCUGGUUGAACUCCAGAAGUCUGCUCAUGGGUGAAAUUCAUCUACAUCCCCAAAAAAUCUCCACCAUACCACUUUCUUGGAAAAUUUGGUUGGAAUCCUGGCAAAUACUUGCACAAAAUCCGAUUUCUACUAUUUCAACUGGCAAAACUCUCACUGGGAUUAUUCCCACUGCACCUAUCUUUUGGUUUCUGGAAAAGCGAAUACCAAGAGGCCGUCUCAUUACGGAACUGUAGAUGUUGUAUCUUGCCGAAAAAUUUCAUCACCAACCUCCUAUAAUAAAGAGAGGUUGUAUCUUGAAAGUCAUAAUCAUAUCCUCCAAGUGAGCUUUUUCUUCUAUCAUCACUGAUAGUGGUAGAUAAAAACCAAACUAGAGCACUGAUGAAAAGAUUGAAAUUGCAUUGGGUUCUUUUAAGAUUGAAGAAGAGAACAGUGGAAAAGGCAUUAUGGGUAAAAGAAUUGUCAAACUUGUAAGAUUUGUUUCUAUUUCUUUUGGUCAUUGGUCAAGUAGUCAUUACUUUUUUAUUUUUUAUUUUAUUUUUAUUUUUUAAAAUCAACUCUUGAUUCAAUGAUUUCACAAUGCAUGUAUCAAUUGGAUGAUGAUUCUUGAAUUAGAAAUUUCCUUCCACACAAUAUGAUUAUAAAUAAAUACACAAGAAAAAUGAGCAACAGAACUACCAAAGAAUCAAACAGUUUUAGGUCUACUUCGCCUUGCAGCCUUAAGGCAAAAAUAUAGAAAAUAAGAUGGGAAGUUACUGAUUUACAAUUGGUGUAGAGAACAAUCGAAUAGAUAUUCAUGAAAUCAAUUUACACUAAAACACACCUGUGAUUAUGUCCUAAGAAAUCCAAUUCUGAUGCAACAUAUAUGAAGUUGAUAACACCAACAAACAAGACUGAACUUUGGCUGAUUCUCCCUAACUAUCUACCUUCUUCUAAGCUGACAGUUAUCUCAUUGUUGGAGCAUGUUUUCGGAUUGGUGGAAGAGGAAGGAGCUAAGCUGGGCGGCCCUCUUCUCACAACAAAGGCUGGUUGCUAGGGUAUUGGAAGUGUGGCUAUCUCACUAUUGAGCAUGAGAAAUGCAUUGGGCAUGGUGGGGCGAUCACUUGGGUCUUCUUGUACACACAACAACCCAACAUUUACACACCUCAAGAAUUCAUUAGUGUUGCAUGUUUCACUUAGUGUCUGGUCCAUCAAAUCAUACACCUUGUCUUCUUUCCACAAUCUCCAUGUUUGGAACAAUUCUCUUGAUAUUAAAAUUAGAUUUGCUAAAGUAAAAUGAUAGGUUGGGCAAUCAUAUCAAUUUGAUAUAUAAUAUAAAGAUUUUUUUUCUAGGGGAGGUCAUCAAUUCAAACCUCAUUGUUUGUUUAUUUUCUUUAUUUACUAAGCUUACAUGCAAAUCUAAAGAAGGCCACUUGUGAGAUAAUGUUGAAUGACAUGUCCUAGGAGCUGCUGACAUGGAGCUACGUAGAAUGAAGUGGAAGUAGUUAAAAUAAGUUAGUCAUGUGGAAGAUUUACCUAUUCCUUAGGAAGUAUUUGUUGGUUUGUUUUUAUUCUUUAGGAAGUAUCUAUAGGUAGCAUGUUUGUUGCUAUUUUUAUGUUUUUCUGUUUUAAGCUAGCUGUAUAAAUAAGUGCUUUGAAGCUUAAUAAAAUAUAACUUCAGAUUCCUCAACAUUAUGUUGCUUCUUGAGAGUUUCUACCCUUUGUUUUUAUCAAAACCUACAAAUUGGUAUCAGAGUUGUUGUUAUUGAGUAACCUGUGAGGUGAGUGAGCCUAUACACCACCAUCUACCCUAUCCAAAACAAUAUCCAUGUUGUUCUUGAGUAACCUGUGAGGUGAGUGAGCCUAUACACCACCAUCUACCCUAUCUAAAAGAAUAUCCAGAAUGACCUCAGAAGCUUCACUGAAUGCAGUGGCACCUCCAGUGUUUGAUGGAAUAAAUUAUCAAGUGUGGGUUGUCUGUAUGGAAGCCUACCUUGAUGCUAGUGAUCUGUGGGAAGCUGUUAGUGAGGAAUAUGAAGUUCCUCCCCUGUCCGACAAUCCAACUAUGGCUCAGAUAAAACUACACAAUGAGAGGAGGCAAAGGAAAUCAAAGGCAAAAGCUAGUCUAUUUGUAGCUGUCUCAUCCACAAUUUUCACCAGAAUCAUGGCAUUGAAGACGAAAAAUGAAAUAUGGAACUUCCUGAAGAAGGAAUAUGAAGGAAAUGAAUGAGUCAAAGGUAUGCAAGUGCUGAACCUGAUUAUAGAGUUUGAGAUGCAAAGGAUGAAAGAAUCAGAAACAAUCAAGGAUUACUUAGACAGACUUCUUAGUAUUGUUAACAAAGUAAGACUUCUUGGUACUGACUUUUCUGAUUCUAGAAUAGUUCAAAAAAAUUUUAUAACAGUUCCUGAAAAGUUUGAGACUACAAUAUCAUCUCUAGAAAACUCAAAAGAUGUGUCAAGUAUCACCUUGGCAGAGCUGUUGAAUGCAUUACAGGCUCAAGAACAAAGGAGGCUUAUGAGACAAGAAGAAUAUGUGGAGGGUGCAUUUCAGGCCAUAUCUCAGUACAAGAAAGAAAUGCAAAGCAACAAUAACAGCAGCAACAACACUCAAAAGUUUCCACCAUGUCCUUACUGUAAAAAAUCCAAUCAUCCACAAAAAAAGUGUUGGUGGAGGUUGGAUGUAAAAUGUCACAAGUGUGGUCAGCUAGGGCAUGUGGAAAGAAUAUGCAAAUCUCAACAGCAGCUAGGAGAAGUCAAGGUUGCUGUGGAAGAACUUCAAGAUGAGCAACUGUUUGUGGUAUCAUGCUUUUUCACUAGCAGCUCCCUAGAAACUUGGCUUAUAGACAGUGGUUGUACAAACCAUAUGACUUAUGAUCAAGGGCUCUUUAAGGAACUUGACAAAACUGUUACUUCCAAAGUUAGAGUUGGAAAUGGAGCAUAUCUUGCAGUAAAAGGCAAAGGCACCAUGGCAAUUGAAGGCCACACAGGUUUGAAAUUAAUCUCUAAUGUCUUAUAUGUUCCUGAGAUUAAUCAAAAUUUGCUGAGUGUUGGUCAGCUAUUGGAAAAAGGCUAUAAGGUGUUGUUUGAGGACAAUCAUUGCAUGAUUGCUAAUGGACAAGGCAGAGAGGUAUUUAUAAUCCAAAUGAAAGACAAAAGCUUUGCCUUGGAUUUGAUACAAGAAGAGCAAGUUGAAAUUCACAAAGAAAAAACAAUACAAUGCUUUGGCAUAGGCGUUUGGGGCACUUUCAUCAUACCGCCCUGCUCUUUAUGANNNNNNNNNNNNNNNNNNNNNNNNNNNNNNNNNNNNNNNNNNNNNNNNNNNNNNNNNNNNNNNNNNNNNNNNNNNNNNNNNNNNNNNNNNNNNNNNNNNNUUAAAUAUGAAGUGCUACAUUUUUGGAAGUUUAAAGCUUGGGAUGAAAAUCAAAGUAAAUGUAAAAUGCAAGUGAUCAGGUCUGAUAAUGGAACUGAAUACACCUCGGAGAAAUUUAACAAAUUUUGUGAAGAUGCAGGCAUUGAGCACCAGCUUACAACACCUUAUACCCCUCAACAGAAUGGAGUCGUUGAGAGGAAAAAUAGAACACUUAUGGAAAUGACAAGGUGUUUGCUGCAUGACAAAUGGCUGCCAAAGAAAUUCUGGGCUGAGGCUGCACAUACAUCAAUCUUUCUGCUGAAUAGACUGCCAACAAAAGCUUUGCAACAAAAUACUCCAUUUGAAGCAUGGUAUGGCUAUAAACCAAGGCUACAAAAUUUAAAAACAUUUAGUUGUCUUUGUUUCUCUUAUAUUCCACAUGUUAAGAGAGACAAAUUGGAUAAAAAAGCUGAAGUUGGGAUCUUUAUAGGCUAUAGCUCAAUAUCAAAGGCCUAUAGAAUCUACCUUCCAGAAAAUAACAAAGUGAUAGUUAGCAAAGAUGUCAAAUUCUUUGAAUCAGAAAGUUGGAGUUGGGAGAAUGAUAAGAAGCUUGAGUUUAAAGAGAAUCUUGAGUUCCAAAAGGACCUUGAGUUUCAGGAGGAGCAUGACAAUAUUGAUGAUGAACCUAUCAGGGGAACCAAAUCACUCUCUAACAUCUAUCAGAGGUGCAAUGUUGCUAUAAUAGAGCCUGCAGGGUAUGAAGAAGCUACAACUGAUAAAAAAUGGAUGGCUACAAUGAAGGAGGAGCUUAAAAUGAUUUUGAUGGACAAACCGACACACAAAAGGGCAAUUGGAGUCAAGUGGGUUUAUAGAACCAAACUCAAUUCCGAUGGUUCUAUAAACAAACACAAGGCAAGACUAGUUGUCAAAGGAUAUGCUCAGAUGUUUGGGGUGGAUUUCUCUUAGACUUUUGCCCCAGUUGCUAGAUUGGACACUAUAAGAAUGUUGUUGGCUCUUGCUGCUCAAAAAGGCUGGAAUAUACAUCAGAUGGAUGUCAAAUCAGCCUUCUUGAAUGGAUACUUGGAGGAAGAAAUUUUUGUGGAGCAGCCUGAAGGUUUUAUUGUUCAAGGAAUGGAGGAGAAAGUAUAUUUGCUGAAAAAGGCCUUGUAUGGUUUAAAACAGGCACCAAGGGACUGGUACAGUAGGAUUGAUUCACAUUUGUUAGGCAUAGGCUUUACAAAAAGCCUAAGUGAAUUUACUCUAUACUUCAGGAAGGUUUGUGAUGAAACACUUGUGGUAUCCUUAUACAUUGAUGAUCUACUUGUGACAGGAAGCAGUAUGGAGCAAAUUGUUAAUUUCAAAAAGGAAAUGAAUGAUGUUUUUGAGAUGACUGAUCUUGGAAGGAUGACAUUCUUUCUUGGCAUGGAAGUACAACAAAAAUAGAAUGAGAUCUUCAUAUGUCAACAAAAAUAUGCCAAGGAAAUCCUGAAAAAGUUCAAAAUGGAAGAGUGCAAUCCAAGUGCAACUCCAAUGAAUCAAAAUGAGAAGUUUUGCAAAAAAGAUGGAGCUGCAAAAGCUGAUGAAAGGCUUUACAAGACCAUUAUUGGGCGCUUGAUGUACCUAACAGCAACUAGACCAGAUAUUAUGAAUGCAGUAAGUUUACUCUCAAGGUACAUGCAUUGUGCUAGUGAAAUUCACUUUCAAGCAGCAAAAAGAAUUGUUAGAUAUGUCAAGGGUACAAUUGACUAUGGUUUGAGGUUUUGUCAAGUUAAAAACUUUACUCUUCAUGGUUAUUCAGAUAGUGAUUGGGCAGGUUGUGUUGAUGACAUGAGAAGUACUUUAGGUUAUUGUUUCAGCUUUGGUUCUGCUAUUUUUACAUGGUGUUCCAAAAAGCAAGAAGUCAUAGCCCAAUCCACAGCAGAAGCAAAAUAUGUAGCUGCUGCUGCUGCUAUGAAUCAGGCUUUCUGGAUCAGGAAAUUGAUGGCUGACUUGUUUAUGGAGCAAAAGAAAAGCACACAAAUACUCGUAGACAACCAAGCUGCAAUUUCAAUUGCAAAUAAUCCGGUGUUCCAUGGCAAAACAAAACAUUUCAAGCUAAAACUCUAUUUACUAAGAGAGGUACAGAAAGAGGGAGAAAUACAGUUGGUCUACUACAAAACAGAAAGUCAAAAUGUUGAUAUCUUAACCAAACUACUUCUCAAAGCUAGAUAUGAGUUCUUGAGGCAAAGGCUUGGAGUCUGCAGCUCCAGAGACAAGGAGGAGUGUUGAAUGACAUGUCCUAGGAGCUGCUGACAUGGAGCUGAGUAGAAUGAAGUGGAAGUAGUCAAAAUAAGUUAGUCAUGUGGAAAAUUUACCUAUUCCUUAGGAAGUAUUUGUUGGUUUGUUUCUAUUCUUUAGGAAGUAUCUAUAUGUAGCAAGUUUGUUGCUAUUUUUAUGUUUUUCUGUUUUAAGCUAGUUGUAUAAAUAAGUGCUUUGCAGCUUAAUAAAAUAUAACUUCAGAUUCCUCAACGUUUUGUUGCUUCUUGAGAGUUUCUACCCUUUGUUUCUAUCAAAACCUACAGAUAAGGUAUUGGCCCACCAUCACAUGAUAGUUUAAGCUUUGGGUUGAAUUGAUAAUUUAACAAAGAAUGACUAAAAGAUAAAUCAUCAUGAGAUAUUCAAGCCACUUACAUAACCUAAAAGGCUCAUAGCUUGGUCAGAUUGAUAAAAUCCUGUGUUCCUCUUCCCACUGAUGAUCUCAAGUACAAUAACACCAAAGCAAAAAACAUCAGAUUUUACUAAGAAAAACCCAUCUAGCACAUAUUCUGGAGACAUAUAGCCACUGCAUUACAUGGAAUGUUAAAAAGUAAUCAGUUGAUUAGGUAUAUGCCAAGGCAAAUAUCUUUCCCCAUGCAUACAAUACUUACUAAGUGCCCACUACUAUGUUUGUGUUUGCCUCUGUUUGCUUGCUCUCAAAGAUCCUGGCCAAGCCGAAGUCUGAAAUUUUGGGAUUCAUAUCCCCAUCUAGUAGAAUGUUGCUCGUCUUCAAGUCCCUGUGAAUGAUCUUCAACCUUGAAUCUUGGUGAAGAUAAAUUAGCCCUCGAGCAAUUCCCAAAAUGAUGUCGAAGCGACUCUCCCAGUUUAGUAACACGCAUAGCAUUCGAUCUUGCCCAGUUGCCAUUAGAAAGAAAAAUUUUAGUGGCAUGGUUCAUUCAGUUAGAUCCUGUCUAUCAGUUCAUGGCACGUAUGCAAUGAUACAACAAAAGUAGGGACUUGACGUAGGUUUAGAGGCAAACCAAAUAUGAAAGAGUCUAAGCUUUUGUUGGGCAUAUAUUCAUAAAGUAAAAUCUUCUCAUCUCCUUCAAUACAAUAGCCCAGAAGUCUAACCAGAUUUCGAUGCUGAAGUUUGGCAAUCAACACAACCUCAUUCUUAAAUUCCACUAGGCUUUGCCUUGAAGCACUUGAGAGUCUCUUCACAGCUACUUCUUUCCCAUCUGGAAAUUUGCCCUAGAAGCCACAAUGCAUAUGCAUUAGACAUUGAUAAUCAGAAAUCAGUUGAAAAUAUGAGCAUUGUUUGAAAUAAGUUAUAUUACCUUGUAAACCGGCCCAAAGCCCCCUUGUCCAAGCUUAUGCGAAUCUAAAAAGUUAUCCGUAGCAGCCAGGAUGUCUUUUAAGUUGAAAAAUGGUACAUCAAUGCCUUUCUUAUCCUCAUCUUUGAAUUGCUUCAAGUCUAUUAAGUGUUUCACACGACUUUCACUAUCAUACAAGUGUAGCACAGGAUUUGCCCUGUUUCCUAAAUUAAAAAAAAGGAAAAUAUUAUAUAGAAAACCUCUGCAAUUUUCUCAAUUUUGCCAGGUACAAUUUGAAAAGAAAAUAGCGGAAGAUCCAUGGUAGAGCUUAUGGCACAAAGAUUACCUUUCCUUUUGGUGAUGUUUCUUUUGCGCAAAUAAGCAAUAUAACCAAUGGUGCUUAAAAGCGCAACUAGAACAACAACAAUUGUUAUGCCUACCACAACUACCGGAGAUGAUAAUGACGACAUCUUAUUGCCAAGGUCUAAAACAAAGAAGAACCACUCUCAUUCAUGGAAAAGGCAAUGCAUCUGUCAUUACUAACCUCUAUGUCUUUCAUUGGAAAAUAAGUUUAAAUGACCAAAACCAAGCAAAAAGAAAGUAUUGAGUUCAACUUCUCACAUACCUAGAAAGCAAAUUUAGAAAUAUACUAGGUCUGUAGCUCACCUUGUGUAAAAUCUAAACUUGAUCCAUUUCACUUAAAUUUUUCACUACAAAAGCACUUAGUGGUUCCAUUUUGUGUUCUGCAAUUUGAAUUAGGCCAAUCCUUGCAGUCUGCUGAUGAGGUACACACUAGCUCCAAUGGUGGAUCCCAACUGAUCUCUAUCUCAAUGCUAUUUUCCAAUGACUUCUCAGAGCCAAAAUUGUCGAUUUUGACCACUGUGCAGACAUUGGUCAUGUGAAAAGGCAGGUUUAGUGGUGGAAUUUUGUUGAUAAGACUUCGAGAACUGCAAUCUAAUUCUUUAAGUUAGAUUACAAAUGUUAAUGUCUCUAGAUUAAUGCUAGUUACCCGAUAGGUGCCACCAGGUACCUUGAACUGAACCUGGCCCGUGGUAAUGUUACAUUCAAAAUUAAAGUACAUGGGAUCACCACACUUUGAUCCAGUGCUUAGAGGAUAAGGAAUCAUGAUUGAGCCACAAGCUUGACAAUUUCUUACUGUUGAUUCUGCAAAUAAAAUGUAGAAUCCCUUGUUAAAGGGUAUUUCUUCCGAUUAUAGUUUCUUCCUAAUGUCUAUAAAUGGAUUUAUGCUUGUGUUGAUCAGUAAACUAAAACAUGAGGUACUUCUUCUCAAGAAAAGGGGAAAAAGAAAUUGGAAAGGGACAUACCUAUAUCUGAAAUAGAUACACGAACAAAGAGAUUGUCAGCAUCAGAGUCAUACUCCUCCUGAAGACCACUAAGGUCGUCUGUCCAAAUCAAGCAUUCUGGGUUAUUGCCCCUUUAUGUUAUUUAGUUUGAGCAUAAUGUCACGGACUUAGUCGUUCACUAAGCUCUUGUGGCACUUAGGCAAGUCAAGACGCUUGAUCUUGCUAAGUCAGCCUUGCUCCCAAUGCUUAGCUUGCUAGGCUAAGACACUCACGACUCGAAAGCUUAAGAAGCUUAGUAAGCAACUCUUUAAAGGAAGCUCUUAUUAACUCAUGGAAGCCUUUACAAGUGCUUGGAAGCUCACUUGCUUGGUACCUUGGCCAAAUGAGGCCCUCACCUAUUUAUAGGCACCAAUGGAACUCUCUAGAACCUUGGAGGGUUCCUUACAACUUAAGUAUAUUCUAGAAUGUCCUACAUCAUUCUAGGUACAAGCCUAUGUACAAGGAUAUACAAGAGACUUCUAGAAUUCUCUAGAAAGCCCUGGACUCCUCUCAUGCCUUCCACCAUAGUGUAGAAUUGUGUGGAUUCCUCCAGGCUUCUCCACAACCUUCCACACUCUUCCCACUCUAGGAGUCUCCAAAAGCUUCCUGGCUCUAUAUAAGCCCAUGGGGAGGCUCAUUUGAAUCAGCUUGUGACACUCUCCUCCACCUAAGCCGCAGACGUUCUUGUCGCGCCUUCUACCCGGAAUCGCUCAAUUUGCUCCUAUAACUGCCAUAGUGCAUCUGUUGGCUCCCAGCUAGCCUCACUUUUUGGUAGUCCUUUCCAUUUCACUAAGUAUUCCGUACCAGGAGGUACACCUCGUCUCCUGAUGACCCGAUCUACGAGAAAGUGUUCUAUCUCCUUAUCAUAGGAGAUCACGACCGUUGUAGGUGCCCUCUUAGACAACCCUCGGCUUGGAUCAUCUUUGUCUUCGUGAUAGGGUUUCAAGUAGUUUACGUGGAAGACAUGAUGAAUCUUCAACCUUGGCAGUAGCUUAACUCUAUAGGACACCUUGUCGACAUUCCCAAGUACGGGGAAGGGUCCUUCAUACCUCCUCAUAAGGCCCUUAUGCACUAACCUUAAGGAUUUGAAUUGUUGAGAAAUGAGCUUGAAAGCACCAUGUCUCCGACUUUGUACUCCGUGUGUUGUCGCUUCUUGUCAGCCCACUUCUUCAUUUUCUUAGCGGCCUUGUCCAAGUAUGAGCGUGAUAUGUCAGCUUGCUUGUGCCACCCUUUCGCGAACUUGAAAGCUGCUGGACUUCUCCCCGUAUAGCCUAUCGUUAGAGUGUGAGGAGUUAACGGUUGCUGCCUUGUGGCCAACUCGAAUGGGCUCUUAUUGGUUGCCUCACUCCUUUGCAGGUUAUACGAGAAUUGGGCUAUGUCUAGCAACUUAGCCCAAUCCUUCUGGUUGGCACUCAUGAAGUGCCUUAAGUAUAGCUCCAAUAAAGCGUUCACCCUCUCAGUCUGCCCAUCCGUCUGUGGGUGAAAGCUUGUGGAGAAGUGAAGCUCCAAACCCAUAAGCUUGAAGAGCUUCAUCCAAAACUUCCUAGUAAAACGCGAAUUGCAAUCACUUUAGGCAACCCCCAAUACUUGACUACGUGCUUUAGGAAUAGCCUCGUCGUCUCUUCCGCAGUGCGGUCAGUCGGGGCUGCUAUGAAGGUUGCAUACUUAGAGAACCUGUCCACUACCACUAUGAUAGAACCGCUGUCCUCCGACUUGGGUAGCCCGAUGAUGAAGUCCAUGGUGACAUUGUCACAUGGGCGCUCUGCUAUAGGUAGUGGCUUCAACAGGCCUCUAGGUUGUUGUUGUUCCACCUUGUCUUGUUGGCACACAAGACAAGUCCUCACAUAGGCCUCUACCUCAUCCCGUAUUUGAGUCCAGUAAUAAGCCGACUCGAGUAGUGCCCUCGUGCGUCGUUGCCUAGGGUGCCCAGCCCACUUGGUGUCAUGGCACUCAUUUAUCAGAUUCCGUCUUAUGUUCCCCCAUUUAGGCACAUAGAGUCGUCUCCCCUUAGUGUAGAGUAGGUCGUUCUCCACCCAGAACCGCUUAGUCUUCCCUUCAUGAGCUAGGGCGAUGAGGCUCUUAGCCACUGGAUCAUGUUGUAGUCCCUCCCUUAGAAGAUCCAUUAUGUCUCCUUGGGGUUGACUCGUCAUGGAUGCUAGCUCCGUUUUACAGCUUAGGGCGUCAGCCACAUGAUUAGCACUCCCUGGCUUAUACUCCAACGUAUAGUCGAACUCAGCCAGGAAGUCUUGCCACCUAGCUUGCUUAGGACUCAACUUCUUCUGUGUUUGGAAGUAGCUAGUGGCAACGUUAUCGAUCUUCACUAUGAAGUGAGACCCUAGAAGAUAGUGCCUCCAGGUGCGCAAGCAGUGGACGAUGGCGGUCAUCUCUUUUUCUUGCACCGUAUAGCACAUCUCUGUGUCGUUUAGCUUGCGAAUCUCAAAUGCGAUCUGGUGUCUUUCUUGCAUAAGGACUCCCCCAAUAGUGAAGUGUGAGGCAUCUGUGUGUAUCUCAAAAACCUUGGUGUGGUCGGGUAGUGCUAACACCGACUCCUCAGUCACAGCCUUCUUAAGAUCUUUAAAGGCUUGUUGGCACCUUUCGUUCCAUUCUCAUGCCUUAUUCUUCUUAAGGAGAUCAGUGAGAGGAGCGACCCUUGCUAAAUAACCUUUGAUGAAUCGCCGAUAGUAAUUAACUAAACCAAGGAAAUAUCUGAGCUAAGGUACCUUGGUUGGUGGAUCCCAUUCCUGGAUGGCUUUCACCUUGCUAUCAUCCAUCUUCAGCUUGCCAUCCUUGAUGCGAUGCCCUAGGAAGCUCACUUCUUUUUUAACAAAGGAGCAUUUUUCCUUCUUCACGUAUAGCUUGUUCUGCCUUAAGAUCUUAAAGACCUUCCUCAAGUGCUCUACGUGCUUCUUUAGGGUGUUACUGUAGAUGACUAUGUCAUCCAAGUAUACCACCACGAACUUGUUGAUUACUACUCAAAAAGUGCUAUUUGAUAGCUUAUAAUUAAUCCUUUUAAACACUUUUGAGUAGUAAUUUUGGCCUUUUAACUCAAUUGGCAUGUUAAGGACCCUUGAAAGCAAUUUUAAUCAUUUUGUGUAAGUUUUGGUGUUUUUUUGUUAGUAAUUUGAUCACCAAAGCAAUUCAAGAUUGAGGAGAGUUAUGAGAAAUCUUGGGCAAAGCUUGGAAGUCAUUUGCCAAGAGUAAAUCAGGAAUGCAAGGAGAAAAAGUUAAGAGAAUCUGCCAUGAAGCAUAUUCUUGAUGACAGUAGUAGCAGCCACUUUUGGAGCACUUUUUGAAGUCCAAUUGAUGCAUGCUAUAUACCAUUUCAAAGCUUAGGAAGUCAAAAAUCCAAUGCUUUAAACGGUACGCAAUUCGGAGUUGAAACGAAGAAGUUGCAGCCAUUGCAAGCCAAUCACUCCAAGCUGAAUGAAGCAUUUUCCAAAGUGUUGCGAAAUCACCCUUUUGUUGCGAAGUGAUUUCGCAGCCUUUUUGUACAGUAGGGUGUAUUUCCUUCUGAAGUUGCCCGAUAUAUGCCGCAAGCUGGAAGCUGAGAACAUCAAGGUGGAAGCCAACUUCGCAGCCCUGCGAGAAUAGCUUUUUGCUCCGAAGUGAUUUCGCAGCCCUUCUUGAGUGUCUGCGAAAUCUCGCAGACACCAUUUUCUCUUGCGAAAUGGUCCCUGGAGCAUCCCGAUAUUUGCUACCGACAUUGGGAGAUAUUUUACAUCAGAUUUUUGUUGUCUAAAUCCCAAAAUACUCCUUGUAAGCCACCAAUUACAAGAUUCCUUAGCUUUUAAGUUAGUAAAAAGAGAAAAUAUCCAUGUAAUAAUUAGUUUUAUAUUAUGUUCAUAUGAAUACUUCUCGGGAGCCUGUUCUCAAAAAGGGACCCUUUUGUAAAGUUUUGGGAAAGCAAGUAAAGUUCAGGUCCUUUGUUUUGUCUUACCUUCUCACUUUGUAUUAUUUAUUUCUUACUAAGUUAUGCACUCUCUGAGGAAUUUUCCCCAGAGAAUGAGUAACUAAACCUCUAGUUCCUUGGAGCUAAGGUUGCCGGGGAAGGUUCCAAAUGCAAGAAUGCAAAGCUUUGUGGUUUCAGCCAUCAAUUAAGAGGAAGUGAAGUUUUUUAGUGAUUUCUAUGUUUUUAGUUAACUUAAAACACCUUAGAGUCACCUGGGCCAACACUUGGUAAGGCAAGUGAUCUCCAUCCAUGGAGAUGCACUAGUUUACCCCUUGCGAGCCUCUGGGAGAUGACUUUAAGGUAGGAUUUUCUGGAAUUGCCAACACUUGGUAAGCUUUUGGACUCCAAGGAGACAUCCAUUAGUUAUCUCUUGCGAGCUAGAGAAGGGAAGUCCAAGGUUAAAGAUCACCUUGAAUGGUUAAGGCUUAGUGAGAGGCUUAAACCAUUGCAAGUUGCAUCAAUGAGAGAAUUAAAGUUGAAAUCUAAUUAAAGGAUGUAUCUGUACAACACCGGUUAGAGAAUUGACUAUAUGUUGAAUCUCUAAUGCGAGGAAAUGAACCAUCUGACCGGAGCUAUGUCUUUUGCAUGAGGAACCACCCCAGUGAACCUAACUCUCCAAGGAAUGUUUUUCUUCCUAAGUUAUUCUCACUACUUAUUCUGUUAGUUAGUUUAAAUCUAAAUCUUUACCAAUCAAAAGGUUGUGUUUUAUUUUUUUAGCUAACCUUGAAAUGAAACAAGACCAAUUCACUUUGAAUUGGUAUCAUUGAUAGCUUGCUAAUCCUUCCCAGUGAACGAUCCUAGAGCCGCUAUAUUAUAGUAGCUUUUUCUUUGCUACCCUAGUAUAUGGUGUAAUAGGUUAUAAAUUUUGUUGAUUACUCCCUCAAUCAAGGAGCACCAGCUGGACACGAAUCAGCUGAGACACCAAUUGGGCACAAAUCACUUGUCUAAGCAUGGGUGGAAGAUCUUGUUCAUGAGGGUGCAGAACGUUGCUGGGGCAUUGGUGAGUCCGAAAGGCAUCACUAAGAAUUCGUAUGAGCCAUACCUGAUCACACAUGUGGUCUUUGGCUCGUCCCCCUCUGCAAUCCUUACUUGGUAGUAGCCCGACCUUAGGUCUAGCUUCGUGAAGUACCUUACCCUUCCAAGUUGAUCGAAUAAGUCAGCAAUGAGCGGGAUAGGAUACUUGUUCUUUACCGUCACCUUGUUGAGUGCCCGAUAGUCUAUGCACAUUCGUAGGGACCCAUCAUGCUUCUUCUGAAAUAGAACCGGCGCGCCAUAGGAAGCCUUGGAUGGUUGGAUGAACCCCUCAUCUAGUAACUCCUUAAGUUGUCUCCUUAGCUCCUCCAACUCCGGUGGUGCCAUUCUAUAUGGCCCAUAGUAGGGGGCUUAGCUCCCGACUCCAACUCAAUCCUGUGAUCUUCCUCUCUCCUAUGAGGAAGUCUCUUAGGCAACUCGGGCGACAUCACGUCCUUGAACUCAUCAAGGACCCCCUCGAUUUCCUUAGGCAUGGGUUCUCCCGACCCAUCGUCUCUUUCUUCCUUCAGGGUGGCGAGGUAGGUCACCUCUUUCCUCUUUAACCCCUUCCUAACUUGCAUAGCUGAUAGCAUAGGGGUCUUAAGCGUACCUUCAGUGACCGUAGGGACCAUGCAUGGCUUCUCCUCCUCUAAGAUAGCCAUUGAGCAUAGGAAAGGUAGUGGCACGACCUUGACCUUCUGUAGGAAGUCCAUUCCUAGCACCAUCUUGAAGUUAUCCAUGGGUGCCACUAUGAAAUCGACCCUUCCUUCCCAUGAGCCGAUGUGCAUAGUCACCCUACAAGCUACUCCAUGUGACGGGCUUGGCAGCUGAAUUAACUGCCUUGAGUCAUCCUCCUUCCUUAGAUGCUUGGAGCUUUAGUCUCUUUGCCUCAUCCUCCGAGACAAAGUUAUGAGUGGCACCAGUGUUCACCAAGGCCUUGGUGGCCUUCCCAUUCACAAGGGCCUCUACAUACAUUAGCCCUUUGCUUUGAGGCGUCUUAGGCAUCGGCUUGGCCUUAAGGGCAUUUAGGAGUUGCAACGAUCCCACUUUAGCAUCGCCUUCCUGCUCAUUUUCCUCAAUCAUAGCAUUUAGAGCUUUCCUCUUAGGGCAGUCUCAUGCCCAGUGUGUACCAUCGCACAGGAAGCAAUUGGUCCUGGGCAUGAACUCCUUCCACUUAUCUUUGCCUUUACCAUCCUUGCCACUAGGGCCUUUGCUUGAUCCUUCCUUAGAAGUGUGGCAUCGUGAUCCAUUGUCUCCCCCACCUUUGGCCUGGUUACCCUUGGAUGGUGGUUUUGGCUUGGAGGAGUCUCCCCUUCUAUAAUCUACCAAGGACUCUGCUACCGCCAUGGUCAUGGCUAGGUCUUAGACACCAUGUCUCCUCAACUCUUGCUCGACCCAACUUUGCAAGUUGUCCAUAAAGUUAAAUAGUAGCUCCUCCUCAACCAUGUUAGGUAUCUCAAGCAUAAACGUAGAGAACUCCUUGACAUAAUCACGGAUCGAGCCUGUGUGCUUGAGACGCUUCAUACUCUUCCUUGCUAGGUAAGCCACAUCUUCGGGAUAGAAUUGUCUUUUGAUUUCUCUCUUAAAGGCAUCCCAUGUGUCUAUGGUGCACGUCUCUUUCUCUAUGUCGGAAAACUGUCGACGCCACCAUAGAGUAGCAUUAUCGGUGAGGUAAAGGGUCGCGGUGCAUACCUUAGUGGCUUCAUCCGUCAAUGCAAUGGCCUCAAAGUAACGCUCCAUGUGCCACAAGAAGUUAUCUAGCUCCUUAGCAUCCCUCUUGCCAUUGAACGAGUGUGGCUUGGGCACCUCCACCCUUGGUGCCUCAUGAGUGGCCAUGACUCAUGCUGAUAUCGCAGUCUUGUAGAUGGCUAGCUCUUGAUGAAUCUCUUGGUCUCGGGUCUCCAUGAGCGCAGCCAAGGCCUCCAUCCUUGACUCCACACUAGCGAACAUGAUCAUGACCUUGUCUUGGAAGGACAUGAACUCCUCGUGUGACACGGUUGAACUUGUGAGCCUAGCACCCCCUCGCGAAGGUCUUGGAUCUGCUCCCUUAGAUCCUCUAAGCCUUUCUCCAUGCCUUGCUCGAUCAAGUCCACCCCUUCCCGGGUGUCCGUCAUGGCUAGCUCCACCUUAGCUAGCCUUGCCUCCAUGUUGGCUAAGGCAUCACGAGACUUAUCCUUCCUGCCUCGGCCCCGUGCAGUAUGCUCCAUCUCCCUUCCAUGGGUUUGCUCGCUAGUCUCCUCCACGUUAGAGCCCGACAUGCUUCCUUUGCUAUGCCCACUUCGUAACCGCCCUCUAAUACCACUUGUCACAGACUUAGUUGUUCACUAAGCUCGUGCAGCACUUAGGCAAGUCAAGACGCUUGAUCUUGCUAAGUCAACCUUGCUCCCAAUGCUUAGCUUGCUAGGCUAAGAUGUUCACGACUCGAAAGCUUAAAAAGCUUAGUAGGCAACUCUUUAAAGAAUGGAAGCUCUUAUUAACUCAUGGAAGCCUUUACAAAUGCUUGGAAGCUCACUUGCUUGGUGCCUUGGCCAAAUGAGGCCCUCACCUAUUUAUAGGCACCAAUGGAACUCUCUGCAACCUUGGAGGGUUCCUUACAACUCAAGUAUAUUCUAGAAAGUCCUACAUCAUUCUAGGUACAAGCCUAUGUACAACGAUAUACAAGAGACUUCUGGAAUUCUCUAGAAAGCCUUGGACUCCUCUCAUGCCUUCCACCAUAGUGUAGAAUUGUGUGGAUUCCUCCAAGCUUCUCCACAACCUUCCACACUCUUCCCACUCUAGGAGUCUCCAUAAGCUUCCUAGCUCUAUGUAAGCCCAUGGGGAGGCUCAUUUGAAUCAGCUUGUGACAAUAAGCUUGACAUUGGCAGUCACUAAGGCAAGCCUUUUUGCAAUAUUGAUUAUCAUUCGUAUCUACUAAAAUAGAAGACUACGGUUUUUUGGCUUUCAUCAUUUUUAAGCGCAAGAACAUGUCUUCAAUGGAAUUCUUCUUGUAUUUGGGUGACUUUCUGGUACACCCACUUGAGAACUCUCCAAUUUUCCAACUAUUCGGCGAGAUUGGUUUGAACCCAGGCAAACAUUUUCACAUCAAAGCAUUCUUAGUGCUACAACUUCCAAAUUUCCCACAAGUAAUUGACACACUGCAUCGGUCUUUCGGUGCCCACCAGACUGGAGACGAUGUAUUCCAAUUCGCAUAGUAUUGAAUUUCCCCUAAAGAACUCAUUACCAACUGUUUUUCAACUGAUGAGUUGGGGAUAGAGCUAUGCCCUUUAUACACGUUCCUCUAGGAGAUUUUGGACAACAAGCUGCGUGUUGCUUCAGGCAUCUCAUCAAACGUUCCAUCCCAGUCCUCACUGUACCAAUGUACAUAUAAAAUUUGAGAUAUGAUAUACUGGUACUCUUUUUCUUGAUCUAGCUUGAAGGUAUAGUUUCCAGGUGUGGCGUCAAUGGGGCUUAACCAUGAGGUCAAUAUUAAGCUUUCAUUCAUCUUCAUACCAGGAAGAAAAAUAUCAGUGGGAUUACGGAAGCUCUCCCAAAUAAUCUCUUCAGAUCUAUUGCCACUCAAAACAAGGUUCCCAUAGUCCAUAAGCUUCACCAUCCUGUCUUUAGAUGAAGGUGUUUCAAUAUCAGUAGACCAGUGAACUGCUCCAUUAAUUUCGGCCAACACCUUCAGCUUACCAUCUUUUUUAAUGGCAAAAACUCCAAUGGAGGUACCAGAAAAGGGGUUCUCUCGGUUGGCUACCCACACAACUCUUGGUGGUUUAGACAUGUGAUGCCAUAUGCCCAUGAAUCUUCUAUUCUUGGAGCUUCCAUUUGGAUGAAAGAAGCCUAGUUCAAAAGUUUCACCGGAAGAGACAAGAGUUUCUCCAUUAGUAAGCCAAGUGUCUAGUGUGAUGGUGUGUCACGCCCCAAGACCCACUCCAAGGGCGUGACGGUCAUUUCACACCUCAAACCCGAAGGCUUAAAGUAUAAUCUGACCCAAACAGUCAUAUUGUAACUGGAUGUUACCAAUUACCAAAUACCUGCUCAGAGUAGCGGAAACAAAGUCUAAAAUCCUCAAAAUUCAAUUUCCAAAUAACUUCCAAAUACAAAAUGAUCCAAAAUAACAUAACUAAUAGUUAAACAAAAUCCAACAUAAAAUCCUAAGUCAAAUCCUAAUGAUGACCAUUCCUCAGCCUAGCCAUCACUCCUCACCCGAACUAAGAGUACCUGAAAAAUUUUCAACAAUUGGGAAUGAGCUCACAGCCCAAUAAGGAAUAUUAAUGCAGUUCAUGGAUCAAAUAUUUUCAUUUCAAAUAGGAGAUAUCAAAUUUUAUUUUAUUUUUUCAUCAAAUAUCAGAGUUUCAAAAAUGCCAAUAUAUUCAAAAUUCAACCAACCAAUUUCAUAUCAAAUUCAAACACUUUCCCAUCAAACUCAAUCAAAUCCAUUCAAUUUUUCAUUACUCUGGUUAUCAAAUAUCAAAUGCCCAGUUAGGUGGGACUUUUCAAAUGGGUGGCUGGCCUCAAAUUGUUCUUGGUGGACGGAACCAAACACUACUAGUACUAGUAACCUCUAACCAAACCCCUAGAGGUUGGGGUCCAAAUCAAUUACAUUCCCACCAUGAAAUGUAAAGGUCAACUAUUAUAUCCCGUUGACAGGGCCGAAUAGUCAACUAUUAUAUCCCGUUGACAAGGGCCAAAUAAACCAGAGUGAUGUUUUUUGUUCAAGUAUUCAAAUUUACACAACAUAAUAUCUCCAUAUUUUGUGUCAUAAAUAAAACAAAAUAUUCCAACAUAACAUUUAAUGCAAAACAAUUUGAUCCAUGCAUGGUAACAAAAUAUCAUUUUAUUUUCCACAAUUCAAAAUAACAUAUAAAAUAAUUUAAUUUUAUAAAUAUUACAUUAACUUCCCUUACCUCAAAAGAAGUCCUUGAAAGCUUGGGAGAAGAAUGAUUCUGAAAAAAAAUAUAAUCUACUCUUCACCUAAUAUAACAUAAGAGAAACAAUUAUUACUAUUUAUUUAUAAUUUAACUAAUCUAUUCCUUAUUUAAAUAAAACUAAUAAAUUCCCAAUUUGUUUCUAAUAACACAUUACUAAUUUAAUUAAAUUACAAUUUUAUGUCAUUAUAAAAUUCUAUAUAUAUAUAUAUAUUUUGCUAAAUCUAUUAUUACUAUUAUCUUAUUCAUUAAUCUAAAACUAAAUAUUAUUAUUUUAAUUAACCAAUUCAAAAGCCACUAGAUGUCUCGAGUACACCAAACCAAAAAGCAAGUUUUUUUUUUUUUUCCAUUACAUCAUCAUUCAUUAUAUAUAUAUAUAUAUAUAUAUAAAAGGCUUCCUUCCAUUUGGCACAUGCCUAUUUUUUUUUUUUUUCCUCCUUGCUUCUAGUAGCACAGUACACGUACGCCCCCCAUAUAUUUUUCUUUUUUUCUUCCUUCCUUCCUUCCAGUGCUGUGCACACGCGUUCUCCCUCUUUUUUUUUUUUUUUUUUUAAUUAACCCUAACCUAAAAUCGAAAUAUUCCAAGGAAUUUUAUUUUUUCUAAUAAAACUUAAGAUCUCCCAAAUUCCAAUGCUAAAAUCAAAAUAUUAAAUUUUCACUAUUUGAUAUUAAAACGAAUUAAAAAAUAAUCUAACCCUAAUCUAGAUUUGGGGUUUUCCAAAAAAAUAUAUCUAAUGUGUUUGAAAUUAAUCAAUGAAUCUAAAAUAUUAAACUAGGGGUUAGAAUCUUACCUAUAGAGAUCUGUUCUUCAACCCUGAAAUCUGACUCCAACCUUACGUUCUCUGGAAUUCUGCGAACAGGAACUAUAUUCAGAAAAGAAGGGAAAGAAUAAAAUUUCUAAUUUAUACCUAGGGUAUUUAUUCGUAAAAUUACUCUUUUACCCCUCUUCUUUUUUUUAUUAAAUUAAUUAAUUAACUAAUUUAAUUAUUAAUAAUAAUUUCCUAAAUUACCCUUAAAAGAAAAUGCUUGGGCGUUACAUGGUGUCUCUAGUAGAGCAACACAGAAAAUAACACAAUAAGAAAAAGAUGGUAGAUAACAUUGUGAAUUGCAGAGACUGAAACCCUGAAUUUUCUUGUCUUUUGCCUAUUGUUUUUGUUAAUCCGAGAAUCUCUUUAGUUUUGGUGCCACAAAUUCACUAUGGGAUAGCGUGCUACUUCUCUAGGUUGACCUUCUAUAUGUGGUGCCUAAAACAUUGGCCCCUUAGAUUAACUUUUUAAUUGUCUUAAACCAUUUUUACCGCAGGUCCAUACUCCGGGACAAGCCCCCACACCCCCAUCGGAUCAGUGGUGAUAGGCCCAAUCCCCCUGUUAGACCCUAAAAAAAAUCUCAUAGUUUUUUUUUCACCAUAUAUAUUGUAUUGCGAAAUUUUCAAGUCUGACAAAAUAAAAUUCGAGUCACGAAUCUUUAAUAGUUCUCAUCAAGAAAUGAGAUGGAAAUGUUUCAGCUAGUGAAAAUCUACAUCAAGAGGCUUUUUGGGAAGACAAAUAUAAAAAUACAUCUAAACAUCAUUAAACUUCAUGAUUCUAAUACACAUCAUGGGAUGAAUUCUCAAUCAUAUAUAGGUGAGUAUCACAUAUAUAUAUAUAUAUAUAUAUAUAUAUAUAUAUAUAUAUAUAUAUAUAUAUAUAUAGGUUUAACACACAAUGCUACAUAAUGUGGUGGAUAAAUAUGCAUGUCAAAUUGAUCAUAGUUGUAAAAUUGUUAGCUAGAAACUAAAAAUUUCUAAUCUGAUUCCUAAGUGCUUCUUUUUUUUUCUUUUUCUUUUUUUUAAAAAAAAACAAAAAAUGAUAAUAAUUUCUACAUAAAAUGUAAAAAUUAUCGUAAAAAAUUAAUAACAUUCAAUUUAGAAAAUUUUAAGAUAUUAUAUAAAACAAAUUCACCAUCUUAACAUUUAAAAGUAAUUUUUAAAGAUAUAAGAUAAGUUCAUAUUAUUUAUAUAAAAACUAUUUUAUAAUUUACAUAGAAAUUAUAUAUAUAUAUAUAUAUAUAUAUAUAUAUAUAUUGAAUUGGGUUAUUUCACAAUAUUGGAGCAUAGUUUACCUUAGGUGAUUAAAGAUGUGAUACAGUAUAGUUUUUAGGAUAGAUGUGAUAAUUUAUAAUUGAAGUUUUGAUAUGGGCUAAUUAGUAAUAUUAAACAAAGGAUAAUGUUUUUUCAUAUUCUUAGAUUUAAUUUUUGGUGAAAAUAAUUAAGAGUAAGUAUUUGAUAGUGAUUUUAAGAAAUGUUUUUAGUCUUUUUAAUACUUGAAAAAGAAAAUUUUUCAAGUGUUAGAAAAACCAAAAAUACCUUUUAGAAACAGUACUAAACAUAUUCUAAAUAUGUACUCAAUAAUCGAUUUAAUAAAUUCACGGGUGUCAAAAUAAAUAUGACAUCAAGAUAUGUUAAUAAAUUUUUUUUUUUUUUUGAAAAAUAAUUCAACAUAUUUAUUGAAUUCACAUUCAAGACAAGGUCGCCUGUAACAUAGGUGCAUGGCUGUCCAUUUAUUCCCAAUUGCCUUAGACAAACAUCCCCUUACUCUUAAGUCAUUUUGCUUUUUUUUUUUUGUGAUUGCAUGUUGAAAAUUUGAUUUUAACAUGAGUCCACUAGGAGUUCAGGACAUCUAUUAAUUAAUGGGGGCAGUUCUCGACCUCCAUGGCCUGCCUACUAAUUUUGGUGGGUUGCUCACAGGUGACGUCUGACUUAAAAUACGUCCAUCGCCCAACUUACUAUUCAUGGACAAACAAAAUAUUAGUAAUGUACCAAUCAUCUUGUAUAUGUAGUAACAUUUUCAAAUUUUUAAUCUAAACCUUGGUGUAAAUAAUUAAAUUUAAAUAAAUUAAUUAAAAUGUAUAUUUAAUUUUUUUUUCACCCGCAAUUGAAGGCCGGUGGAGUGGUGAAAUCUUGGAAAUGGAAGCCAACCAUGCAGCAAAUAAAGUGACCCAAAGUCCAAGACCACGUUUAGAGCAUUUGUCCAUUUUUACUUGUUUUCAACGGCUUCUAGUCUUGAAGUUGAAAUCUGCGGUUUCAUAAACGGUAUUCUGAAUUUUCUCUCUUGCGUUCUGUUUUUCACAUUUUCCAGGAAAUGGGACCUAUUUGUUUGGCUAUCAACAAUGAGUUUCGUGUCAGAAUCUGUAAAAGAACUAGAACUUGCAGAGAAAAAAUAAAUAAUUUGAGAGUUACGAAUUGAAGGAAGGCACACAUCUAUUUCACAAAUGAGAAUGCCUAUUUAUAGGCUUACAACCAAACGAAAAUUGCAAAAAAAAUCUUAGCUAUUUUCAAAUUUUAUUGGCAUUACUUCUAUUAACUGAAAAUAGAAAAUUAUGGAGUAAGAAUCUGAUAUGAAACAAUAACAAAGACUAAGUCUAACUAAGACUUUUUCAAACUUCAAAGGCAAACUCUCAUGAGUUCUAACACUCCUCCUUGAGAUUUGCCUUGGACAUGCCAAGCUUCAACCUUAGAAACUCCAGCCUUGAUUUAGGAAGUGCCUUAGUCAUUAUGUCAGCAAGUUGCACAUCAGUUGAGCAAUAAUGCAACUUGACAAGUGAAUUCUUUUUAGCUUCCCUUAUAGAAUGAAAUUUUACAUUUAUGUGUUUGGUCUUGCCAUAUUAGACAGAAUUUUGAGCAAUGGCAAUGGUUGACUUGUUGUCACAGUAAAGCUCUGUUGGUGAGCUUUAUUCCUAGCCUAGAUCAGCAAGCAAUUUCCUUAACCAUAUCCCUUGAUUUGCAACAGCUGCUAAGGAGAUAUACUCAGCUUCUGCAGUUGAUUGUGCCACUACUUCUUGUUUUCUUAAAUUCCAGCAAAUGACACCUGAACCGAUUGUAAAUACAUAACCUGAAAUGUUCUUCAUGUCAUCAACACUUCCUGCCCAAUCACUAUCAACAUAGCCAUCUAGCUUAACUCCUCCUGUCUUUAAAUACCAAAUGCCAAGAUUUGUUGUACCUCUAACAUACUUCAGCACCCUUUUUGCAACUCCCAUGUGAACAUUGCUAGGUGAACUCAUGAAUCUUGAAAGUAAACCAGCUAGAAACAUCAAGUCAGGUCUGGUUGCUAUCAAGUAUAGUAGGUUGCCUACCAAGCUUCUAUAUGCAGAGGGUUCCUUAAGUUUCUCACCAUCAUUCUUUGAAAUUUUCUCAUUUUGUGCCAUUCCAAGGAAGUAGUUCAUGAUGCCAAGGUCAGACAUCUCAAAUACAUCUUGCAUUUCCAUUUUGAACUCAGCCAGCAAUCGUACAUUACUUCCAGUCACUAGCAUGGCAUCAACAUAAAGUGACACUACCAAUUGCAAACCAUUCUCAUUUUGUUUCAAAUACAAAGUAGCUUCAUUUUCACUCCUCCUAAAUCUAAGUUGGAUCAGGUGAGAGUCAAUUCUGAUAUACCAGGCCCUUGGUGCUUGUUCCAAACCAUAAAGAGCCUUUUGCAACUUGUACACUUUGUGUUCAUGCCUAGUAACCUCAAAGCCUUCUGGUUGUUGAACAUAAAUUUCUUCAAGAAGUAUGUCAUUUAGAAAAGCUAACUUGACAUCUAAAUGGUACANNNNNNNNNNNNNNNNNNNNNNNNNNNNNNNNNNNNNNNNNNNNNNNNNNNNNNNNNNNNNNNNNNNNNNNNNNNNNNNNNNNNNNNNNNNNNNNNNNNNAGCCUUGUGCUUGAAGAUUAAACCAUCUGAAUUGAAUUUGGUUCUGAAAACCCAUUUUACACCAAUUGUCUUCUUAGCUUCAAGUAAUUCUGUCAACUUCCAAGUUCUAUUUCUUUCAAUAACAUCAAUUUCAGCUUUCAUAACCUCAAUCCAUUCUAGAAAUCUUGCAACUUCUAUGUAACAUGUAUGCUCAACAUGUACAAGAUUGCACCUCUCAUACACAUUAGAUAAUGGCCUUACCUUAAGCACUGGUAUGUCUAAAGUUGCUUCAACAUCAAGUGGAUCUUCUGCUGGUUCAAGAAUAGAUGGAGUGGUUUGAUCACAUUUAUGGACUUUCUUCAAGUCCCAAUUCCAGUAGGAAUUUUCAUCAAAGUGCACAUCUCUACUUAUCACAAUUUUCAUUCUACUCAAGCUAUAAAUUCUGUAACCUUUUGAUUCUGCUGCAUACCCAACAAAAACACCCUUCUCAGCUCUUUCAUCAAGCUUACCUCUCUUGAUAGAUGGCACAUGAAGGUAACACAAUGAAUUAAACACUUUUAGGUGCUUGACAGAUGGUUUUACACUAGACCAUGCCUAUAUUGGUGUUUUGCUCUUAACAGACUUAGUCGGUAGUCUGUUAAGCAAAUAUACUGAGGUGCUAACUACUUCAGCCCAUAGAAGCUUUGGUAGCUUCUUCUCGAGUAGCAUGCACCUCGCCAUCUCCAUUACCGUUCUGUUCUUCCUCUCAGAGACUCCAUUCUACUGCGAUGAGUAUGGAGCUGUCAGUUGGUGUACAAUUCCAACUUCUAGACAAAAAACAUUGAACUCUUUUGAGGUAUAUUCACCUCCAUUAUCAGUUCUGAGCACCUUAACCUUUUGGCCACUUUGAGUUUCAACCAUUUUCUUGAAGCUUUUGAACACAGAGAGCACUUGUGAUUUGGUUUUUAGAAAAUAAACCCAAGUCAUUCUAUUGAAAUCAUCAAUAAAUAGUGCAAAAUAAACAUUGUUGCUCAAUGAGGCUAUGCUCAUUGGUCCACAAAUAUCUGAAUGAACUAAUUCCAUCUUGUGAGUAGCUCUCUUGGACAUAUUUUGAGGAAAUGAUUUGCGAUGCUGCUUCCCUAGCUCACAACUUUCACAAGUUUGAUCAUUAACUGUGAUUUCAGGCAUGUCUUCAACCAUACUUCUUGCAUGAACUUCAAUGACUUCAAGUUGAAAUGACCAUAUCUUUUGUGCCAAACAGCAUUCUCAUCAAUCUUGGCACUAAAGACAUGACCUUCAACUAAAUCAAGCUUCAAAUAAAAGUUAUUUCCAUUCAUUUUAAUUUUUGCUAUCUCUGUUCCAUGUACAUCAGUGAUAAAACAAAAAUUUUCUUUAAAAGAGACUGCAUAUCCAUUUCUUAGCAUUUGUGUAACACUAAGAAUAUUUUGAUCUAGUUUUGGAAUGUAAAGAACAUUAGUGACAAUUUUUGUACCUCUCUUGGUGCUGAUAGCAAUUGUCCAUUUUCCUUUGGCCUGCACAACUUCACCAUUUCCCAACUUGACCGUUGCUUGAAUUGAUUUAUCAAUGGAGGUAAAAAUUGAUAGAUGUUUGGUCAUGUGACUGGUGCAGCCAUUGUCAAUGAGCCAAGUAUUCAGUUCAUGAGAACUGAGUACUUGUGAUGCCAUAAAUAAAUGCUUAUCAUCUUUUUUGUCUUCUUCAAUCACAUUUGCAUGUUGUUGUGUUUGCUGUUGAGAUUGUUUUUUCUUGGCUCUACAAUACUUCUCACUGUGGCCACAUUUAUUACAGAAAUUACAAUUAAAAAGGGAUUUACCUUUGUACCAACAAUCUUUCUCAACAUGGUUGGUUCUGCUGCAAUNNNNNNNNNNNNNNNNNNNNNNNNNNNNNNNNNNNNNNNNNNNNNNNNNNNNNNNNNNNNNNNNNNNNNNUCAAAAAGCACCUUCAGUAGCUUCAACACCUUUCAUUAAGACCCUUUGCUCCUGCGCAUGAAGCUUGCUGGUUAAUUCUGCAAUUGUGAGACUUUGCAAGUCACAAGACUCUUCAAUUGUAGAGAUCUUGGCUUCAAACUUUUAAGGCACUGAAACCAUGAUCUUUUCUACCACCUUUUGAUCUGUAAAUGCCUCACCAAGAAGCCUCAUUUGGUUUACAACAUCCAUUAACUUGCUAGAAUAAUCUUUCACAGAUUCAUUGUCUUUCAUCUUCAUCAAUUCAAACUCUCUCUUCAAUGUGAGGAGCCUGACAUUUUUUACUGUCACUACCAUCAAAUUCACCUUGGAGUUUGUCUCAUACCAGUUUAGGUGUUUCCAAGUCCAUGAUUUUGGUGAAGAUGUGGUCUACAAGUCCUGAAUGUAGGCAGGUGAUGGCUUUGUCUUUCUUAAGUUUUUCCUCCUCAUAUGCUUUCAUCUGAGCAACUGUAGGAUUUGCUCCCAAUGGUGGUGGAUCAGCUUCAAACAUCACAACAUUCCACAAACCUUGAGACCUUAAGUAAAACCUCAUCUUGUCAACCCAAAUGUGAUAGUGUUCACCAUUAAACACUGGAAUAACAGAGGAAGUACUGCUGGAAGUAGACAUGUUUGCACCACAACUGCCUGAAAAAAAAUAAAUCACUCAACCUCACUGUGUUUAGCACUCAAAACACUCAAAGAAACUUUGCCUCACAACUCGUAGGAACAAGGCUCUGAUACCACUGUCAGAAUCUGUAAAAUAACUAGAAUUUGCAGAGAAAAAAUAAAUAAUUUGAGAGUUAAGAAUUGAAGGAAGGCACACAUCUAUUUCACAAAUGAGAAUGCCUAUUUAUAGGCUUACAACCAGACAGAAAUUGCAAAAAAAUCUCAGCUACUUUCACAUUUUAUUGGCACUACUUCUACUAACUGAAAACAGAAAAUUAUGGAGCAAGAAUUUGAAACAAUAACAAAGACUAAGUCUAACUAAGACUUUUUCAAACUUUAGAGGCAAAUUCUCAUGAGUUCUAACAUGGCAUAUGGGUUUUGGGUUUUUCAAUUGAGGGAAGCCUAUCAUAGCAUUUAAAAAUGGAUCCCCAUAGUGGCCAACACCAUAGGAUGAUAAUUCAUCAUGGUUCUUAAUCAUGAUCUUUAUUAAAUAGAUCAAACCCAAGUACGAUACAGAUAAUAAUCGGAUUAGAAAAACAUAAAUUCAUCUAAUUAUUUAAUAAACAAUAAGUCGUAUAAUUCAUUUAAUUAAUCUAAUAAUCAUACAGAAUUAGGUCUUAUACAAAUCUACACGAUUAAUUUCUUAAUCUAAUAUGUUUAUAAUUCAAUUAAUUUAUUUAUUUAAAAUCAAUUUUUAAAUAAAUCAAAUAUAAGUUAAAUGAGUUAGGGUUAAUCAUAUUAAUCAGUAUGAUUAUCAAGUUGGUCAAUUAGGAUCAAAAUUGUGUUUGACUAAUUUAUUUAAAAAUAACUUAUUUAUUAAAUGAGUUAUACAUAUUAACAUAAAUUUAAUCCUUAAACCCACAAAAAAUAAAUUGAAUUUGAGUCAUGUUAACGAAAUAUAUUACACUUUUGACACUCGUAGUCUACGUAAAGAAAAGAUGUUGCAUCUUGCCAUUAGCUAAGCUUAGAGCAUCCAACAACUGACUAUAAGGGUCCAUAUCUUAGGCUAAAUUGAAUGAAAGCAUUAUAUUAUACAAAACCCCCUAUGCUGAUGAUGGUGCAAACACCAAAUUUGAUUUCCCAAAGUUGUAUAAUAAUGUAUUAGUUGUGUCUGUUGUGCGGAAGUUAGGUACAACUUAGUGACAAGUGUGUAUGGGGCUUGGAAUCUAGUGAGAAUCCAUUGGAUAGGAGUACAAAAUGUCGGCCAUGAGCAUGAUCUAGCCAUCCACAUUUCUCUGUGUCAGAGGGGUCAGGACCAUGGAAGAAAAUAUCAAAAUGAUAUAGUAUUGGAGGUUAUAAAAACGAUAUUUGAUGAAAAAAAUAUUAUUCUGACAAAAUUAUUUUAAGGAGUAUCGAUAUAUUUGUGAUUACUGAUAUUUUCAUCUUUGGUCAAAUUAGUUUUUGAAUUCACCCAUGCAUGACAUUUGAGAUUCAGCUUAAAAGUUGGAUCAACCCACCUGAUCACCUAAGCUUAUAGAAUAGUUACAAUGAAAAAAAUAUAGUUAUAUGACAUGGAAACACUUGAGUCUUCAUUGAUUUCCUUUUCAGAUUGAAAACUAUUAGAAAAAUUGAUUCAAUUGUCAUGAAAUUGGUAUCCACAAAACCAAAGAAACACCCUAAAACUAGUCCAAAAUCUUAUCUAACCCACAUAAAUUACAGAAAAUUAUCUUAACAGCAACCAAAUUCCUAAGUCUUUGCACAAAAUCCUAUCCAAGAGAGAUCUUUUAGAUUUCUUAUCCACUCUGGAUUGACUGGUAGAGACUUUUAAACCAAGGUUGUGCCACAAGCUCAUGAACAAAUAAAAUUGGACAAAGAAUUGAAUGAGUGGAUAAACAUCAUUGUCAAUGUUUCUACUUGAGCGAGAAAUACGUUAGAUUUCUACACUUCUAAAUAGUUGCCUUGAGUGAUUCCUUGGUCCCACAGUAUUUGCUUCCCCCUUUCCUCGUGGUUUGGGAAAAGGACAUCCACACGGUUUGGUGUAGGAACCACCCUUUCCUUUGCUAUCCAUGAUUAUUUUUCUUCCCAAUAAUAAGGAAAACAUUCAUCAAGGCCCCAUGUGAAAACUAUUAUUGGUGACUGUAGGAAUAGAGCUAUUCAAUUUUUCCAAUAUACAGGACAUUGGAUGGAUACUGAUAACAAAAAAGAAUUACAUUAAAAUGUAUAAGCGAUGUAUUAUAAUUCAUUUUCUCAUCUAUUUUCAUGUUUUGAUUAUUUUAACGAGAUGGGAUGAAAUUAAAUAUGAUUUUAACAGAAGUGAAACUUGUCUCGUAAAUAGGAUUCCAUGUUGAUUUCAACAGAAGUACGUGGAAGGAUAUCGUAGUUAAUUUAUUUAUUUUUUCAUUUUCAUUUCUAUUAUUUUUAAAUAUUGAAAUAACAACAAAUACUCAUUUCAAAUUUAUAUUCCUAGAUGCAUACAAAUAUAAGAACUGAAGCACCAAAUUCACUCCUAUUCUAAGAGGAAUAAGAACAUUGAUUUUCAUUCCCUACAAUCAAGUACCGAACAUGGCCUAAAACGUAAGGGUUCAUGGGAGAUCCUUCUCGCCUAUCGACCUUCUUCUAUGGUGGCUAGGAACUCACUAUUCAAGGAUGCUUCUGGUUUGCUUGAAGAAGAAGCUGAGCUGGAAAGGUCUCUCCUUACGACAAAAGCUGGUUGUUUAGGAACUGGGAGUGUGGCAGUGUCACUGCUGAGCAUUACAACUGCAACUGCCAUGGUGGGACGGUCACUUGGGUCUUCUUGCACACACAACAGCCCAACAUUCACGCACCUCAGAAAUUCAUUUGUUUUACAUGUUUCACUUAGUGUCUGGUCCAUCAACUCCAACACCCUGUCUUCCUUCCACAGCUUCCAUGCCUGGGAAAGUUUGGACGUACAAGGGUUUCAUGGCAUAUAUAUAGAAUGUCCAAAGGAUCAAUGCAAAUGAGAAAUUCAAAGCACUUACAUGGGCUAGAAGGCUCAGAUUCCGGUCAGACUGAUAAGAUCUGGUGUUCCUCUUCCCGCUGAUGAUCUCAAGUACCACAACACCAAAGCUAAAGACAUCAGACUUUUCUGAGAAAAACCCAUCCAAUNNNNNNNNNNNNNNNNNNNNNNNNNNNNNNNNNNNNNNNNNNNNNNNNNNNNNNNNNNNNNNNNNNNNNNNNNNNNNNNNNNNNNNNNNNNNNNNNNNNNGGAGACAUGUAGCCACUGCAUUGAACCAGUUAAAAACACUACUCAGUUAAUUGGGGAUGCAAUCAUGCAACUACUUGCAUUUUACCAUACACAAUAUGCAGUACUUACUAAGUUCCAACUACUCUGUUUGUGCUUGCUUCUACUUGCUUACUCUCAAAAAUCCUUGCCAAGCCAAAGUCUGAAAUUUUGGGAUUCAUCUCGUCAUCAAGUAGAAUGUUGCUUGUUUUCAAGUCUCUAUGGAUAAUCUUCAAUCUUGAAUCUUGGUGAAGAUAAAGUAGCCCUCGAGCAAUUCCCAAAAUGAUAUCAAAUCGCUUCUCCCAGUUCAGUAACAGGCAUAGAGUUUGAUCUUGCAAUGUUCCCAUUGGAAAGCACGACUUCAGCAUGUACACGUUGUAAUAUGGGAGAAAAAAAAAAGGAACUUUUAGGCAGGUUAGAGGCAAACCAAAUAUGAAGGAGUCUAAGCUUUUGUUGGGCAUGUAUUCAUAGAGUAAAAUCUUCUCAUCUCCUUCAAUACAAUAGCCCAAAAGUCUAACCAAAUUUCGAUGCUGAAGUUUGGCAAUUAACACAACCUCGUUCUUAAAUUCCUGUAAGCCUUGUCCCGAAGCUCUUGAGAGUCUCUUUACUGCAAUUUCUCGCCCUUCAGGAAACUUUCCCUAGAUGCCAUAGCGCAUGGUAUUAGACAGACAAACCAGAAACCUUGAAAUGAGACUAAUGUGGAAAUUAAGGACUAUUACUUUGUAAACUGGCCCAAAGCCCCCCUGUCCAAGCUUAUUUGCAUCUGAAAAGUGAUCUGUAGCAGCCAGUAUGUCUUCUAAGUCGAAAAAUGGUACGUCAAUGCCUUUCUUAUCAUCUUCUUUGAAUUGCUCAGAGUCUAUUAAGUCUUUCACACGGCUCUCGCUAUGAUACAAGUGAAGCCCUGGAUUUGUUCUGUUUUCUGAAUUCAGAAACAAGACUACAUUAUGAAGAAGUCCCCUAAAAAUAUUAUCAAUUCUGCCAAUCAACACGAAACAAAAAAAGACCAGAAGUUAAAUGGUGGCGCAAAUAGCACAAAGAUUACCUUGCCCUUUGGAGAUGGUUCUUUUUCGAAAAUAAGCAAUACAACCAAUGAUGCAUAGAAGUGCAACUACUACAACAGCAGUUACUAUGCCUACCACAACUACCAGAGCCGAGGAUGAUGAUGAUGACUUCUGGUUUGCAGGUGUUGGAGCCUCCGCAAGAUUGCCACCAUCUGAAACAAAGAAAGACCACUCUCAUUCAUGGAGAAGGCAGCGCAUCUGCCAUUACUAAUCACUGUGUCUUUCAAUGCAAUUUAGCAAUAUGCUUGCUGAAAAUCAUCCUCACCUUGUGUACAAUUUAAACUGGAGCUGUUCCAUUUGAAGUUUUGAUUACAAAAACACCUCGUUCUAUUUUGCGUUCUGCAACUCGAAUUUGGCCAGUCCUUGCAGUCUGUUGCUGAGUUACAAACCGGCUCUGGUGGUGGAUCCCAACUUAUUUCAAUUUCAUACUGACCUUUCAUAGGCAUGCUGGAGCUAGAUUUUCCUGUGUCAGCAUUGCACCAGCUAGCUAUCCUGAAAGGUGGAUUGAGCUGCAGUAUCUUCGUGUCUUGUGAAUUUCGUGCUUCGCAGUUAUCAAUAUCAUUCACUUGGAUGAGAAACUUCGAUCUCUCUGGAGUGAUGCUGGUUACUCGGUAGCUGCCAUUAGGUAAGGCGAACCAGACUUGGUCUGUGGCCUUGUCACAUCUGAAACUGAAGUACAUGGGAUCACCACAGUUUGGUCCAGUGCUUAGUGGAUAGGGGAUCAAGUUUGUGCCACAAGUUUCACAAUUUCUUACUGUUGAUUCUGCAGAAUUAGAAUGAAUUUCAUGCUUUUCCUCGUUAACAAUCAAUUAAAUUCAGAAGUAGAAGGGGGCAAGCAGAGAGGAUACCUAUAUCUGAUUUGGCCACACGGAGAGAAAGAUUAUAGCCAUCUGUGUUAUACUCCUGAAGACUACCGAGAUCUUCAGACCAAAUCCAGCACUUGGGAGGGGUGCUAGCACGGCCCCUUCGUAUCUUUCCAACUCCAGCAUAAGCUUGACAGCGACAGGUCUUAAGGCACUCUCUUCUGCAUUCACUUUCAUCCUUACCCAAAAACUCAAUGUCAUACUUUCUUACUUUAAUCAUCUUCAAGAUCAAGAAUGUGUCCCCACAGAGGGUUGUCUUUUUAGAACACCCACCUGAAAAAUCUCCAUUAGUCCAUCUCUCCAGCGAGUUAGGCUCGAAUCCAGGCAAACAUUUGCACAUAAAUGCAUUGUUAACAUUGCAAGAACCGAAAUUCCCACAAGCAUUCAACACACUGCAUCGGUCUUGCGGCGCCCACCAGAAUGCAGACCACUCCUCCGUAUAAUUAUCCCAAACUAGAUAUCUUAUUUCCCCGGUGAAAUUCAUCACCAACCGUGUAUAAGAACUGCGGACAAAUUGAGACCCAGUUGGUUUUUGUGUCUUGCUAAAAUUGGAUAAGAGCUCGGCUGCUGCAGAACUCAUUCCUUCUGAUUCCUCACUUCUCCAAUAUUUAACAAUUGAAUCUUCAAAUAUGAUAUACUGAUCUUUAUCAUCAUCUUUCUUGAAAGUAUAGUUUCCAGGUGCAGGGUCAACGGGGCUGACCCAUGAAGUCAAUGUUAAGUUUCCCUCCAUAAUCAUCCCAGGAAGAAAAGUAUCAGUUGGGUUCUUGAAACUCUCCCAAAGAAUCUUCCCAGAUCUGUUGUCGCUUAAAACAAAGUUCCCAGAAUCCAUGACCUUGGCCACCCUACCCAUAGAAGACGAGCUUCCAAGAUCAGUAAACCAGUAAGCUGCUCCACUUUCAUUCACUAGCUUGAGGUUACCGUCAUCUGCAAUGACAAGAGCUCCAACACUGUCGUCAGGAAGGGGGUUGUCUCUAUUGGCUACCCAUACAACUGUUCUCUCCUUCAACCCGUAGUACCAUAUGCCAAUGUAUUUUCCAUUGUUGAACCCUCCCUUGGGAAUAAAGAAGCCCAAUUCAAAAGUUUGAUUGGCUGAAACAAGAGUUCCUCUACCAUCAUCAAAAAGCAAAUUGUUUGGUGUGAUGGUAUCUCUAGCAGAGCAGCACAGGAUAGAACACAAGAAGAAAAAGAUUGCAGCAGCAUAUGAGUUGCAGAGUCUCUUAACCGCAAUUUCUCGUCCCUCUGGAAACUUGCCCUGGAAGCCACAGUGCAUAUGCAUUGGGCAUAUGUUAGAACUUGGUGACUUGAAUUCUAUUUGGUUCGACUCGAGAAGCUCACGACGCGAUAUAGGUAGUAAAGCUAAAAUUAUGAAUUUUUUUUGGGUCUGUAGUAGUAACAGAGGGAUCGGACCUAUUACUCUUUCAUGUAUAUAUAUGCAUGCAAUGAUGUAUAGUUUUCAGGAUUAUGAUGAUUAUGUUUUUGCUAUAGUCGUUUGUAUCUCAUUCCUCUUGUACUAAUUUUUGACAUAGUAAAAUUUCUUCUCCUCGUGGUCUUUCCUAUCUAGGGUUUUCCACACAAAUCUAUGUGUUCUUAUCCUGUUUUAUUUCUUAUUGCAUAUUCUCAUUUUUUUUGUAACAGCAUAGAUGAUGAGAAAUCAGUUGAAAAUGAGAGGAACAUGGAAGUUAAGAACAAUUACCUUGUAAACUGGCCCAAAACCUCCUUGUCCAAGCUUAUUUGCAUCUAAAAAGUUAUCUGUAGCAGCCAGUAUGUCUUCUAAGUCAAAAAACGGUACAUCAAUGCCUUUCUUAUCCUCUUCUUUGAAUUGCUCUGAGUCUAUUAAGUGUUUCACACGACUCUCACUAUCAUAUAAGUGAAGCACUUGAUUUGCUCUGUUCUCUGAACUCAAAAAAAAAAACAGAAAAUAUUGUAUAGAAGACCCUGAAAUAUUCUCAAUUCAGCCAAGCACAAGUCGAAAAGAAAAGACCAGAAGUUAUAGGCUAGUGCAUAUGGCACAAAGAUUACCUUUCCUUUUGGUGAUGGUUCUUUUGCGCAAACAAGCAAUAUAACCAAUGAUGCCUAAAACCGCAACUAGAACAACAGCAACUGUUAUGCCUACCACAACCACUGGAGAUGACGACGAUGACUUCUGAUCAGCAGGCUUUGUAGGCUCUGCAGGAUUGACACCUGAAACAAAGAAGGAACUGAAUUGAACUUCUCUCACCUACCCAGAAGGCAAAUUUAGUAAGAUACUUGGUGAACAGAAUCCUCACCUUGUGUACAAUUUAAACUUGAGCUAUUCCAUUUGAAGUUUUCAUUGCAAAAGCACCUUCUCGUUCCAUCUCGCGUUCCGCAGGUUGAAUUUGGCCAGUCCUUGCAAUCUGCUGAUGAGGUACACACCGGCUCCAAUGGUGGAUCCCAACUGAUCUCUACUUCAAUACUAUUUUUCAAUGACAUCUCAGAGCCAAAAUUGUCAGUUCCAACCUCUUUGCACACAUCAGUCAAGUGAAAAGGCGGGUUUAGUGGCGGAAUCAGACUUCGUGAACUGCAAUCUGCCUCUUUCAGUUGGAUUACAAAUGUUAAUGUCUCUGGGUUAAUGCUAGUUACUCGGUAGGCACCACCAGGUACCUUGAACUGAACCUGGCCUGUGGUAUUGUUACAUUCAAAAUUGAAGUACGUUGAAUCACCACACUUUGAUCCAGUGCUUAGAGGAUAAGGAAUCAUGUUUGAGCCACAAGUUUCACAAUUCCUU
Molecule: long non-coding RNA, 107691 nt
Filed under: Vitis vinifera (wine grape)
Lineage: Eukaryota; Viridiplantae; Streptophyta; Magnoliopsida; Vitales; Vitaceae
Description: long non-coding RNA (VVIN_LNC003751)
Source: RNAcentral